CCAUAUCCUUUCAUAGUUUUCGGUUGCCACUAUCAGCCGGGUGAUAAUAAUUUAUACAGGACUGUUCUAUCUGGAGAGAAUGGUGAUAGGGUUGAAGCUACUGCAAGAUGUCACAUGGAUACCUCCCAAUGGAGCCAUGAUCACGUUUCCUUCCGGGUGCUUGGUAUCGAACCGGGCACUGCACCUGUUUGCCAUUUCUUCCCGGCAGAGGACUUUGUAUUGGUUCCAUCUACUUCUUCAAUCUAGUAAUAUCCAAGAGCUCAAGUGCUUUCAGCAUUUUAGUUGUUUAGCUUAAGUCGCCUUGUCUGAAUGUGUAAUACUAGAAAUCAAUAAAUUCGUGUGCCUCAUGUUUGAUUAUCUGUAUUCGAAUAAAACUCCGUGGAGUAGUAGCGCUACUUUUGACAAUCAAAGUUUUAUAUACUUCAUUUUACACGUAUGUUACAAGAUUUCAUCAUAUAAUAUACUCUUCUUCAAGAUUGCAACUUUGACAUCUUUCAGAUCUUUCAGCCAAAGCUUUUAAGUUUCCUGCAAAUUCAGAUGGUCUUGAUUUCUUCUGAUCAUCAGAAACUCGAGGAGGUACUGUGUGAAGUGAAUAGUUCCAAGAAAACACCACUCCUGUUGUAUGAUUCAAGGACAAAAGAACCGCAUCCAUCCAUCUAGAAAAGCUGCAGAAACCUUCCGUCCUUGCCGUUGAGAAAAUUUUAUAGAUAACUCUUCGAUUUCAAGUCUAGGAUCCAUUGGACCGUCUUUGAUCUCAUUGAGAUCAACUUUUGCAGAUGCAGAACAACUUUUGCAGACCGUCUUUAAUCUCUAGAAAGUGGACGGCUGAACAAGAUGAAAUCUUGACCUAGUACAUGAUCUGAAACCUGAAGAAUAAUGGGAAGAGCCCCUUGCUGUGAGAAAGUGGGCAUAAAGAGAGGGAGGUGGACGGCUGAAGAAGAUGAAAUCUUGACCGAGUACAUUCAAUCUAAUUUGUUUCGUCGGUUAAUUGCAAAAGAUUAAACCAGUGUGACAAUUAUACCCCCGUUAGUCCACGCAAAUUGAGUAAAAUGUAGUGAAAAGUCCUACAUUUGAAGUAAAAAACUAAUUCAAGGACUAAAUUUGUUAAAAUAUUUCAUCAAGGACGAAAUUGAUUUAAGUGAAAAUGUUUAGGGACCAAAUUGACGAAAUUCCCAACAGCUAAUCCCAAAAGUUUUUCUUAUGUAGUAGCUGGACUUCUUGAUCGCAUAAUUGUGGCUGUCCAUCUCUUUGAUUUGGAUUCCGAUCUUAUUCAAAUACUUUUGGAGGGGUAUCCUAUAAUUAGAGUGUCAAUCACAAACUCAAUUAUGUUGAUUCGCCCAAACUCGCUCACCAAUAACCCCCGUUCAAAUCCACCCACUAAUUUUAAAUAGGUCUAAAUGGGUAUCCAAUUAAACUCAUUUAAUUAGUAGACAGUGGAUUAACUCGAAUCACUUAUUUAUACCCAUUUAAAAUAAUUAUACAUUUAAACUCAAGUAUUAAACAAAUAAAUUUAAAUUUAUUAUCAAUGUAAUAAUAAUAAAAUGCUAUUAUUUUUUAUCAGACAACAUGUGAAAAAAUAAAAAAAUUAAUUAUAACUAUUUAAAUUCGUUUAAAUCACUUAUUUUGACACCUUUGACGACCAUUGUCUGCUCAUUGGACAUUCCACCGCCACUUGUUCAGCCGUUCCUUUCUUCCUUGCCGUUGCCAGUGUCUAUCAUUUCCGAUUACCAGGUAAGGCUCUGACAUAACCACUGGGCCUUUGGCUUGGAGAAAUCAUGACGUCGAAGAAGCGACUUGUGAGGCAGAAUAGGAGAUGCAGAAAAAGUAUCCUGAGUUGUUCGCUUAGAAAUGUGAGAAUUUUGAAUAAAGACCUCAUCUUUUGAUCGCAUCAAGCCUCAGCCGGAAAAAAGAAACCCAAAGGUAACAGCUUUCCACUUUGGAGUUUGUUUAUGAGUUGCCUCCCACCAAAAAUGCCACAUUUUUGUGGCUUGUCUUCAAAAAAUUCAGACGGGUGUGCUGUGCACCCGUCUGAUUCGGUGGUGGUUCAGUCCUCUCUGGCUUAUCCCUGGGUCUCCUUAGGCCCGUCUCCUUCCCCUUAGUGUAGGAUAGAUUAGAUUUAUCAUCUUCGAAAAAAAAAAGAAAAAAGGUAAGGCUCUGACAUUAGUGUCCACCUGCCAUAGUGCCAUCCCAUUGAUUAACCAAGUUACAGCGCUGUCAUAUUUGUCAAGCCAUCCUUCAUUAUUGGAUCUUUUAUUCUAUGUAUGGGACCGUCCUUACUGUUCCCAUGAAAGAUUGGUUCAGAAAUGUAUGGCAGCUGUGAAAUACGUUAGCUGUCUGAAUCUUGUCUCAUAAAGAUAUGUAGCUGAAAAUCCGAACGCAUUGGUUUCACGAGAGUUUUCUUAUCCACCGUGCCUGCCAAUUUUCUAUCACCAUAUAACAGCGUUUUUAAACUAUACGGACUGACCGAUUCUAAACAUUGAACCGAGGGUCCGGUGGUUCAGUCCGAAUUAAUCAAUUGAGUUGAACAGACAUUUACUGGACCUGCUCAGAUAUUGGGUUUAAAUAAAGAAAAUUGAGUUUUUAACUAUAUAUUUUGUGAGACUAUGAGCUGGUUUAGAUUAAAGACUUGUGCAUUUCAAUCGUUGUAAUUUAACAAUUAUUUCUUAGAUUGGAUUUUGAUUCUUUCAGAUUAUGUCUUCUUGUGCAUUUCAAUCUUUGUAAUUUAACAAUUAUUUCUUAGAUUGGAUUUUGAUUCUUUUAGACUAUGUCUUUCUUGUGCAUUUCAAUCUUUGCAAUUUAAUAAUUGUUUUUUAGAUUGGAUUACAUGUUUAGUUCUGGAGAGGCCCCCUAAUCUCGAUUCGAGGCCUGACAUGUUGUAUUUGUACUCGAUUUCGGGAAGUUAGCAAUUUCAUAUUUUAUUACACCAUUGUUUCUUUGAUUGGAUUUUGAUUCUUUUAGGUUAUGUCUUUCUUGUGCAUUUCAAUCUUUGCAAUUUAGUAAUUGUUUUUUAGAUUGGAUUUACAUGUUUAGUUCUAAAGAGGUCCCAUGAUCUCGAUUCGAGGUCUUCCAAGUUGUAUUUCUAGUUGAUUUCGGGUAUUUAGGAAUUUCAUAUUUUAUUACACCAUUUUUUAACUCAAUCAAAUCAUAUUUCAACUUUUGUCACACUAUUUUCCAACUCAAUUACAUUAAAAGCAAACUUGUGAGAAAUAAAACUUGUGAGACCCCAUCAACCCCUGCUCCUACUAAUAUUACACAUGUAGAUUAUAUUUUAUUUAAAAGGAAAAUUGCCAAAUUAGAAUUAGUCAAAAUAGUCCAUCAAAUAUAACAAAAGAAAAGUAUCCUUUUAGUUCGCGAGCUCAUUUUUUGAUCGGUUUUCUAGCCAAAAAGUGUGUGCCUUUCUUAGGUACCCACAAUUUAAAUAGCAAAAUGGGAAAACAAUUUAUUUUCUUCCACAAAAAGCACAUGACAAUCAUAUGAUCACCUCCUGAAUAGGGAAUCCUAAUCGAAGAAAGAGUAAACUACAGGUGACCUUUACACUUUCUUGUUUGAUUAUGGGUCUGGUGGAUAUGAAUUAAGGUCCUUUGCUAGAAGUGUGGUUAUGUCCUUUGCUAGAAGUUUGAUUAUGAAUUAAGGUUCUUUUAUUUAAGAGAAACAAAUUGCGUUUCAAUUUUGCCGUUGAAAUUGUGGGAACCAGAGAGAUGGUGCACUUUUAGGCUUAAAAAUUGAUUGAAAGUGAGUUUUGGGACUAAAGGAGCAUAUUUUUUAUAAUUAUUUUGAUGCUUAUAUCAAAACCAUAUAAAUUUACACCGAAUGUAUUAAAAAUUAUACAAACUGAUAGAAUUUACCUUGCUGUAAAAAAAAAAAUGGCUACCAAACUAUUUCUUGUCUCAAUUUAAUCACUCAACUAAUUAAUCAAUAUACCGUUGGUUAUUUCAUCGGAUUUUGCUCUUAGUUUUACAAAUAAACCAAACACAUGCAAAUCAAGUGCCAAAAUUUAAGGGUAAUCAUAUCCACUGAGUUUAUCAAUCCAAAUCUAAAAAGUCCAACAGCCACUAAUCUAUUCCCUUCGUACUCUUUUGGCCAUUCAAAUAUUUUUUGUUUCAAUAUAAUCACUAAAGUCUUAAAUCAAUAUACUAGCAGUCAUUCCGUCAAAUAUAUCCGUUAAUGCUAAGGAAUGAGUUCUAUGUGCAUUUCACAUACCCAAAACAGGACAAUUAUGUAAGGUCAAUUUUUUAGAUUUUUUUCCCGUUAAUAUUACAAAUGCAGGUAAUAUUAUAAUAAAGGAAAAAUUGUCAAAUUGGUCCUUUUCAUUUUUGAUAAAUUUUUUAGCCCCUCGCAAUUAGAAUUAGCUAAAAUAGUCCCUUAAAUAUUAAAAAAAAUGCAUCCUUUUGGUCACAGAGCUCCUUUUGGUAAAUUCCUUCUUGUACCUUGACAUUAAAUUUUAUUUAAUAUGAAUGACACAUAUUAUCUAGACGUCCAAAUAAAGGAGAUCAUUGUAACUUUUCAAAAACUUGAACGGAGCAACAUGAAAUUGUUAUAAACCUCAAAGGAGUUUUACAUAAAUACCCCACACGUUUACAAGCAGAUUUUAUCAUGCUAGUACCUUUAUAAUCGAAGAAAGCCAGUACACUCAGUGCCACAUUGUUCCCUCUCCCUCUCUCUCGUUCUUCUCACAAGUUGUCUUGCGUGCUGCUUUGCUUCUCAGGACACGUUGAAGCUUUUGUUCUUUGCUAGCUAGGUAAUUAUUGUAUGCCUGGCUCUCAAUUUCUCUGGUCCACUUUAUUAAUUGAUUUUUUUUUUUUUUGUAAAAAUUUUAGUGUAUCAAUUUCAGACGUUUGUUUUUCUUCGUUAUUGGAAAAUCCAGCAGCUGUUUGCAUGCUAAUAUAUGGGAUUUCUCUUUUGCUUAGAUCUGGAACACUUGCCGUCUAGCAGGAAAAAAUUAGCACCUGCAUAUUAUGUGACCCUGAAAAAAAAAAACAUCUUUCUUUCUGUCCUCCAUUAGUUUGGCACUAAAACUUGAGUAAGGUUAACAGGAUUGUGCGGUACAACCAACAAUAAUGGAGGGGGAGAAGACGGAUACAGAGGGAAAGGUGGAGACAGAGAAGAUGAACAAGGAAUUUGCCAUGGCAUAUGAUGUCCAAUCUAAAAUAGUAGAGGAUCUAUUUGGGGAUCACCUCCAUUUGGGCUUCUAUGACUCUAGCUCCGUUAUCCCUGGUUCUGAUGUCAAUUCUGCUCAGACUCGCAUGAUCGAGGCGGCCCUCCGUUUUGCCUCUGUAUCAGGUAUAAUAUGCAUUCGCAGUUUGUGUGGAGUUUUCUUCUCUUUCUCCAAGUGCAAAUGCUGCAUGUGGGUGUAGGGUUUAAAGUUCCGACGUACAAUCUAAAGAGGAAUUUUAAAUCCCUUACUUUGAAUUGACCAAAUUCUACACUCAAUAGUACAUGCAUAUGUAAACGGGGAUAAUCAAUUCGGGAAGGAUAAAAACAGAAGCAGCAUUUUGUUUUUCUUUUUUCUUUUGGUCUUUACUUUUCUUUCUCAUUUUAGUAGCUUUAGUUUUUCUUUGGCUACAUUUGGAAUGGAUUUAGGGGUAUUUGGCUAUUCAAAAGGUUAGAUUACAAAUUGGUCAAAUUACAGGAUUAGUUCUAUAAUUUGGACAAGCCUUAUGCAAUGUGAAUAUACAUUAAGCAUAGAAUUUGUUUUUUUCUGGGCAAUCAUGUGCAAUUUCUGUAAUUGGUACUCUGGGUUUAGGUCAUGCACACAUUGAAAAAAGAAAUGGUUUGAUUGCUUUUCAAUGUGUCUAUUUACUUUCCUAGUGAAACAUCCUCCUCAUAAUUUCUAGUUUUUUCUCCUCUCCAACUUUGUCAUUUAAUAGUCAACCAACCGGCAUUAUUUAUCAUGAAAUAAUAUGCAGAGGAUCCAUCUAAGAAACCAAGAAACAUACUUGAUGUUGGAUGCGGUAUUGGUGGCAGCACCAGGUACCUAGCAAGUAAAUAUGGUUCUCAAUGUAAAGGCAUCACCCUUAGCCCUUUUGAGGCUGAAAGAGCUCGUGUUCUAACAGCUGCCCAAGGAUUAGAAAGCCAGGUCUGUAUGAACUCUCCGUGUUACAAUUUUGAAAGAUUUGCAAGAAGUUAUCAAUUGUUAAAUCACCCUUUAUGCAAGUGCACAAUGAGUAAAAAUUUUCAUUCCUCCAUUUCUUAAGGAAUGAUGACAGAGUGCAUACAACUACUAUGCUUUCGAAAAAAAUUGUCAACAUUUUGCAGUAUAAAGACACACUUCUUAAUUAGAUUUUGAGUAUAAAAGAUCCUUGUAUUGACUUUUGGAUAUCAUGUAGACCUUGUUGUGCACAUUUUGCAGUAGAUUUUGUUAAAAAAGCUACUACAAUUAACGUUCUUAGCGAAUAGUUUGAAUCAUUAUCAUUAGUCACAAAUUGGACUCGCCCUUUUUACAUAUUUUCCCCAAUCUUUUAAACCAUAUAAAGCAAGAGAUGCAUUUUCAUAGAAUACUAGAUGCUAACCCAUGCACAUGCACAUAUUUAUAUUACCUGUUUAUUUCUAUGAGAAAGAUAAUAGACAAUGAAUGAAGUUACAUAUGAACUAAACAAAUUGAUCUGAGGAAAGUUAAAGCAAAAAUAUUUCAACAACAACAACAAACAAUUUCAAAGCGUGGAAGAAAAAAAGAAAAGUUUCAGCAUUCCUGAGGCUAGCUCGUGAAUGGUCCCAAAGCCUCCCCACUUUUGGUUCAAGAAAGCGAAACUGAUACUCCAAAGUUUCAAGAAUCCUAAUUUGUGAUAGUUUUGUUUUGAUUACCCAUCCUCACCUUUACUUUUAUACACUAAAAAUGCAAAAUUUUUAAAUCCUAAAUUUUAGCGGAUAAAAUUAUCUCAUGAUAGAAUUGAAUUCAAAUAUGUAUUAUCAGUAAUCUUAGGUAAUGAUGAUAACUCUUGGAUUUGGAUACACACGUAUGUGCAUUCAUAUAUAUAUAUAUAUAUAUAUAUAUAUAUAUACAUACAUACAUAUACAUAUAUAUGUGUGUGUGUGUGUGUGUGUGUGUACACAUAUGCACAUAUACACACAUACAUCUAACUAUAUAAAAGCGGGAGUUGGGUUAUGAGCAAUGUUUUAAAACCCGGACCGUCAAUUGAACCGGUGAGGUGAAAGGGUCGAGGUUCAACCGAUUGGACCCGUUCAACCUCGGUUCAAUGAAUUUUUUUAAAAAUAAUUUAUAUAAAUAUAUAUAUGCACAAAAUAAGACAUGCAAUGGACUAAUUUAAAACUGUAUAUGAUGAAAAGUUCACUAUUUUUGAAUAAUUUGGAUUUUCAAAAAUGAAUUUUUUAAGUUAUAAGUUAAAGCAAAUAAAUUUCAUCUCAAUUUCAAUUAUAUCUACCCAAAAAAAUCUUAAAUCCAAUCCAAAAUAUCACAAUAUUUUGAAAUUAUACAAAAUUCACUUCUAUGAGAAUUUGACAUUGUGAACUUAAAUUUUAAUUUACGUCUUUGAGAUUUAAAGAUUGUAAUUUAAAAAAGAAAGUUUGGAGUUCGAAAGAAGUUAAGAGAAUUGAAAAUAGAAAUGCAAACUUGAUAAGAAACAAAAAAUGAGAUAAAAGUGAGUGGUUGUGGCAUUAAAUAAUUUGGGUUAAAGAAAAAUAAUUCUUUUUUAACUUUUUCCAAUUUAAUGGACAAAAACAAAAUUAAAAGAUAGAAGAAAAUAUCAAUAAAUUAAAACUAAUGAGGUUCGAUUAAAAAUGAAGUGACAAAAGAAAAGAUGAGAGAGAAAGAAAGAAAGAGUUGAAGAUUAAAAAGAAAAAGUCAUGAGAGGAUGGGGUUUUGUAAGAAAAAUGCAAAAAUAAAAUAUAGAUGUUUGUUUUAUAUAAAUAAGUUAUCAAAAAAAGCAAAUAAGAUGUGAUGGUGCAAUGGUUACUACAUUGAUUUUCUAUUGCAAAGGUUUUGAAUUCGAAUCUUGAUAGAAGCAUUUCGCAAAAAAGUAAAAAAAAAAAAAAAAAAAGGAAAACUCAAAACCGGUUCAACACGAUUCACCGGUUUUCACGGUUUUGACCGGAUUUGACUGGUUCUCUGGCAAAGUCAACCAAAGCAUAGAACCGGACCAGUGCCAUGGCCGGUUCACGGUUCAACCGGUCGAACCGGCCGGUCUGGUCCGAUUUUCAAAACAUUGGUUAUGAGUAGUAAUUCUUUGUCAAGUGGUUAUCAAGUAAUUUUCAGCAACUUUGAUGGCUUUUGUAUUUGUUGGUUUUGUUGACUUUUCGGGAACUCCAUUUGCAUCCGUCAUUGGCAGUUCCUCAUGUCAUUAGGAUUAGUCUUAGUAGUCCUUCAUUUUUUGCUAAUGCCAUUUCCUGUUUCUGCCUUACUCGGAGGCCAGAAGAAGAUGCAUGUUAUAGUUGUAUGGUUUAUUUGUAAUUUAUUUGUUCUUUGUUCCUCUUUGUUUGCAUCAUUUUCGCCUAUUGUGAUCCGCAGAGAUAGGCCAUCUUAGCUAUUCUUGACUAUUAGUUUAGCCUUAGGUUUGUCUUAUUUUUCAGUUAUGCCAUUCCUUUUUUCCUUCGUUCAAGCUGCAUGCUAUAGUUGCUUGAUUGUUUGGUAAUUUUGUUGUCUUCUGACCCUAUUUUUUGUUGACUCAUUAUUCACUUUUGUGGAUGCCUCACUUUUUGUUUCUACAUGUUUCUUUGAUUUAGCGGAUAGUGAAAUAAAUUUGUUUGGAAAAGAAUGCACGCCUAAGUGGAUGCAGUGUUCAAUUUUCAUGUGAUAACUAUUGCUGUGACUAUGCAUGUAACCAUGCUCCGGACUGUCUUCCAUGGAAUUUCCAAAAAUUGAGCUGGACGGAAAAAAAAGGGCCGGCAUUUUCAUCAAAAGUUAAUGAAAUAGUUUAAAGUGUCAAAAGGUUUUAACCAAAAAUAGUUUCUAAUUUUGCUGAUUUUUAAAAUGUACAAUUAUAAAGAUAUAUUAGUCUAUAUAUUUAUAUUUAGUGUGCAUAAUUAUUAGAAAAUUUUUAGUACCCUUAUUUUUAUUAUUAUAGUUUUCAUUCUAUUUAUAUGUGUGUGCUAAUUUAUGAGCUUAUUUUCUUUUUAAAAAAGACAAUAUCUAAGGAUAUAAAAGGGGAGAGUUGGGUUAUGAAUAGUGCUUUUUGGUCAAGCGGUUAUGCUGCAAUUAUUGUUGGAUGUGGAGGCUAUUUUCGUCAAUUGGCUGUUUUGGUUAUUUCACGUUGGUGGUUUACUUUGUGCGGCGAUAAAUAAAAGUUGUGUGUGUGCUUGUUUUUCUAUGCAAUUUAAUACUCAUUGCAUUGGGUGAAGUGGUUGUCUACCAUGUUGACAAGAAACUUCUAAUUGCAUGAUUUUCAAAAAUUGAACCGAAAAAAAAGUAGAAGUCCAACAUUGUCAUCACAAGUAACGAAAAUUGGCUGUCAAGAUUUGGGACUAAAAAUGGUUUAUAAUCCUUCUACUAUUUAAGAUGCACAAUUAUUAAAAAAAAUAUUAGUCUAUAUAUACAUAUUAAAUGUAUAUAAUUAUUACAAAUUUUUUGAUGCCCCUUAUUUUUAUUGUUAGUUUUCCAUUCUAUAAGCAUAAAGUUAUUUCCGUCUUGUAUGUGAGCUAGAUGGUUAACUUAUUUCCUUUUUAAAAAAAUUAAUUUGUUAUUUUUCUAACAUAUUCGUAUUUAAUAUAUAUAAUUAAUAUAAAUUUUUUAACACAUUCAUUUUUCCUAAUGACUCUAAAUUGAAAAGCAAUGUGCUAUUUUUUUUAUUAUUUUAGUCAAACAUGUAACAUUAAUUAGAUUAUUUCUUACAUUAAAAAGCUAAAGUACUCUAAAUUUCAAACAAUAUAUAAUAUAAUUAUAUAUAUAAUACAAAAGGGAGAGUUACCCUAUGAAUGGUAUUUUUGGUCAAGUGGUUAUCCUGCAAUUAUCUAAUAAUAUAAAAUGAAGAGUUGUCCUAUGAGCAGUGUUUUUUUGUCAAGUGGUUAUCCUGCAAUUGUUAUUGGAUGUCGGGGCUAUUUUCAUCAAGUUGCCUGUUUUGUUUGUUUAAAGCAGGUAUAGUUUUGGUGCAUUUACGAGACAUGUUGAUCAAAUUAGUAAUUGGUGGUGUAAAAAGUGAAGCUUUUGAAAGUUGGUUUUUUGUGGUUAAUUAUUUGCUUUUAAAGUGUCCUUUUUUUUACCUAUGAAAGAAUUGAUAAAUUAUUGCUAGCUUUAGUGACUUUAAAAAUGGCCUUUAUUACUGUGACAUGAAAUAAAAUUGUUAAAUGUUCUGUAAAUGCACAAUUAGCGAGGAAACAAUGAAUAAAUUAUUGUUGGUUUGACAUCAUAUAAAAUUGUUAAGUGUUCUGUAAAUGCACAAUUAUUGAAGAAACAAUUAAUAAACCAUUGUUGGCUUUAGUAACUUUAAAAAAUGGAUUUUAUUACUGCGAUAUGUGGUGAUUAAUUUAACAAUGCCAAGUUCUAUGGUUUAAGUGCUUAAUUGACUUGCCAAGUCCCCCUUUUUUGUGUCAACAAUGAUUAAUACUUUUUUGGGAAUGAUUCACUUCAUAAUUUUCUAAUUAUGCUAAAUCAAAUGCAAAAUAACCUUAUACAGUUUUCUAAUUUACGCUUAUGCAUUCUAUAUAAGCGCCCUCAUGCAUUCUAUAUAUUAUUGUUCUCAUGUAUUCUAUAUAUUUCAUAAUUGUCAACCUUUAAUAAAAACGAUAAUUCUCUAAUGAUCUGCAUGAAUUAGAUAAUAACAUAGAUGUAUACUAAUAAAUCACACAAUAAAAAACAAUUAGCACGGAAAUAUUAGCCCAUGCGCAGGCCGUCUCACUAGUAUAUAUAUGUGCAUAUGUGUAUAUAUAUGUAUGUAUGUAGAAUUAAUCUUCUAUGCACUAACUAAUAAUUUAUACACUAUUAGAUUUAGAUGUUUCGCACACGUGCAAUACAUAAAUUUCAAAUUCAAAUUAAGAUUAAUUAUUAUGCAUGUCAAUAUAGAGAAGAUUAGCCAUAUGUUAUUGAUUAUGCCAAGUUUUAAAUUCAGAUCAAGUCACAUUUCAAAUAAACUUUGUAGAAUGACUCGGGACUUUCUUUCAAAUUCAAGUAAAAGCCACCACAAUGCUAGCAAGAGAACUAAGAAAGAAGAAGAUGUAAAAUCAUUAUGCAGAUGUAUAGUAGUGCUGCUUUCUUUUCCUAACAGCUACUAAAAUGUACAUAGCAGGUUUCCUUUGAAGUGGCAGAUGCAUUGAAUCAGCCAUUUGCAGAUGGGUCAUUCGAUUUAAUUUGCUGUAUUGAAUGUGAAAAUCACAUAAGCGAUAAAACAAAGGUUAUUUUUCUUCUUCUAUCCUUUACAAUUACUAUUUCUCUUUAUUUUUUUUUGUUUUUAUCAUUCUAUAAAAAAGAUUAUCUACCCUACUUGUUGAACGUAGGUAUCACGUAUAUGCAUUAAUAUAAAAUUCUGCUGAUGCUAUUUUCUUCUUGAUGAAGUUUGUUCAUGAGUUGAGUCGGGUGGCUGCCCCUGGUGCUACCAUCAUUUUACUCACUUGGUGUCAUAGGGAUCUUUCCCCCCUUGAACAAGAUUUGCAUCCAGAUGAGAAAAAGUUACUGACCCAUGUGCUGAGAAGAAAUCCUCUUAAGUGGAUUUCUACUGCUGAUUACAUAAAUUUAUUCAAGUCAUGCUCUUUUCAGGUAUUUAAUCGCGUUUACUUUUUGCGGCUUAUUUAUUCGAUCAGAAUCAUUAUUUUUCUUCAUCCCAAUAUUUUCCCCCAUUUAUCCAUGUCUCCUGUUGUUAAUUAGGAGAUCAAGUAUGCAGACUGGUCUCCACACGUUGCUCCAUUUUAUGCAGAAAUGAGGAAGAUAACGUUGUCAUGGAAGGGAAUCAUGUCGUAUGUUAGACAUGCUGGUAAGCAUUGUGUAUUUCACUCGCCUAUAUAGCCGAUUCAUUACCAUUAUCUACCUUGUAAUUGUAUGCUAUAAUUCUUAACCAUUUCUCCAUCUUUUCUCAAUUUCAAUUAAUAGGAUGGAGCCAAAUGGGCAUCAAGUUUCUGAUGAUGCCGUCAGUGUUCGACAGAUUCAAAAAUGGUCUGCUUAAGUAUUGCAUUCUUACGUGCCAGAAGCCUCAGUAGUUCAGUUCCAGUGAUGUUUAAUGUCCAUGCAUAAAUAUCACUCCACAGUCGAGUGAUAAUUCCUUGUUUUUCUUUCUCAAAAGCUAAUUUGUACUUGUAUUGUUCCUCAAAACGUGAGAAUUUUCCUUUUUCUUUUCUUUGGAAGAUCUACUAUAUUGUGCAUAUGCGUUGCACAAGACUACAGGUAAUUUGGAGUUUCCAAUAUCAGAACUAGCAGACUUGGUCCACCUAAAAUUGAUAUAAAAAGAAAAGUUCCAGUCGAGUUGUCAAAGCUGAGGUGUAACUUUUAGUUGCAUAUUAAUCCAAGUUUUUUUACGUGUGUGUUACUGUCGUUUACGAAAAAAAAAAAAUCCAAGUUUUUUUACUUUUCUUUUAAGAAAAGCAAAUUGGUCUAAGUUGAACUCUCUUAAUUUUCUCAAAAUCUGGUCUCCAACGGCUGGAGAGGAGAAAACCAAAUAAAAAUGUAGAAAAAUUAAGAUGCCAAGAUAAAUGAAAAGAGACAUACCCACGGCCACGGAUGGUACACAGCAGUGUCGAAAAGAGACAUCCAAUAAACUCUUGGGGUUAUUGCUAUUUAUACAGAAAAUGUGACGUUGGAUUGAAGUUUUUCUGAGAAAAUUUUUUACCUUUUUAGUGAUCACAUUUUCUAAUAAUCUUUUCCUCAUAGAUACUAAACAUAAAAAAGAACUAAACUAUGAUAUUUAUAAAUGAAAAAUAGUAAUAUAAUAAAAAGUGGGAAAUGAGACAGAAGAUCCGUUGUGACCAUUAAUUGUAAUCAGACAAAAACAUAAUUAGAUUACAAAACAAUUUGGUUUUGUUAGGAUACUUUUGUUCGGCUUUCCUUUACAUGUUAGGAAAAAACACAAGUGAUAAAAUCCAAACGUGUAAUUAGCAAAUAUGUUAACUUUUUUAUAAAAAGAAUUUAUAUUGAAGUAGUUUAGAGUUGACUAUUUGUCUAUCUAAAAUGUAACAUCUAAACUACUUUAAAUUAGGCAUUUACAUAUUAAAUCCGAUUUGGUACAAAGGUGAAAAAAUUUGAGAAAAAAAUAAGUAAAUAUAAAGAGCCAUGAGUCAAGAAUUUCACAAAGAUGACUUAUCUUUAAUUUCUUUCCCAUUUUCAUGAUAAAAUUACCAUUUUAUUGGUAAUUAAUCCACUUUAAUUCCAUUAUUUAUUAAACUGUUCUUGUCUAAUUAAAGUUUUCCGUUUGCUCUCCAAAACUCACUGUAUAAAUGUGAACUUAUAUUUCAUUGGGCGUUGGGCUCUCUUGCAAUUACUUUGCUUUCAUAUUUUAGAUAAUUCCUUACUUUCAAUUACAAACUUAAGUUAAUUUUUAACAGCACCAAAUGUUGCAUGACAUUAUUAUGUAUAAGGCAUUAUUUUGAAAAUCUGGCGGUUCCAAUUUUUUGUUGAUUGGGCUUGUUAACGUUACUUCAUUGCUGGUUUUGUUGUUCCAAUUUUUUCAUUUACCAAGUUAAAGAGAACUAGGACAUUAGGGAACAAGUGAAGAAAAGAAUUGGUUAAUAUUUAGACAGUGACUCCACUAUCUCCAUUUUUCUUCCGUUAAAAUUUUUAGUUUGCAUACUAACCCUUCAAUUUCUUAACAACUUACUUUCCUAAAAUCUCAAAGUUUUCCAUAUUUAACCUCAACAUCCCACAGCAUAGAAUUAAGCCUAGCUACUUUCCAAAUUCUUGAAACAGAAUUUUGCUGCACAUUGAUUGCGCACCUACUUUCUCCAAGUAUAUAUAAAUAGUGUAUGGCUGUGGCUAUCAAAUCUCUCACUGUUUGUUCCUAACAAAGAGACAUAGAGUAAGUACCUAAUGGAGGCAAGAAAGAUUAAUACUGUUGCUCCUAUCAUGGUGUUACAGCUUCGGGCAAUUGAAGACUCAACAGCAGACAAAGCCAUAAAAGAGCCACCAGCGGCUUGCUUUGCCUUUUCUUUUAAGAAAAGCAAAUUAGUCUAAGUUGAACUCUCUUAAAUUUUAUAAAAAAUGUAAAUUAGAAAAGAAAGUAUUGAUUAUUCAAUACUUGGAAUAAUCAAUACCACGUAUAAUAUAUGCAAAAUGGGCACUUAUAAACUGAGUACAUAGAAAGCUUAAGGGUAUUUUUGUUUUCAAGUAGAUAUUGAUAAUAGAAUAUAGUGGCAAAAUGGCCAGCUGACCAAGGCUCUCCCAUAUACCGAAUAUAUCGAAAGUUCAAGAAGUCGAAGGGUAUUUUUGUUUUCAAGUAGACACUGAUAACAAAAUAUAUACUAAUUAUCGGGAAGGUAAAAAAAAAAAAUCACUAAAUCUUCACGUCGAGUAUGGAAUCAGGCUUUCACUCGAAAGCUUCCAUAUGUGGUUUCUCCCCCUUGAAGUUAGCGUCAUUACCAUAGUAAAAGAACGUGCAUUCAAGCUUUGACUCAAAAUCUUUCAUUUGAAGUUUUUCCUUCUUCUCAUUUGUGUCAUCGCCAUUGUUAAUGAGUACGGAUUCAUGUUUGGACUUGAAGUCCUACAUAAGCGAUUUCUCCUCCUUAUCACUCUGCUAAAUGAUUAAUAUGGAUUCAGGCUUUGACUCAAAGUCUCUCAUAUGCGGUCUAUCCUUCUUUGAAUUGGCAUCAUCUGCGUGGUAAAGGAAGGUGGAACCAGGUUUUGACUUGAAGUCUUUCAAUGUAUUAGAGUGAAGGUGCUAAUUUUGUUCAGUAAAGUUCUCAGGGUUGAUGGCGGGUUCAGAAUGUCCCUGGGAUCCUUUCUUGCUUCCAUGAAGCAUGCAAGCGGCACAUUCAGGGCAAAUGACAUAAUUGAAGAAACAAGCAUCAUUGUGUAUAGGUACCUAAACAAAUAAGGGAGGUAUGUUGCACACCAAAUUAUAGCCUUGUUGGUCUUGCUUAUCUUAAAGUGUCAUUCUACACAGGUGGACCUGCUUAAAAAAUUUUUACGUAAAUCUAGGACCAUUAAUUUCUUGCUCGUCAACCUUACCUACUAUACCAACACCUUCUCAACCUAUCUCUCUACCUCUAUAGUGGAGACAUUGGAGAUGAAUUCCUCUAACCAACGAAAGUAAACAGUUUCAAAAGUCAAGUUACAGGACAUUUAAGUUUCUUAUAGCCCACAUCGGAAUGUUUUGAAAAGGAAAGCUUUAUGAACAUACAACUACAGAGCCACACGUCAGUUUUGCUCUCCUUAAUCUGAAGAGUUUCCGAUACCUCGGUCGGGAUAGUUAGAGUUGAGGAUUAAUGCGUGAAAAGGAAGAAGAAGGCAUUUUCUCAGGUAGAUAGUUUUAAUUGAGAGGAUCAUAACAAUGCCGAAUAAUUAACGUGAUUUAAGUGGGCGUAAGUUCUAACAGUCAAAGAAUCAUUGCUUAUGAACUACUACUUCAAGUAGAGGAUUGAUGUUUGAGAAAUCUUACCAGGGCAGUUGUAAAGAAUGCGACGAGAGCAACAUAUGAACCCAUCCUCCCUUUGAAUAGCCUCAAAAUGUGACUUUGAUAGUGGAAAACUCUUGGGGUUAUUGCUAUUUAUACAGAAAAUGUGACUUUGGAUUGAAGUUUUUCUCAAAAAAUUUUUUACGUUUUUAAUGAUCACAUUUUCUAAUAACUUUUUUCUUACAUACACUAAAUCGCUACAGUAAUUUUUCUAAAAAAAAAAACUCUAAAAAUAGCAAUCCAAACGGCAAGAGUAUAGCAUUGAUGACGUGUCUAGUUGGAUGGCUUCCACAAUUUCCUGUCUUGGUAUUCGUACACCAAUCCAUUACCAACAAUUUUGCAUUUGUCUCUACGGGCCGAAAUUUCCUCAAGUCAUCCGUCCAUUUGAAAUAACACUACAUUGUUAGUGUUUUUAAGACUCAACUUAGCUCAUAGAGAUAUUCGCCAGGUAAUGAUGGAUAAAAACCUUUGAACCCUCCUAUUUGGCCCUUCUCCCUGAUAGAAGCUCUCCUAUGGAAAAGAAAAAAAAAAGACAGAAGCAAGUGGCUAUUUUGAAAAUUUACAGGUGCGUGAAUUUUACAGCAACGAAUAUUGACGUGCAGUUGGAGCCAUCACAAUUUUUCAGUGGGAGCACAAUUCUCUCUGGCGCUAUUACUCAUUAGAAAACAAAUUUAGGCAUCAAAAUACGCACCACCAAACUAUUGGAACAUUACUUGUCAAGGGAGAAUGUGUUCGCUGCCAAAAAUCUCUAUUUUCAGAAGACAAAAAUUGACUUCAAGUGUUUUUAAUAACAUCGCUCUGGCACAAUUAGAUGCCCAUAGUUGACGAUCCAGACAAUUGAAAUGUCAUUUGGGAGUGUAUGUUCAUCUCAUUGAUUUGAAGCACAUAAAUGGCUUGCCUUGCUCUACUUUGCUCGAUUAAUAUGGUUUUCUUUUUACCGGUACUUCGAAAUUCGAACCAGACCAAUUGGUUUAAUUGCUUGAACUCAGAACCCUUUAUUCCCUUAGAUGUUCAGUUCAAGUUUACUGGAAAAAAAAUCAAUUUUUUCUUCUUUUUUGUUGCAUUCUCUCUUUCUUUUUUAUGAGCUUUUAAGUUUAUUAAUUUCUUUGCCUUGAGUUUGAUACUCAAAAAUUUUCACCAUAAUAGUUCUUUUUGAGCUAUGGAUAAAUUCAACAACAAUAAAUGCUCUCAUAAAUUUCUUCUAAAUUUGAUUACAGUCUUGAUUUUUGCCAAAUAAGGCACAUGGAUUUAGUUCUAAACCCGUCUUUUUUAUUUAAAAUUUUAAUGUUGUUAUGCUAUUUUAUGUGACAUAUAAUUCAGGCAUAAUUAUGACAUCUUCCUAGAAUUUAGCGCCAUUAGAUGCUCAUAAUUGAGGAUCCACACAAUUUGAAAUGUCGAUUGGGAGUGUAUGUCCAUCUCAUUAAUUUGAAGCGCGCAAGUGGUUGCCUUGCACUACUUUUGCUCGAUUAAUAUGGUUUUUGCCAAAAUUUUGAAAUUCGAACCAGGCUAGUUGUUCAAUUGCUUGAAACAAGAACCCUGUACUCUGUUAGAUGCUAAGAUCUUUUUUUUUGCAAUAAAAUACAAACAAUUUCUUCUUCUUUUUUGUGUUGCAUUUUCUCCUUCUAUUUUAUGAUCUUUUAAGUUUUAUUAAAUUUUAGGGAAAAUGGCCAAUUUAAUCCUCAAACUUUUUUACUUAAAUCAAUUUCAUCCUUCAUUUUUUAUUUAGAUGCUUUUAGUCCUUCAACUUAAAUUUAGUAGCCAAUUUCAUUCUUUUGUGGCGGUACUACUUUUUGACACAAAAAUCAUCACCUAAUUAAGGGUAAUAUAGGAACUACAAGUUAAAGGUCAAAACAAAAAAACAGAAAAUUGCUAAGGAGUAAAGCAGAAAACAUUUCAUCUUCUUCAAUAAGCAGCUGCAUCUCUGAUUCUUCUUCGGUUAGCUCCUGCCAAACUUCCAAAAACCAUAUGUUUUUUUCUUCUUUAAAAAAAAAAUCUUCAUCAACAUUGUUUUUGUACAUCAUCAUGUGUCUUGUAAUUUUAGUUUACAAUUAAGACUUAUCAACAUAUAAAAUCUUUUGGAUAAACUCAAGAAAAGUAUUCAAAGUAGCAAAUGGAUUAGCUGUUUUCUAAGCAUUCCCUUGUCGAUAGCUACCUCAUCAUCGUUGCAUCAAAGCUUGGAAAAUAACUUCCUUAAAUCAUUAUUUUAAAUUGCAUUUUCACUUUGAACUUUAGGCUUACAAUUCAGACUUUUUCUUCGACUUCUUUAUCCAUCCCCUCCUGCUGCAUAGCCCCUGUCGACAAUUAACUCCGAUGGCAGUAGUAGAUUUUGCUGGGGAAACGAGACUUGACAGUAUUGGGGUUCCAAAAAAUAAAUGAAUUAGCAGCUUUGAGUAAGGUUUCGGGGAUUUGGGUUUGGAAUUCCACUGGUGGAUUGGCUUUUGCAGUUUUGUGGGGCUUCGGCAUUAUCCAGAGGUGGAGAAGAAGAACAAUUUGGGUUAUUGCACCUUUUGUUUUACUCCCCAAAUUAAUGGAGAAUUGGUUUUCUCCCCAAUGUAACAAAAACUAUUUUGCAUUCAUUGUUUUAAAAGUGAUCCCUAUUUCAUAAUUCCUAUGUUGCCCUUAAUUGAUGGUGAAUUUUGUGCCGAAAACAAUUUUACUGGCGGCGAUGCUGCAAAAGGAUGAAAUUGGUUACUAAUUUUAGUUAAAGGACUAAAAUUACCUAAAUAAAAGAGGAAGGAUCAAAUCGCCUUAAGUUAAAAAGUUGAAGGACUAAAUUGGGCAUUUUCCCUAAAUUUUAUUGCCUAGAGUUUGAUACUCAAAAGUUUUCACCAUAAUUAGUUCUUUUUGAGCUAUGGAUAAUUUCAACCGCAAUAAAUGCUCUCAUAAUUUUCUUCUGAAUUUGAUUACAGUCUUAAUUUUUUAUAUUUUUUUCAAAUAAGACUUAUGGAUUCAGUUAUAAACCCAUUGUUUUUCUUUGAAAUUUAAAUGUUAUUAUGCUAUUUUAUGUGAGACAACGAAGCCCGACCUAAUUAUUAAGACGCUUUACCUAUAGUCGAAAAGUCAUGGGCUUGAGUUAUCAAGGAGGUAAGUAGAGAAUUAUUAUUUAUCCUCUUCUAAGAACAAGAAAAAAUGCUACUUUAUGUGAGAUAUGAUUGAUAAAUAUUUAUGACAUCAUGAUGACCUUAUGAUAAUUUUUGGUUUUUCAUAAUAAUGAACCCUAUGAGUGCCAUUCAAGUGGGAUAGAAACUCAAAUUGAUGGCAUUUACAAGUGCCAUUAAAAAAGUGAUAUUUUAUAAUAACUUUUCUUAGAUUGAACUUAAUCGCAUUAGAGAACUGCAUCCUCAUGCAACAAUUAUCUAUGCUGAUUACUACAAUUCUGCAAUUUGAUUCUAUCGCUCACCAAAAGAAUUCGGUAUUGCACUAUCUUUUUACUUCCUAAUUUUGUCACAACUCAAAAUAGUACUCAAAAGUUUUAUUUAGAUACUUUGUCCUCUAGACUUCACUAGUUUAUGUCAUAUCAUCACCUAAUCCGCAUGACCCUCAUGCACCUUUUUUUUGAUAGAAAGAUCAUUUCAUUCAAUAAAUCCGCACUAAUAGUAGAAAAUACAUUAAACGUAACACAAAUACAUAUGGAUUUGAAAUCAAUAGAUAUAACAGGUCUAAAAAAUCAAUACAAAUAAAGAUAACAUUGAUGCUCUUAUAUAUCUUCCAUCCAGAUGAAUUAUUGUAGUUCAAUACAUCUAUAUAUGUCUUUUGACAGUCAGAUCUUAUUAAAACUGGUUCAAAUUCAAAGAAAAAUUUAGAUCUUAUAAUAAUGAAGAAAUUGCAUAAAUGCGAAACUAAAUUCUAGAUCUAUAAAAAGUAGAUAAAGUUGAAUUAACAUCUGUGCACCUUAAAGUGCAAAGUACAUCUAACGUAAAGUUGAUUAACUCUUGCAGCCUCUUGGGGAGCUGGUGGUCCACAUUAUUUUAAAUCAUCUAUGGGUUGUGGCGACCAACAAACAACUGGCUGUGUUGAUAUCCUUUGGCACAUAUUUGCUGGGACGGUAUGCAUUAGACAGAAGCAGCCAACAGAUUAAUAGUUAAGGCUCUAUUUGAAGGACCAUAUUCAACUCCUGUCAUUGAUUUACAACAAAAUAGGUUAUUAGUGUUAACAAGAGUUGUCACUUAAUUUAAAUAUCGUCACUGAAACAAAUCAGUGACAACAAUUCAGUCGUUAUGCUGCCGACACUGAACCAUUGUCAUAGAUGACACCUAUUGAUAUGUUACAAAAAAAGUUGUCACUUCUAUAUAAUGACGACCUCUUAUUGUCAAUAUUGCAAAAGUCUUUAGUGACUAUUGUUUUUGCAAUUAAAUCAGCUAGGUUGUGACUGUUGUUGACCUAUUGAUCAUCACUAUUAGAAAGUGACAUUGACAAGAAGUCAUCACUGUGUUUGAAACAGCAUUAAUGAUGACUUGGCCUCGUCCCAUUUGUCCUUAACAAUAAUAGCAAGUGAAAGGUGCUCUGUUGUCACUCCAUGUAUUGCUGAUAACUUCAAAGCUGUCAUGCAAUCCCUGUUUUCGGUGACAACUCAAUUUUUGUCGAUUAUGCAGUUGUGUUUCAGCUACAUUUGCACCUUACUAGAAAAACCAAUAAACCAAGUCCAAAUUUAUAGGGACUAACAUGAAACCAUAAAUGUGUACUAAGAAAACUAGCAAUUUAUUAGUGAAUUAACACGAAUCCAUGAACCAAAUUCAUAAAAACAUCUAUUUCAUCAAAGCAUCCAAAUCGAUGUACAACAUUGAGUUAUUGAUAUUCUAGUUUUUAGGUAGUUUUUGAAUAGUUGAAAAAAAUAUAUUUUUUUAUGUUUAAAAGAUAAGGUUCAAUUUCACAAACGUUUCUCUUAUUUAUAAAUUGUAACAAACUUUUAUUUCCUGUAAAAUCUAUAAACAGAAAAGAUAAACACAAAGCAUAAAUGUUACCAGUGACCCCCUAAAAUUGGCUAUCAUAUCUGGAUAGAAAUUAACCUUCAACCAAGUUUGAAAUCAAACUGUUCAUUGGUCCAAAAAAAUAAUUGGGUCAAGAAUUAUUGGUUCAACUAUUCAGCUGAACAUAAUUGACUCGUGAUGACAUGAAUAUGUCAUAAAUGUUUUUCUUCUAUAUAUAUAUAUAUAUUCAUUAUUACAAAUUUGCAAGUAUUUGUAGAUAGUUCACUCUGAUGUAAAAAAUGUUCACUUCAAUCCUUUUUGCAUCUUUUAACCAUUGAAACUCAAAAAUAACUUUUUAAAAACUUUUUUAAGCAAAAAUUAGAGUUAUAUAAAGCAUUUUGUCUAAAUUUUGACUAAUUAAAUACAUAACAGUAUAAAAGAAAGGUAUUAAAGAAAUUAAAGCCAAUAAAAAAAUAAAAUACAUUAAAGGGUUACAGAAGAUAUUGUAUUAGUUAGAGGGAGGGUUAAGUUGGGUGGUAAGGUGGGAGGAGUUGUAAGUAAAAGAUUUUGGAUUCAGUCUUCUGCCUUACCAAAAAAAAUUAUUGUAUUAGAUGUAUAUAUAUGCUGAGCAAUAAUUAAGAUGUAAUAAUAUUCUUUUCAACCCUCACUUUUAAAACGAAACAAAUUCAUCCCUGACAUUUAAAAUUGAAUCUAUUACAUCCCUAAAUCCAACUUUCAAUUUGAAUCAAACCAUCCAGUAACUCGGUAACAAAUUUGGGGGAUAGAAUUGAUACAUAACUUAGUCAAUUCCAUCAUAUUCACAUGACAUUUAUUGAACCAAAAAAGGAAAAAACAAUUUAAAAAUUAUAAUAUAAAAAGCCGUUCUUUGUUUUGGAAUAGUAUAGUUUUUUUUUGGAUAAAUCUUUUCAUAUGUAUACCACACAUACAAAAUUUGGUGUUUAAAUUUAAAUUGAAAUGAUGUGACUGGUAUCUAGACCCAUCAGUGUAUAUAAUAACAAUGUAGAAAAGAUUAAUUCUUUUUUUUUAUUUUAUAAUUUUUAUUUUUUAUUUUUGGAUUUGUUAAAUUUCACGUGAAUAUCAAGUUGAGUUAAUCAAGUGAUCUACCAAUUGUAACCCUGAAAUUUGUAAUCGGAUUGUUAAUCAAGUGAUCUACCAAUUGUUGAAUUCAGGGAUGUAAUAGCUUUAGUUUUUAAAUGUCAAGAACGAAUUCGCUUCGUUUUAAGAGUGAGGGACAAAAAGAAUAUUUUUGUGAAAUGUAAGGGAUGAAACUAAUCAUUUUCUACUAUUGCCUAAUUGGUGGAGACAAUUAUGUACAAAAAAUUGGUAAGGUUUAAAUGCGGAACAUAACAUUAAUUAACCAAAUUUGAAAGUUUUUUUGGUCUCAAUUUAAAUUGUGCACUGAAUUGGCUCGGUCAUUAAAAACUGCACUAGUUCAACUAUUAGUUGGCUGAACUCAAUAAUUUUUCUGAUUUAGCCAAAAUUGACCAUUUUUGUAAUAUUACUGGGUUUUAGAGGCUGUUCGGUCUGACAUGAAGACUGAUCGACAAUUAAACCGAUCCAAUUGGGCGGUCCGGGCAGAGUUUUAAAACAAUGCCUUAAACAUGCCUGCCAGCUGGUCUCGAACUUUCCCACAUUUGAUAGUGCUGGGAGCUAAUAGAACCGCAGGAUGACGCAAGAGACUUAUUUCAACUUAAACGAGAGGAAAUCUGGUAGGUGUCGAACCUGUGCAAUAAUAAAAAUAAAUCCUAAUUAUCAUCACAAGUCGUCAAUAAUCAAUUCUAGGUGCUGGAGUAGGGACUUUAAAUGUGCAUUGGGUUACUUAAUCCAUCCUGUUUCUCAAGAGUUUGCUUAAUUCGAUAUUCCAGAAUUAAUUAACUGACAAAAUUUACUAACUAGUAGACAGUGGCAAGUAGGGUCGACUUCUCAGGAACUGGGGAAACGUUCGUUUCCUUUCGAGUCAAGAUAAAAGGGGGGAUUUAGAAUUUUGUACUAAUGAAUUGCUAACUGAAUAAAUUAAAUACGAAAAAGCAAUUAAUUGAAAGAAAUAAUUAGGAGGAUUCUAGUCAAGGGUUGACAAGUCGUCAGCCUGUGCAAUAAUAAAACCUGCUCAAACUAAAGUUAAUUUCUGUAGAUAGUGGUAAGCAGGGUCGAAUCCACAGGGAUUGGGUGUAACUGUUUCUUUUCAAAUCCACAGUAACAAGGGGGGUGUUUUUGUGCAGAAGGUGACAAUCAAAGAAAUUCAACUAAAAUCUAAGAAGCUACUAAAAAUUAAAUAACAAAUUACUAAAAUCAAAUGGGUGAUAAUUAAGGAUCUAACCAAGAAAUAACUUCAAGAAUGGUUCACCUAAUUGAUCAUCGAAACAAAGGCAAUUCUAAUUAUUUAUCAAUAAAUAGCUUAUAACUACCAAACAAACGAUGACAGUCAACCCCUCCAAACUGUGUCGGUGAUUAAGGUACGCCCGUUAAUCACAACUCUAAUUGAGAAAUAAUUCUAGGUACGCCCAUAAGAUUUAAUUUCUCAAUUGCCUUACGUAUUAGAGGAGCCCUAUUCUAACCAAAUAACGCACUACCAGGGUUAUUUUAGAUUAACCCGCGUAUCCCCCUGACACGAAUCUAAUCGUGCCAGUUGUUACUAUUUCAAGGCAAUUAAACAAUUACGGAUUUAACACCUCAAUUGACAAUAGAUUAUUAAAUUAACUAAUUAUCCGGAUCCAAGACAAUCAAUUAAUUAAACAACCAUAAGCACUGCAAUCAGGGAAUAUGCAAAUACCAAUAAAUAAAAGAAAAAAGAUAAAAUUAAAUCGAUCUCACAAUUUUUAGGCGAACCAGAGCCUCCGUUGUCCUUUGACUAGAGUGAGAAAAUUAAUUCAUAUUGGAUGAACAAAAUCCAUCGGAAAUUGGAGAGAAAGUCGCAGUCAUCAAUUGGAAACUGGGUAAACUUAAUUCGAUUGACCACUGACUAGAAAGAAAAGCUACAAAAUACUUGAUUGUUUGUUUGCUUCUGCUCCAUACGAAUGAAGAGAAAACUACCACUAAAAGCUAAAAAGGAGACAAGUCAAAAGCCAAGCUAAAGGACAAAAAAAACUAAGAAGAGAGUCAGUGCUCUUCCUCUGCGCAAUUCCUAUUCUAAUUAGCCUACUGCUCCUGUGCGGCGUCUGCCGCACUAGAGGAAGAAGACUCCCCGAGGUUUGCUUUCUUUUCCUUUUUUCUAAUUGCUGUCUUCGAUCAAAAUUACCAAAAAGGUCUUGCAUCUCCUUGUUCUAAGAAUGCCCUUGAUUGCCUGCUAUUUGAACUCUUUCCCGAUGACUGUCAAAUUGGCUUUGAUUGUGAUAUUUUUAUUAUACUCCCUGAAAUAAAUGCAAAUUACGAAAAGUGAGUAGAAUUUAAUAAUUAAUUCACAUUGGGUUAGGUAAUAAAGGAAAUUAAUAAUAAAAUAAAUGAUAAAAUUGCACCCUAUCAAUUCCCCCCACACAUAAACCAUGCUUGUCCUCAAGUAUGAGAACAACAAACAAACACCAAUAUUUGAUAGUGGCUAUUGCUCUAUCCACCAAAUUGCCAAGAUACCAAGAAAGACAUAGAUCGAGCCUCAGUGAUCAAGAUCCAAGAAACAUCACUCCGGUUAGUUUCUAAAUCACAAACUCCUUCAAUUCCAGGUUAACUAAUCUAAGAAGAAGGAAUGAUCGCUUAACAUCACUAGCAAAUGGUCCAGUUAUUAACCAAAAUCUCAACAUUAAAUCUAUAAAUCGGCAAGCUGACUAUUAUUAUACACUAACACCACCUUCACUUUUUAUCACAUUUUUCUUUUUUCUUUUUUUUUUUGAUUUUUUUUCUUUUUUUUCUUUUCUCAAUAGUAACAAAAGACUUAGUCGCUAGCCAUUGGAGCCUUUUGACGGGAACUCCAACAUUUUUAGAUGAAGGAGCCUGGUUACUCAACUCUUAUCGGUAUACGAUCACAUACUCAUAGAAAGUACUAUCUUUUAACGCGAGAAUCGACACUUUUAGGUGCAGAUCCCCGGUUACUCAAUAGUAACUAAUAGCGGAGUACAGUCAAGUUUAUUUAUAGCUACAAAUCAAAAACUCACUAUAACACAAGAACCAAAAGAGAACUUGCAUCAGCUAGCCUCAUUUUCAAACAUGGAGAACUAAAGUUAAUAACCGGACCACUCCACAUGAAAAAUGCCAACAAUUAUUCCCUAUACCUAGAAAAGUUAAUCAAAAAUUAGAAAAGUCAAUCAAUUACUGAAAUUCACCAGAGGGAUAUUUCUGAACUCAACCACAUUAACUUGAUACCCUUUUAUUACUAAAACUCGGUAAUAGCAGAAAUAGAGACAACAAUCCAACAUCAAACUUUGGCAUCACUUACGAGCUAAUCACUAAAAAGGAAGAAAGAAAUUGAACGAGAGGUGGACAAAUAGCAAAUUAAAAAGAAAGCAAAAACAUCUAAAAAACUAAAAAGCAGAAAAACUAGCACAGCUGCCCCCCACACCUAGAUCCUACAUUGUCCUCAAUGAAGGAAAUAAAGCAAUUAAAGUGAAAAGGACAAUGAAACUUCCCUCUCGAGUGGCUAAGGGGUCGGCAGGAACGGCGGAAGGGAACCGAUGUGGUGAGACAUCAAUUCAACCAGCAAAUGCAAAACUCUGUCCACCCAAAAUCUCAACAAAGUCUCCAAUAAUGUGCUAAAUCCAGCAAUAUUAGUUCAGGACUUUAGUAAUAGUAGCGCAGUCACAAGCCCUUGGCAGUCAAUCAGAUCUCUAACCAAAUAGAGUUAACAAGUACUCGCACCCUUACCAUUGGUGCAAAUCGCAAUUCAAAAUCAAUGAGAUUUCAAUAGCAGAGCAGAUCAGUAGUAAAGCAAUAGCCCCAAGUAUUAAUCUAGUCAGAAGAAAGAUUCUAAACCUCUAAAGAAGAGCAACAGGCGACUAGAAUUCCAAUGAAUAGAGCAAGUAGAGGAACCGUAGGUGGGAACCCAGUCCACCGAAGUCAAUAAACAAACCCAGGAAACAAAUAAGUCCGCAAAUGAGUCAACAAAUUGCACAAAUGAUCAGACCAAAAUCACAGACACUGCUCCUCCAAAUCAGCAAUAUAAACCAACAUCCAGAAUGUCCUUAAAAACUCGAUUAAAAACUACUAAUGCCAACAAGGAAUGCAGUUGCCGAAUUAAAUCAACGAAAAUUUCAACAAGCACAACACUGGCCAAGAUUCUUCCCAAAAUAUCACAGACAAUUGUUAAAAUUCUAGCCCACCCAAGAACUUCAACAAUUCCCCCCAAAAGUUUGAACAAAUGUCCCCCCCCCGGCACUGUGCUAGAGCACAACCAAUUUCAACGAAUGUGCUAAUCAAAGAGGCUAAGAGCAGGGCAACUGUCAAACACCCAAUAACCCAAAACAAUUGAACUCAAAUCCACAAAAAAAUGCAAUAAAUAUUCCCAAGAAUUUGGCCGACCCGAAAUAGCAAGUCAGAAUAUAGACAGUAGUAACAUAGGCACCAUCUCCGCGCUCUCAAUUAGGUAGGCAACAACAGAGAAUGAACAAAUCCGGAGUAAAACACACAGCUGCUAAACGAUACCAAUCAACACCAAAAAAUUUUUGAGAUCGAGGUUGAAAUACCUCUACUGGCCGCCAAACAAAGAACUGGAGUGGUAGUGGCUGGCGCGGCGGCGGCCUGGUGGUGAGAGGCGCGGGAGAGAGGUAGAGUUGCGGGUGGAGAGCUCAGGCUGCAGCUGUGGCGACUGACCGCGGACGGCGGAGCUGCUGCUGGAGUUGCAUGAUUGGGUGCGGCGGGCAGUCGGCGUUGGUAGGAGCUGUGGAGUGGGUCUGGUGGUCGGCGGACAAGCUGGAGUGGAGGCGGCGUGAGUCGCGGUGGCGUGUUGCUAGCGGCGAGCAAAGAAAGGUGAAGUUGGAGCCGAGGUGGAGAGGAGCUGGCAGCGUGGGCGGUGCGCGCGACAGCAGCUCGCGGUGAAGGUGGUGGCGGCGCGAGGGAGGAAGCGGCGUGCGCAGGUGGAAGAAAAGAAGAAACAAGGGAGAAGAAAGAAAGAAAAGAGAAAGAACAAGAAAGAAAGAAAGAAAGAAAGAAAAAGGAAGAAAAGAAAGAAAAGAGAGAAAAAAAAUGUUUUUUUUUAAAUUGAGAAACCGAGCUACAGUUGAAAAAUUUUUCUUCUUUCUUUUUUUUUAAAAAUUUUUCGUUUUUUGUUUUUUUUUGUUUUAAAACUUUUUUUUUUAAAUAAAAAUUUUUUGCAAAUGUUAUUUUCGAAAUUCAAAAUUAGAGAUUAACCGAAAAUCAAUAACCGUUCUUGAGUUUUUUUUUUGAAUACUUACCUUUCCCGCGAAUGUGAAACGGGCGCGUCAUGAGAACAAGAGAGUUCUCUGACCAUGAGCUUUUCAUGGGACUUGACGCGGGCACGUCAUGAGGAUUGAAACCCUUUCUAACGAUUCUGAUCGUGAGCUCUCUAUACGUCAUGACGCGGGCGCGUCAUGACAGAGGGACACCUACAAAUCAUCAAAACGAAAAUUGAAACUUGAAAUCAGUCAAAUUCAAGGAAAAUAUAUUUAAACUAUCACACAAAAUCAAACAAACAAUUAGAAGAAACAAUUGGGUUGCCUUCCAAUGAGCGCCUUUCUUUAAUGUCUUUGGCUAGACAUUAUCAUAUUUUGUUAAUGGAGGAUAAAAUCUUGUGGCUCGUCUCAUUGCUUCCUUCUCUAUAUAGUCUUGAUAACCCUUGUAAAUAGAGUAAUUCUUGGGCACACGAACUAUGGGGCUUCCAUGGACUAGUAAAUGGCGCUAAACAAGUCAACAAUGAUCUGCAUUCUCCACUCACUCCUCCCUCACUUGCAUUUACUGGUUCAAGAUAUUUUGCCAUCGCCACUCUUAAUUUAUUCCUGUCAUGAAAUUUAAAAUUUUCUGGUAUAAUAAAGUCAAUUUCAUUAACAGGAAUUGAAGAAUAAGAGUCAGGAGAAUAUUGAUGAAGGAAUGGAUGAGAUGUCACCGCAUUUGAAGAUUGUUCACUGAAUUCAUUCUCUUGAACAAGUUGAUACUGGGGUUCCAUUUCUUGCACUUCAGCUUCCUUUUCAACUGCAUCUUUAGAUCCGUUUCCUUGAAACUCUUGCAGUUCCAUGUCAUUUGGCGGGAUAACUGCACUCUCAUCCUCUUCAAGGUUGAUAUUGGUUUGUGAGGGCAAUUCUUCAAGGUGAGAAGCUAACCGCUCUAUCCUGGAUGUUAAUUGAUUCAUUUGAUCCGCCAAGUCGCGAAGGCUCGCUCGUUUCUCCUGAUGAAAUCGAUAUGCAUUAGCAGCUAGUAAUUCCAUCAUCUCUUCAAGAGACAUACUUGACACAGAUGAUGGUUGUUGAGACUCUUGCUGUUGAAAAUUCAUUGGCCCGGUCAUAUAAUUAAAAUUGGAAUUGUCCCACCAUUCUUGAUCAUACCCGUUUGAAUAAGGGUCAUACCACGUUUGAUAUUGGGGUGGAAAAUCUCCAAAAGUAUCAAUUGGAGCACUUAGAUUAUCUUGAAAUGCGGGGCAUGUGUCGGUUGAAUAACCUGAGGCAAAAUAAGUUCCACCAUUUGCAACAGCCCAUUGAUCAUUAGGGAAAACAUGAGUCUCAUAACUCCAUUCAGGAAUAACAUCCAGCCUAUCAUCAAAAUACGGAAUGUUAGCAGCCAUAAACUAUAUAAAAAAAAUAAGAGAAAAAUAAAUAAAAAAAUAAAAACAAGAUGAACUCAAAAAGAAACAAAUUAAUCUGGCACCAGUCUCUGGCAACGGCGCCAAAAAUUGACAGGUCGUCAGCCUGUGCAAUAAUAAAACCUGCUCAAACUAAAGUUAAUUUCUGUAGAUAGUGGUAAGUAGGGUCGAAUCCACAGGGAUUGGGUGUAACUGUUUCUUUUCAAAUCCACAGUAACAAGGGGGGUGUUUUUGUGCAGAAGGUGACAAUCAAAGAAAUUCAACUAAAAUCUAAGAAGCUACUAAAAAUUAAAUAACAAAUUACUAAAAUCAAAUGGGUGAUAAUUAAGGAUCUAGCCAAGAAAUAAUUUCAACAAUGGUUCACCUAAUAGAUCAUCGAAACAAAGGCAAUUCCAAUUAUUUAUCAAUAAAUAGGUUAUAACUACCAAACAAGUGAUGGCAGUCAACCCCUCCUUACUGUGUCGGUGAUUAAGGUACGUCCAUUAAUCACAACUCUAAUUGAGAAAUAAUCCUAAGUACGCCCAUAAGAUUUAAUUUUCCAAUUGCCUUACGUAUUAAAGGAGCCAUAUUCUAACCAAAUAACGCACUACCAGGGUUAAUUUAGAUUAGCCCGCGUAUCCCCCUGACACGAAUCUAAUCGUGCCAGUUGUCACUAUUUCAAGGCAAUUAAACAAUUACGGAUUUAACACCUCAAUUGACAAUAGAUUAUUAAAUUAACUAAUUAUCCGGAUCCAAGACAAUCAAUUAAUUAAACAACCAUAAGCACUGCAAUCAGGGAAUAUGCAAAUACCAAUAAAUAAAAGAAAAAAGAUAAAAUUAAAUCGAUCUCACAAUUUUUAGGCGAACCAGAGCCUCCGUUGUCCUUUGACUAGAGUGAGAAAAUUAAUUCAUAUUGGAUGAACAAAAUCCAUCGGAAAUUGGAGAGAAAGUCGCAGCCAUCAAUUGGAAACUGGGUAAACUUAAUUCGAUUGACCACUGACUAGAAAGAAAAGCUACAAAAUACUUGAUUGUUUGUUUGCUUCUGCUCCAUACGAAUGAAGAGAAAACUACCACUAAAAGCUAAAAAGGAGACAAGUCAAAAGCCAAGCUAAAGGACAAAAAAAACUAAGAAGAGAGUCAGUGCUCUUCCUCUGCGCAAUUCCUAUUCUAAUUAGCCUACUGCUCCUGUGCGGCGUCCGCCGCACGAGAGGAAGAAGACUCCCCGAGGUUUGCUUUCUUUUCCCUUUUUCUAGUUGCUGUCUUCGGUCAAAAUUACCAAAAAGGUCUUGCAUCUCCUUGUUUCAAGAAUGCUCUUGAUUGCCUGCUAUUUGAACUCUUUCCCGAUGACUGCCAAAUUGGCCUUGAUUGUGAUAUUUUUAUUCUACUCCCUGAAAUAAAUGCAAAUUACGAAAAGUGAGUAGAAUCUAAUAAUUAAUUCACAUUGGGUUAGGUAAUAGAGGAAAUUAAUAAUAAAAUAAAUGAUAAAAUCGCACCCUAUCAAGGGUACACUUCAGAGAUGAUUCAUGCAACUGAUCAUCGAUUUAAAUAUAAUUCUAACAUUUAUUAAUAGAUUGAUUAUAGCUGUCAUACACGCGAUAAACAGUCAGUUUUUCUUUACUUUUUCGAUAGUCAAGGUAUGACCGUUAACUAUUUCUCUAACUAAGAAAUAACUCUAAGUACGACCGUAGGAUUUAAUUUCUAAAUUGUAUUAAGAAUUAGAAAAACUCAAUCUUAACUAACAAACACGCUACGAGAGUUUGUUUAAAUUAGAUCGUAUGUUCUCCUGAUAUAAACCCAAUUACGCUAGUUGCUACUGGGAUGGAGGUAACCGAACAAUUAUGGAUUCAACUACCCCUAAUUAUCAAAAUAGACUACGUGAAUAAUUAAAUAUUAUGCACUAUUCAAUCAUACACAAUAACUAUAAUAAUUAAAAGCAGAGAACAUAUAAAUACCAAUAAAUAAAAGAAACAGUUAAUUAAUUUAGAUCUCACAGUAAUUAUUGAACCAAAUUUUCAGUUGUCCCCUAGACUAGAAUUAGGAAGUUAGUCCUUCAAUAAUGGAGAACGUGCCAUGUAAAGCAAUUGAGAAAAACUGUCAGCCCUUGUCUCCCCAAAUUCGGUCAAUUGAGAAAGAAAGAGCAAGAAAAAUCGUUGCUUUGUAUUGUCUCCCACAAAAAGCAUAAAAAGAGUCUACUGUACCAAUUCGGUCAAACAAAGGUAAAGAAGUAGGACAAGUCAACAAUUCUGGCCCUCGCGUUUGUUUGCUUCUCAAUUGUGCUGAGAAGCAAAAAGUCAAAGACAAGAAUAAGUACAAUCCCCACUUUUCUGCGUUUCUUCCAACCACAAAAAGGUGAAUCAAUUCCUAGAAACUCUCCUGUUUCCUAAUUUUUCUCCUAAUUAGUUGGUAGCCAAAUACCAACUACUUCCUAAAUAGCAAUUCUAUUACAAUUCAAACUUCUUUAGCUUCUGCUUUCCUUUUUGGAGCGACCCCACUGAUUUUCCAAUUUUAAGCCAGCUACUUCACUCAUAUUUCUGAAGCUUCCCACGCGUGAAUAAUCCCGAGGAUCCGGCUUUGAAGGUUGGAGUUAGGCGUGGGCACACCUAAUUGUCAAAAAAUUUUCUAGAAUGUUGAUUUUCAGCACCUUUUCUUCACCACUUCCUACAACUAACACCAAACACAGAACCUGAGUAGAAUCCCUCAAAUAAUGCAAUAUUUAGUCAAAACAAUUAUGGAAUAUUGGCAAAAAUCCCAUUAAAACGCUCCCUAUCAAAAUUAGAAGAAAAAUUGUAUUAAGGCUUAACUAAAGGAUACUCCUUAAUCCCAUAAAAAGUACAUGACUCUUUGACUUAGCAGCGCAUGCUAUGGUAUGUGAUGUGAUGAAGGUAAAGAGUCACACACGUUAGAUCUAAAUUUCGAUACGCAAAAUUCAAGUUAGAUGACUAUAUAAACAUUUAUAUGACAUUCAAACAUCGUCUCUUAAAUUACCCAUAUGCAUAUAAAAGAAUGUAAACUAAAAAGCGAUCUUUUUUUUUCCCUAAAACUCUAUCUGUUGGUAAAUCAAUUUUAACUAUUAUAAUACUGAAACUACACACUUUGAGAUACCAUGCAUGUAUUGAGUACCCAAACCAGUUUGGGUUUAGGUCUAGGUUAGGUAUAUAUCCUUUUUUUUUUCAAACCAAUAGGGUGUGGAUUUAGAUUGGGGGCCAAAAAAAUUUGGGAGAUAGGAGAUUUGGUUUUGGAUUUACUAGAUCUAACUUAGUGCCGGGCACUAGACCUUGGCCUUCCUACCAUUGUUGGUCGCUCUAAGUCUGAAGUUUUUUCAUCAGUAAAAGUGAGAAUCUGGCAGAAGAUACAAGGAUGGAAUGAACAAUAACUCUUAAAGGCAGGUAAGGAAAUCAUGAUCAAGGCUGUUGCCCAGGCCAUUCCAACAUACUCAAUGUCUUGUUUCAAGUAUCCAGAUUCCUUGCUUUCAGAUAUCUAAUCUAUUAUGAGUAACUUUUGAUGGAGUGAUGGUACAGAGUAGAAACCAAUUCAUUGGGUAAGUUAGGAUAGAAUAUGUUUGUCCAAAAACAAAGGUGGCAUGGGCUUCAGACAACUUAAGGCUUUUAAUUUAGCUUUACUAGCUAAACAGGCAUGGCACAUUGCAACUCAACCAUCUACUCGUCUACAUCAGGUUUUUAAAGCUAAAUAUUUUCCUAAUUCUGACUUUUUUCAUGUCAAGCCUACUUCCAGGCCUUCUUUUAGUUGGAGGGGAAUGGGCAAAGUUCGAAAAUAUUUAGUCUCUGGUAGUAGAUGGCGAGUUGGAAAUAGGAAUCAUAACAAAAUUUGGAAAGAUAGGUGGAUUCCGUGUCCUUCUACUUUCAAAAUUAUAUCUCGUUCUGAUGCGCUACCAGAUGACCCUACUGUAGAUUGUCUAAUUGAUGAAAAUAGCAGCAAAGGGAAAUAUGAGCUGCUUCAAAGCUUUUCUGGCCGGAUGAGAUUGAUAAGUAUAUAUUUUACGUGUUUUAAGUGUGUUUUAUUAGUUAGUUUUGGUGCGUUUUUAACUAUUUUUAUAGCUAAUUAACUUAGAUUCUAGUGAAAAUAUACAUUUUAUAAUUUAAUGUGUAAAAAUUGCAUUUUUAUAGAUUUUAAUGGCGAGUUCAUGUUUUCAUAGGUUUAAGGAUUCAAUCAUCAAAUAGAGUUAUUGGAGAAGAUAAUUGGAUGAUUGAUGAUAGUUUCAAAUGAUAAAAAGAGAAUAUGAAAUGCAAAAGAGGAAAUGCGAUCAAGAAUAAAAGGAAGCAAGUUUCAUAACUUUGACACCUUGUGGUAUUUGGCAAUAUCUUGAGCUACAGGCAUGGAUUGAGGUGAUUGUUAAACCAUUUUGAAUCUAAGAAAUAGAUCUACAUUUGGUAUGGAGACAUCAAAAUCUAGUUCAGUCAUUUUCCUUGUCAAAAAGUCGAAAUACAGAAGUGUAACUCUGUUGUCGGAAGCUGAAAUAGAGCUCUGACUAGUUGAGGGUAUUUUGGUUAGUUCUCAGUCUAUAGAGCUCCAAAUUGAAUGAUUGUUAAGGUAUUGGAAAGCUAACUCAAAGGACUACAACUUUCAUGUUUUGCAGAAGAGUUAGUUCAGUCUCCAUCAUUGAGAAAAUAGCAGUUGAAGUGGUGUUAAAUGCACAGAAUUAAAAAUGCAAGCUACAAAUACGCGACUUGAAAUCGCGUAUUUUUGAGGCCAUGUAUUCUCUUCUAUUUUUUGCAACUUGCUCAUCAACUUGUUUGCUUUCACACAACUUUUUCAACUCAAUUCUAGCUAUCAAUUCAGGCUAUAUCUGAUCAAGAAAAGUGUGGAAAAUUGGAAAGAUAACUCACAAGAGUUUCAAGACUCAAAUAACAAUUACCAGCCUUUGGAGGACAUUUUUACAACUUUGGAAGGCUAGAGAAACUCACCAAAAAUAUAGUCCUCACUAGAAUUUCCUUAAUUCAUCAGUUAGAGCAGUACAGUAUAGUUAGUAUAACUUUUCCUUCUUAUAUUUGUGGCUAGACUUGGAUAAAGAUUUGAAAAGUAAAAAUGGAGAGUUAGAACUCAUGUGACAAGGGUGACUUUUCUCCGUUCACUUUCUCUUUUAUAUUUAAGUUCAUGUCCUAUAAUACAAGUUUGGAUUUGUUUUUCUUUAUGUUUAAUUAAAAUUUAAACCUAGAGUUAUGAAUGAAUUUUUUAUAUUUUGUUAGUGAUAUUUACUUGGUUAUUUGAUGAUAUUAUUUUGAUCAAAUUAUUUAUCACUUUUGAUUAUCUAAUCAUGAUUAACCAGCCAUUAGUUGUAAUUAUUUAAAGGUGUUAAGUUUGCAAUAAGAAUCGGAGUUUAACACUAAUUUAAGGAAGUGAUAAAAUGAAAGUAGAGGGGCACCUUUGUGGCAUAAGUGACUUUUGUCAUGUAAUUUCAUAAAAGAAAUGAACUUGUAGUUAAUUUCAUAACCAUAAGAGUAGGUAUGUCUUAAUUACAAGUACAGUUGAUUCACUACGAAAGUAGGUUUUACAUACAUUAGAAAAUUACGCCAUGACUAGCCAAGAUAAUAAUAUUCACUUAACUAGUAACUUCAUUUGCAAGAGUAGUAAGGAAUUUCAUACCUCUAGAAGCUUUCUAGUGUUAUUUUUAUUACUUUUACUUCAUCUUUAUAGUGUAGAGUUAAUUUCUAGAACUUGUGAUAGUAUAAAUAAUAAAGGAGUUUGAAAAUCUCUGGUAAAUGAAAAUCUUCCCUGUAGAAUCGACCCUUAAUACCCUAUACUCAAUCACGACUCGUAUAUUUGCGAAAAAUCACGUGUGGAGUAUUUAGGAUGUUGUAUAUGCAAAACUUGACUGUAGAUAAACUAAUUGUUAUAUGUAUACCCUGCGCUGGCCAAGUUUUUGGUGCCUUUGCCGGGGAAGGUUUGUCAAUAUCUGUGCUAAGAGCAACUUUAUUAAUUUAGGCAUUUUUACUUAUUUUUCUUAGUUUUGUUAUGUCUAGUGUCUUAAUUGCAGUGUUUAGUGUUUUAUUCAGUCUUUAUUUAUAUGUUUUCAUUUGUGUGUCAAGUCAUCUAUUCUUCUUAACUAAACUUGUUUUUAAAUUAUUUUGAAGACAUAUUUAGGGAUUCAAGAAGAGUAAAAAACAUGAGAAGACGAUGCAUGAGAAGUGGAAGAUUCGCAAUGGAUGUUUAAUACGUACAAAGCUCCUUGAAUAGAGGUAACCAAGAAAUUACCGAAGGCAUGUCAUUUAAAGAUGGUUUAAGGAGUUUAAAGGUUAAACUUGAUGUUAUAACAUUAAAAGUUCAAUUAGACACCAUUAUGCAUGAGAUUGAGUAAAAGAGGAAUGUUAAUGCUUUUAAUUCUUAUCAUAUGAUUUGUGACUUGUGUGAAGAUUAUCAUGCUACUUAUACAUGUAGACAAGCACAAAAUAUAGAUAAUUAUGGUGCUAAUAGGGGCAAUUCUUUUAUACGGUUGGGAUAAUCAAUGUGUAUAUGGUGAUUCUCCUUGUUUACAUGAUUACCAAUCCGAAUGUGUCCAAUUUGAAUCUAAACCAUCUUGAAAAUUGGCAAUAGAAAGGUUAGUUAAUGCACCUUCACUUUUGGAAUUAGAAAGUCAACCAUUAGUUAAUGAUUCUAAGCCAUCUUGAGAAUUAGCUAUAGAAAAAUUAGCAAAUGCAACAUCCGACCGUUUUUAUAGGGUUGAGAAAAGAUUAAAUGAAUUAACUUCUUACUUUGGUAGAGUAGAAGACCAAUUACAUGCAUUAUGUGAAGUUAUUUCUUCUACUCAUAUACAAAAUGAUCCUAACAUGAAUGGUGAGCAUGUUGCAAGUGAAAAUGGAUUGCAUUUUGAUGAAAAUGAUGAAUCUCAAUUAUGUUUUAAUGAGAAAAUGUCCAUUUCACAUGAUAGUACCUUUGGACCUAAUCUUGAACCUUAAGCGGUGAGUCUUAACAACUCAUUUUCACCUCUUGAGGAAUGUAUUGAGAGUAUAGGUUUUAAAGGUAUUAUUCCUCAAGAAAGCCAUGUGGACGUUCCUUUGGUGAGUUCUCUAGUGAUGCAUAUUUAAGGUAAUAUCUAUGAAACACUUGAGAUAGGUAAGCCACUUCUACCUCUCAUAUCAUUAGAACAUGUGGCUAUUGCGAUUGAGCCACCGUUUACUGAUCCAUCAUGACCUAAAAUAGCGGAUUAUUCUUUAACAAAGACUUUUUGAAAAAUGAGGUGAAAUAGUCAAGCUAAUGACUAUAAAGAAGUGCUUUUUGGGAGGUAACCCAAUAUUUUGGUAUUUUAUUUCAAUUUAGUGUGAUUUUAGGAUUUUUGUUAUGUAUUGAUGUUAUUUUGUUUUGUUUGUUUUGUAGGUAUUGGAAAUGGAAGCAAAAGUGACCAAAUGAGAUAAAAAAGUCAAAAUUCGAUUAAGGAACUCCACCCCUUGAUUUGAGUAAAAGUUGUUUUUAAUUUGUUAAAAAGGGUUAAAAUACAUGUUUUGAUCAUUUUACAUGUUCAUGCAUUGAUUAUUUUGACAAAAGAAUGAUCUAAGAUACAUUUUGAGUAAUUGGGAUACCAUGUAUAAUUUUGAAAAGUUAACAUUUUGCAAAAUUUGCAGAAGAAAAUGCGAUGCCCAAAAAAAUGCAACUACAAGCUGCAUAUUGCAUUCUGCAACUUUUGCACUAAAAACUCGAUCAUCAAAACGCGACUUCAGGUCGCGUAUUGCUGAAGUCGCAUAUUCCUUUCUACAUCAUUAAAGCAGAAAAUGAGCAUCGAAAAUGCGAAUUCAUGGUCACAUUUUCUGCAGUCGCGUUUUUAGGGUUUUUUUUAAAGAAAAAAUGCAGGCUCCUUGUUCAUUCUCUUCCCCUUCUUUUCCUCAUGUAUUUCAUUGUACCUUGUGUAAUUUCUUGUAUAUUUUCUAUGGGUGCAUCACCAUGACAAAGGCGUAUAAGUUACGGAUUGCCGUUUUACGUUUAUUAAUGCCUUUGUUAUGACUUUUGUUUCUCAUUUUCCAUUCUUAGGUUGUAUUAUUAAUGGUUAUCCAAUGGAACUCAUGAAGUAUUGGAGAUAAGUGGACAACUCUGCGAAACUUCAUAAUUGCGCGCUUUAAUCACAUCAUUAGGAGAGUAUUAUUUUCUAUAUCUUGGUUUCCCUUUUUACACAUUAAAGACAAUGUGCAUAUUAGUGUUGGGGGGAGGGGGAGAAUUGAAAUUAUAUAUGUUGGUUGUGAUGUGAUUGAAAUAAUUUGGACUUGUGUUUGGAAAUGUUAUUGUGCUUAGAAAUUUUUCAAAUUUGGGUUUGUUGGCAGGGAGUUUCGUCUAUUUAUAAGAGGAAACUCUGUCAAAAUUUUUCUAAAAUCUUGUCCAAAUUGUAAAAUUGCCCCACAAAGUUUCAAAUUUUUUUCAAUUCUAUCCAAAGGGCAACAAGUUCCACACCAUUAGUUAUUCAAAUGCCUUUUACUUUUGAGAUAAAUAUAUAUGAUUUGACAAUUUCUUUUCUCAUUUAACUUGAAAAUGACUAUUAUGUUAUUAUAAUUUGUACAUUAUAGGGAAGUAUAUCGUGUAAAGUGGAGAAAAUUAUGCCUACAUUUUGCAUAUUUGAUGAAAUUUCUUCUAUUUACUUGAUUUUUCGUAGUUAAGUGAUGAAUAUGGUCACUAAGUGUAAUACUCUUCUCAUGAUUAUUCUUUUGAGGGAAUAAUUAUUAUCUUUGCUUCAAAAAAAAUAAAAGUAAAAAAAAGAAAAAAGAAUGAAAAAAAUGAAAAAGAAGAAAAAGAAAAAAAAAGAGAAUAAAAAUUGUUCUACUCCAAUGGUUCUUGUACUUACUAACCGGAAGUCUUCAUCUACAAAUGUCGAAUUUCACAUAAAAUGGUAUUUGAAUUAAGAGUAUGCAAGGCAACUUGAGAUUAUGAAAUAUUGAAUAACCGGUGAUUUGCAUCUAAAAAUAUCGACCGUCGGGUCAAAAUAUAUUUUCACAAUUUAAGUAUAUAUUUUGUUUUGUUAUAUGAAUAAAUCCCUCUUCAAAUAUGAAUAAGAAGAUGAUCACGAGUUUAGGAAGCAUUUUUAUUGACCAUAUGACUUACUUGCUUGUAAAAUUGGAAAAGGAUGAGGAAUUGAAUUGAACUAGUUAAAAUUAUGAUAUAAUUAACUCUCCUUUACUUGAUAUUAUGAGUAUUUGACCUUAGUUGAAUGAUUGCAUAAUAGUUAUUUACCUUGUUUUUGAGGAAACAAAGUUGAAUGGUGCGCAUAUAUUUAUUUUAGAAAUUUUGGAUCAUUCUUGGUUUGUAUUUCUUAUUGUUUGAAGAGAGGAAAUGGUUCAAGUGUGGGGGAGUUUGAUAAGAAUAUAUGUUAUGUGUUUUAAAUGUGUUUUAUUAGUUAAUUUUGGUAUUUUUUAACUACUUUUAUAGUUAAUUAACUAGAAUUCUAGUGAAAAUAUAUAUUUUAUGGUUUCAAGUGUAAAAAUCACAUUUUUAUGGAUUUUAAUAGCGAAAACUUCAUGUUUUCAUAGGUUUAAGAAUUCAAUUAUCAAAUGAAGUUUUGGAGAAGAUAAUUGGAUGAUUGAUGAUGGUUCGAAGUGAUAAAAAGAGAAUAUGAAGUGCAAAAGAGGAAAUGCAAUCAAGAAUAAAAAGAAAUAAGUUUCACAGCUUUGACACCUUGUGGUAUUUUGGUAAUAUCCUAAGAUACAGGCAUCAGAUUGAGGUAAUUAUUAAACCAUUUUAAAUCUAAGAGAUAGAUCUACAUUUGAUGUGAUAUCAAAAUCCAGUUCAAUCAUUUUUCUUGUCAAAAAGUCGAAAUAUAGAGGUGCAACUUUGUUAUCGAAAGCUGAAAUAGAGCUCUGACUAGUUGAGGGUAUUUUGGUUAGUUCUCAGUUUACAGAACUCUAAAUUGGAUGAUUCUUGAGGUAUUGGAAAGAUAAUUCAAAGGGUUACAACUUUUAUGCUUUGUACAAGAGAUAAUUUAGGCUCUAUCAUUGAGAAAAUAGUAGUUGAAGUGGAGCUAAAUGCAUAGAAUUGAAAACACAAGCUACCAAUACGCGACCUGAAGUCGUGUAUUCCUGAGGUCGCGUAUUCGCUUCUAUUUUUUGCAACUUGCUCAUCAACUUGCCCUGCUUUCACACAACUUUUCCAACUCAAUUCUAGAUAUCAAUUCAGGCUGUAUCUAAUCAAGAAAAGUGUGAAAAGUUGGAAAGACAACUCAUGGGAGUUUAAAGAAUCAAAAAUGACAACUAGAAACAACUCAUUUGACUCUUGCAUCUUUUAUAAAUAUCAACUUUUGGAGGACAUUUCACAACUUUGGAAGGCUAGAGAACCUCACAAAAAAUGUAGUCUUCACUAGAAUUUCCUUCGUUUAUUAGUUAGAGUAGUAUAGUAUACUUAGUGUAACUUUUCCUUCUUGUAUUUGUAGCUAGACUUGGAUGAAAAUUUGAAAAGCAAAGAUGGAGAGUUAGAACUCAUUUGACAAGGGUAAUUUCUCUCCUUUCACUUUCUCUUUUGUAUUUAAGUUCAUGUUUAACUAUAAUACAAGUUUGAAUUUAUUUUUCUUUAUAUUUAGUUAAAGUUUAUGCCUAAAGUUAUGGAUGAAUUUUCUAUAUCUUGUUAGUGAUGUUUACUUGGUUAUUUGAUGAUAUUAUUUUGAUCAAGUUAUUUAUCACUUUUGCUUACCUAAUCAUGAUUAACUAGCCAUUAGUUGUAAUUAUCUAAAGGUGUUAAGCUUGCAAUAAGAAUUAGAGUUUAAUACUAGUUCAAGGAAAUAAUAAACCUAGAGAGUUCACUCACGAAAGUAAAGGAGCACAUUUGUGGCAUAAGUGACUUGUUUCAUGUAAUUUCAUAAAAGAAAUGAGUUUGUAGUUAAUUUCAUAACCACGAGAGUAUGUAUGGCUUAAUUACAGGUAUAGUUGAUUCACUAGGAGAGUAAGUUUUACAUACAUUAAGAAAUUACGCCAUGACUAGCCAAGAUAAUAACAUUCACUUAACUAGUAACUUCAUUUGCAAGAGUAGUAAGGAAUUCCAUACCUCUAGGAGUUUUCUAGCGUUAUUUUUAUUACUUUUACUUCAUCUUUAUAGUGUAGAGUUAAUUUCUUGAACUUGUGAUAGUAUAAAUAAUAAAGGAGUUUGAAAAUCCCCGGUAAAUAAAAAUCUUUCCUAUAGAAUUGACCCUUAAUGCCCUAUACUCAAUCACAACUCGUAUACUUGCGAAAAAUCUUGGGUGUGGUAUUUAGAAUGUUAUAAAUGUAAAACUUGAUUGUGGAUGAACUAAUUGUUAUAUUUAUACCCCGCGUUCAUUUAGAUAUCGAGCUGAUUAUGAGUUUUUCGUUGGGUGACAGUCGAAAUCAAGAUAAGCUCAUCUGGCAGUACUCUAAAAAUGGCUUCUUCACAAUGAAAAGUGCCUACCAUCUUGUCAAAACACAAUCUACAAACUAGCAGGAUGUAGCUUCAAGCAGUAAUGGCUCUGUGCAUGAUAUUUGGCCUUGCUUGUGGAAAUUCAACAUACCAAGUAAAGUUAAAAUAUUGUUGUGACGAAUUUGCAAAGGUAUUCUACGUACAACUUCCCAGUUAAAUAGCCGUGGAGUUUAUUUUGAUCCUACCUACUCUUUAUGUAAGGCCCCUGUUGAAGAUGUUAAUCAUAUUUUUUUUAUGCUCUCCAAUAGCAAUUCAAGCUUGGGCCCUCAGCUUUCUUACACUGAAGAUAAGAUUAGACUUUGUCGAUCAAAUUUCGUCUUGGUUGCCUGGCCUUCUUCGUCUUUUGAAAAUGUCAAACAUGGAAUUGGUAGCCAUAAUUCUUUGGAAUAUAUGGCUUAACCGAAACGGUGCAUUAUUUGAUGGUUCCUAUUGUGAUCCUCUUAGUCUGGUCUCUCUCUAUCUAUCAAUUUCUUACAGAAAUACCAUGAAGCAUACACAUUUCCAAACAUCCCAAUAUGCUCUUCCACUACUCAACUUCAUUGGAAAAAGCUCCCUGUAGGUUUUCUAAAGCCAACUUCAAUGGUGCAAUAUUCUAUGAAAACGGCUACUCUGGAGUUGGAGUUGUUGUGAAGGAUGAAUGAGGCAAUUUUGUUGCAGGUAUUUCUCACAAAAUCUUAGGUAUCCUUUCUCCUAAGGUAAUUGAAGCCUAUGCUGGAAAAUUUGCGAUUUCCUCCUCACUUAAGUUAAAGAUUCUCAAGAUUAUUUUGGAGGGUGACUCUUUGAAGAUCAUCAACAUGCUUAAAAAUAUGAAAGCUGAUGAUUCAGCCUCGGGGGUCCUAUUAGAUGAUAUUCUUAUUAGUUUACAGAAUUUCAUCACUUGGGAGGCAAAUUGGGUCCCUAAGAAUCUAAAUGUGCUUGCUCAUUUAUUAGUUAGGAAUGCUAGCUCUAUUUCAGAUAUUUGUAGUUGGAGAUAUUUUCCACCAUAUUUUCUUUCUUCCACAAUUACUGCAGAUCUAUCUUCACCAUAAUAAAAUUUUCCAAUUUUUUUCUAUCAAAAAAACUCAACGUCAGGUUCUACCCCAUUGACAUGCUAUAAAUAGAUGUAUUUUUCAAAGGAUAAAAUUGUAUUUGUUUGUUAAGAACCCGUUUGGGGUUGCAAUAGUUUAUCAAAAAAGACUUCACCUAAUAGAACUUUUAAUAAAAGUCCUUGUUAAGUAAUUAAGUAUUUUUAAGUAUACUGUUUGAAUACAUAGUUCAAUAAAUACUUAUUAUAUUCGAUAAUGUGUAAUUUGAAAAUUUUAAAUAUAUUUAUCUCUUUAUUUAGUUCAUAAUAUAGGAUAAAAUGAUUAAAUUUAAUAUUUUAUUUUUAAAAAUUCAAAAAUUAUUUUAAAAGCACUAAAUUUAAACUUUUGCCAAAAGUACUUUUAAUACCAAAGUCUCCACUCCGGAUUUUAUAAAUUGAUAUUCACCAAAUGCCUCAAAUGUACCUUUGGCAUCCAAAAGUACUUUUUAACCAAAACCACCGCAACCUCAAACCAGCCCAAAAGAAGAAUCUUUUAAUCGGGCACACUUUAUUGUAUCCAUUUGCAUUAUUUGCUUAUGCUUUUGUAAGAACCAUCAAAGCGGAGCUGCAAGGGAAAUAAUACCUAGCAACUGAUGGAUUCCAAAGCAUUUGCUUCUUGUAUUCUCCUCCUUCAUCUGUUGAUUGCUCUAGCAAAUUACUUUGCCAUUAAUUGUUUUUCGUGAUAUAUAUGUCAUGGACUUGAUUCUCGCUGUCUUACAACAAUAUACAACCUUUACAGGGAGCUUGUGAUAUUAUAACCAAGGAUAGUACUAAUGCAAUCAGACUUCAGGGCAUAGAUGUUAAUAAUUCUGACCGAAAUGAUAAAAGACAUGAUAUUGCUCACGUCCAUGAAAAGAAUUCAAUGCAUGAUCCUUCUCAUUCCUCAUCCCACAUGAUGCAUCAGAUGGAUCCAAGAACAAAUCUCAAGUUAGGCAAAAGAAUAAGUAUCUUUUUCCUGACGGAGAUCCUAGUCCCCUAUCCUCUCCUUAUCUCUGGCCUAGAGAACAAGCUGAUGCUAUCCCCUUUUCAUUGGCAAAACUCCCACAAAUUCUUCAACACUUUUCAUUCCCUCAAGGAUCUCGCAAGGCCCAAGUGAUGGAACAUACACUCUGAGCAUAUGAGACUAAGCCUAUGAACGGAGAAUCAAGGCUUGUGCCACAUCCUAUGAGUCAUUGGUAGAUUUUGCGUGAAAGACCUUGGGAUUGAAUACCAAUAUGGAAGUUUUAUCAACACAUCGCCUCUCAAGAUCUAAUGUUGCUACACUACAAAACUAUACAAUCAUAGAAUCUCCUAAAAGAAUUUCAACUCUAAAGGUGAUCGGCUGUCACACAAUACCAAUGGGGCGGGCGCAUGUUGCCCUGCCCCCCACCCCGUUUUAAGGCUGGGGGAAUUUGCCCCCGACCCCGCCCCAUUCCCCGCCCCAUUUCUACCCCUACAAGCACCUGCCCUCGUUGCCACCCUUAAUCUCAACAUAUCGGCUGCAGUAUCGACGAAAUGCAAAUUUUGAAGCAUCUAAUAUUCUAAAAAUUGUGAAAAAUAUUUUUUAAAAAAACUAUGCUAAACAAAAAUAACAAAAAAAGUUAAAAAAAUGAGUUCAUGAGCUACAUUUGUGAGAGGGUAAGGUCAAGAUUUUAUCCUCAAAUACUGCUCUACACCCAAUAAAACCGAUUGCAAGUUUAACUUUAUUCUUCUAAUUUUAAGGAAAAAAAUUAAUUUAAGCUAAAAGCAUAACAUGCAUUUUAAUUACUUAAAGUAGAAUAAAACACAUAAACAUAGCAUGAUAACUAGAAAAAACCAAUAAGAAUGAGAUAAUUAGUUCCAAAGCUUCUAUUGGAAAAGCCACGAAACAAUGCUUUCAUAUCCCAUUAUAUCACAUUCGAUAACAAUUAAAAGUAAUUAAGAGAAAAAUAAAAAAAUGAAAGAAAAAUAUAAAAAUAAAAAUACAAUAAUUAAAUGCACCUAUGCCCUAUAUCGGUGACAUCAUUUCCAAAAGGAAAAAUAAAAUUAAUUACAACUUAAUUUGACAAAUGACAAACUAAUUAAACUAACAGCCAACUAGUUAAUUGCUAAGGACCUAAUUGAAAACAUUAAGGUAAUGUUUUGGAGUCGAAUUAGAAAGUACAAAAACUCGGGAGCAGAAAUUAAAAGUGAAAGAAACUAAGGGGGCUAAUUCUGGAAUUUCAAACACUGAGUCAUCUUUCCCACGGGAAACUCCUGCCCGCUACUGCACUGGUUCCUUCUUCACUGACGAAGUUGUCGGAAGCUGGAAAUCAUCAACUCUGGCCAGCAUUAGACCGGCCGGAAUUUUCCCUCUCUCCCUCAUGCACGAACACACAACACACACACGCUGAAAUUCUUACAAAAAGCGCAGCAAAAUAGGAAACGGCAAAAAAGAAACAAAAGCUGGGAAAAAAUUGGGGAUGACUUGGUCAACUCGCCCGUUUCACUUGGUCUCAGAGACAAUUUGGUCUGAAUCAGUCGAGUUUUUCUCCUAUUCUCAGUGAUUCUUUCAUCUCCAAUGUGACGUGAACAAUCGCAGAGUGGAGUCCUCCGUUCCAUGACAACUCGGCCAAGUCAUUUCGGACUCUCCCUAGUGUUUGAACCAUGGGCCUACUGCCUAGUACCGAGAACAAUAUCCUUUUUAGUCACAGUUCUUUAGCAUUAUGCAAAAGAUGCAGUCGAAUUUCAGAAUAUCCCUUCCAAAUCUUGUCUGCUUUUCCUUCCCAUGGAUGCUGCAUAUGAGAAAUUCAUUGAGUAAUUUUCUACUACGUCUCUCCCAUAUACCGAAUAGAUCGAAAGCUUAAGAAGUCAAAAGGGUAUUUUUGUUUUCAAGUGGACACUGAUCACGAAAUAUAAUGGCGAAGCCCAAUUGACCAGGACUAUUCCAGACUUUUUACCAAAAAAAAAAAAGAAACAAGAAAAAAAGAGAGAGAGAAACAAAGAUGCACUAAACACAACUAAAAGUUUCACCGUCCUAAAUCAACACAGCAUUUAUUUAAUAGAGGAAUUGCAUUACACACGAGACAUUUUCACUCCAACACUAAGAAAAUAAGACCAACUACAUUUAUUCUUGACAGAGCAAAAAUCCAGUCUCAAGCAAAUUGAAUUUCUCUCAUUUGGGGGCAACAUCACGACAAUGUUACAAAAGCAGCGAUAUAGACCUUCACUUCACUUUGAGUCUUUCAUGUUUGGUUUAUCCUAAUUUUGCUUAGCAUCUGAUAAGGAUUUAUUUUACGGAUUUUUAAGUGUAUUUUAUUAGUUAAUUUGGUUUGAUAAUUUAGUUAUAUAACUAAAAUAACUAAGGUUUUGGUAAAAAUCUACAUUUUAUGUUAAAGUGGCUAACAUUGCAUUUCUAUUGAUUUUUUAUGGUAAAAACUUUAUAUUUUGUAGGUUUAAUGAUUCAAUCAUCAAAUGAAGUGCAUUGAGAAUAUAUUUGGAUGAUUAAAGAUGGAUUAAAGUGGUGAAAAUAAAAUAUGAAGUGUAAAAGAAGAAAUGCAAUUUGAAUCAAGAAAAGUCAGCUUUGACAACUCUGACACGUUUUGGUAUUUUAACUAUAUCUGGAGCUACACAAAUUGGAUUGAGGUGAUCUUUAUACCAUUUGAAGGUAAGAGAUAGAUCUAAAUUUGGCAUGAAGACAUCAGAAUCCAAUUCAGCCGUUUUCUCAGUCAAAAGGUCAAUACACCAAAAUUCAACACUGCUGUCCAAAGUUGAAAAUACAACUUUGACCAGUCUUCAGUAUUUUGGUCAUAUCGUGACCUACAAAGCUCCGAUUUGGAUGAUUUUUGAAGCAUUGAAAACUUAAUUCAAAGAGUUAAAACUUUUGUAUUUUGUACAAAAGCUAGUUCGGCCUCCAUCAUAGAGAAAAUUGCAUUGGAAGCAAGGCCAAAAAUACAGAGUUGAAAACGCGAGUUGACAAAACGCGACUCCAAGCCGCAUUUUGUGUAGGCGCGUUUUGUAGCCGAAAUUCUGCAAUUUGCUCAGCCAUUUCUCUUGUGUUCAGACUACUUUCCAGCUAUAAGUUGCAAGGGAAUUCGGUGCACAUGCUUCAGAAGACAAAAGGGCAAGAAAGGUGGCUUAUUUUCAAGUUAAAAACACUUGUUAUUGACUAUCUUAACAAUUUCAGAUUUGGGAAUCAAGUGUGGAAAGUUUGACCAAUGGAAAAUGAGCUUUGGAGUAGUUUAUAUGCAGAGACAUUUGGGAGGUUAGAAGAGGAUACGGGGAGAAGCUUGAAAUUGGCAGAAAUGUAGUUCUUCCAUUUCCUUAGUGUAGGAUAGUUUUAGCUAGUUAGUUCAUCCUUCUUUUAUAUUAGCUAGAUUAGGAUAAAGAUGAAGGAUGAAGAAGGCAAGGAGAUGAACUCAUAUGACAAGGGUUACAUUCCUUCCAAAUUCUUUAUCUUUUGUACUUGAUUCUAUUGUUGGUUAAUAUAUAAGUCUGGAUUUUAUGUUAUUUAUGUGUUUGUAAAGUUUAUGCCUUGGGUUUGGUUGAACUUUCUAUAAUUGUUAGUGUUUAUUAUUUGGUUAUUUGAUUGCUAUGAUUUGAGCAAAUUAUUUAGCACUUUGGCUCUUUAAAUCAUGAUUAAUCUGGUACCAUUAAUUGUGAUUAUCUAAGGUGUUAUUUCUGCAAUGAAAAUUGAGAUUUAACAUUAGUUUAAUAAGUGCUAAAUAUAGGGAAUACACUCACGAAAGUAGAGGUGCACCUAUGUGGUUUUUAGUGAUUCAUUUCAUAUAAUUUUACUGAAAAAAUGAACUUGUAGCUAAUUUCAUAACCAUAAGAAUAGGUAUGGAUCAGUUAUAAGUAUAAUUGAUUCACUACGAAAGUAGGAUUCAAAUGCAUAAGGAAAUUACACCAUAACUAGCCUAGAUGUAGUACUCAAUGAUUCAAAUAUAGCACUUGCAUGAGUAGUUAGGGAUACCACAACCUCAGGAGCUUUUAUUUGUUAUUUUGUAUAAUUUCAGUAAGUUAAAUUUGUUAUAAUUCAUUGAUAGUCUAAAUAAUAGAGAAACUUUAGUAAUACCGGUAAUUGUUCACUCUUCCCUGUGGGAUCGACCUGAUAUAUAUCCUAAACUAUUAGUUGAUCUGUAUACUUGCAGUGAACGGGUGUAAUUCGGUUUUUAACUUGUACAUAUAUGUAAAAUACCCGUCAAGUUUUUGGCGCCGUUACCGGGGAAGAUUUGGCAAUAUCGGUGUGAAGAGCAACUUUAUUAGUUUAGACAUUUUAUUAGUUAUAGUGUAAAUGUUAUUUUCUAUUAUUUUAGUGUUUUAAAUGUGUAUGUGUUUUAUCACCAAUUCUUCUUACAAAUUUUGCUCUUAAAUUGUUUAAAAGCAAUUUUAGGUGAUGAGAAUGAUAGGUCAAUUUGGAGGACAAUGCUUGAGAAAUGGAAGAUUGGCAAUGGAUGGUUACCAAGUGCAAAGCUCCUUCAACAGAGGCAACCAAGAAUUUAUUGAAUGUAUAUCUUUUGAAGAUGGUUUAAGGUGUUUAAAGGCUAAAUUUGAUGUUAUGAUGUUACAAGUUCAAAUGGACACAAUUAUGCAUGAAAUUGAGCAAGAGAGGAAUGUUAAUACUUUUAAUUCUUAUCAUGUAAUUUGUGACUUGUGUGGAGGUUAUCAUGCUACUAACACAUGUAUGCAAGUACAAAAUAUGGAUUAUUAUGAUGAAUUAGAGCAUUAGAAUCCCUGUUUUGAUCGAUAUAGUGCAAAUGCUUAUGGUUGGAAUAAUCAAUAUACUUAUAGUGAUUAUUCAUAUUUUUAUGAUUACCAACCUGAAAGUGUCCAAUAUGCAAUAGAGAAGUUAGCUAAUGCACCUCUACCUUGGGAGUUAGAAAAUGAACCAUUAGCUAAUGAUUUUAAUGCAUCUUGGGAGCUAGCUGUAAAAUUAUUUUUUAAUCAAUUUGAUUUAGCAAUAGAAAAGCUAGCAAAUGCAACUUCCGACCGUAUUGAUAGGAUUGAGAAAAGAAUAGAUGAAUUAGCUUCUCACGUUGGUAGAAUACAUGAGCAAUUGAAUGCAUUGUAUGAAGUUAUUUCCUCCAAUAAUUUGCAAAAUGAUCAUAGCAUGAAUGGUGGGAAUGUUGUAUGUGAAAAUAGGUUGCAUUUUGAUGAAAAUGAUGAAUCUCAAUUGUGUUUUAAUGAGCAAAUAUCCAUUUCACAUGAUAAUAUCUUUGGAACUAACUUUGAGCCUCAAGAGGUGAGUUUUAAUGACUCAUUUUUCACCCCUCCUAAGAAGUGUCUUGAAAGUAUAGGUUCUAAGGGUAUUGCUGCCUAGGAUAUUUUCAUGGCAUUUCCUUUGGUAAGUUCUCAAGUGGUGCAUACUCAAGAUAAUAUCUAUGAUUCACUUGAGUUAAGUAAGCUAUUUCCACCUCUUAUAUCAUUAGAACACGUGACUCAUGUGAUCGAUUCACCUUUUAAUAAUCCACCACGUCCAAAAAUGGUGGAUUAUUCGUUAACUAAGCCUCCUUGAAAAAUGAGGUUCAAUAGUCGAGCCAACGACUAUAAACAAAAGCGUUUGUUGGGAGGCAACCCAAUGUUUUAAUACUUUAUGUUAUUUUGGUGUGAUUUUAUGUUUAAAUUAUAUGUGUGAGUUAUUUUAUUAUUUUUCAUUUGUAGGUAUUGAAAAUGGAAGUAAAAGUGACCAAAUGAGGUGAAAAACGCGAAGUUUGAUCAAAGAACUCAACCCCUCGAUUUGUGUUAAAGGUGUUUUUGAUCCGUUAAAAGGGAGUAAAAUGCAUGUUUUGAUCUUUUUACAUGUGCGUGCAUUGAUAAUUUUGACAAAAGAAUGAUCUAGAAUGCAUUUUGAGCAUUUGGGGUAAUAUGUGUAAUUUUUUAAAGUUGGCUUUUCUGCAAAAAUUUGCAGCAGAAAACGUGGAUGAAAACGCUCCAUCGGCCACGUUUUGGAAACGCUCCAUCAGCCAUGUUUUACACUAGCCACGUUUUCAAUUCUGCAAAUUUUGUAUAGAAAACAUGGAUGAAAACGCUCCAUCAGCCACGUUUUGAAAACGCCACGUUUUGAAAACGCUCCAUCAGCCACAUUUUACACCAGCCACGUUUUCAAUUCUGCACCUUUUGUACAGAAAACAUGACUUGAAAACGCUCCAUCAGCCACGUUUUAUACGAGCCACAUUUUCAGUUAUGCCCAAAAGGAAGAAAACGUGCCUCACACAAAACGUGGCUCGAAGGCACGUUUUGUCAAAUCACGUUUUCCCUUCCUUUUUCGAAUGCUAAAAACGUGAGACCUGAUUCAUUCUUUAUUCUUCUUCUUUUCCUCAUAUAUUUUCUUGUACCUUGAGUUGCUUAUUGUGUAUUUUCUAUAGGUACAUUACCACCACAAAGGUUUAGGAGUUACGGAUCGCCGUUAUAUGUUUAUUAAGCCUUUGUUAUCACCUUUGUUUUUCAUUUUCUAUUUUUAGGUUUACAUUACUAAUGGUUAUCCAACAGAACUCAUGAAGCAUGGGAGAUAGGUGAACAACAUAUCUUGAAACUUCAUAUUCAAUCCCAACAAUAGGGGAGUAUUACUUUUCUUUAUCUUGAUUUUCUUUUUUUACAUAUUGAGGACAAUGUGUAUGUUAAGUGUGGGGGGAGAAUUGAGAUCAUAUACAUUAUAUGUGAUUGACUUAUUAGUUGCAAAUAUUGGACUUGUGUUAAAAUUCAAAAUUUUUCUAACAUCUUGUCCAAAAUUACAAACUUGCCCCAAAAAUUUCUAAUUUUUUCGAUUUUAUCCAAGGGGUAACAAGUUUCAUACCAUUAGUAGUUCAAACUCCUUAUAUAUUUGAGAUAAAUAUAUGUGGCUUAAGCACUUAUUUUGUCAUUCAAUUUGAAAAUGACUAUUAUGUGAGUAUAAUUUAUGCAUUGUAGGAAAGUAUAUCUUGUAAAGUGGAAAAAAUUAUGCCUAUUUUUUUUCCAUAGCUAAUGAAAUUUCUUCUCCUUAUUGAAUUUUAUAAGUUAAGUGAUAAAUAUGGUUAAUAAUUGCAAUACUCUUCUCAUGAUUAUGAUUUUGAGGGAAUGUUAUUAUCUUUACUUUAAAAAAAAUAAAAAAAAAUGAAAAAUGAAAAAUGAAAAAAAUAAAAAAAGAAGAAAAAAGGAAAAAAGAAAAAAAAAGAAUAAAAUUUGUUCUACUCCAAUGGUUCUUGUACUUAGUAACCGGGAUUCUCCAUCUACAAAUGCCAACUUUCGCGUAAAACGGUACUUGAAUUAAGAGUAUGCAAAGCAACUUAAGUAUGUGAAGCGUUGAGUAACCGGCGAUCUUCAUCUAAAAAUGUCGAUUUUCGCGUCAAAAGACACUUUCACAACUUAAGUAAUAUUUAUCUAGAUUAUAUGAAUAAAUCCCUCUUUAAAUUUGAAUAAAAAUGAUAAUAAGUUUAGGAAGCAUAUUAUUGACCAUAUGAGUUACUUGCGUAUGAAAUUGGGUAAGGAUGAGAAAUUGACUUGAAUUUGUUAUAAUGGUGGUAUAAUUGGCUCUCCUUUACUUGAUAUUAUGAGUACUUGAGGAUUAAUGAAAGAUUGCAUAAUUGUUAUUUACCUUGUUUGGAGAAAAUGAAGUUGAAUGGUGCACAUAUAUUUAUUUUCAAAAUAUUGGAUCAUUGUUGGUUUGUAUUUCUGAUUGCUUGAGGACAAGCAAUGGUUCAAGUAUGGGGGUAUUUGAUAAAUAUUUAUUUUACGUAUUUUUAAGUGCAUUUUAUUAGUUAAUUUGGUUUGAUUAUUUAGUUUUAUAACUAAAAUAACUAAUGUUUUGGUAAAAAUCUACAUUUUAUGUUAAAGUGGCUAACAUUGCAUUUCUAUUGAUUUUUUAUGGUAAAACUUUAUAUUUUGUAGAUUUAAUGAUUCAAUCAUCAAAUGAAGUGCAUUGAGAAGAUAUUUGGAUGAUUAAAGAUGGAUUAAAGUGGUGAAAAUAAAAUAUGAAGUGUAAAAAGAGAAAUGCAAUUUGAAUCAAGAAAAGUCAGCUUUGACAACUCUGACAUGUUUUGGUAUUUUAACUAUAUCUAGAGCUACACAGAUUAGAUUGAGGUGAUCUUUAUACCAUUUUGAAGGUAAGAGAUAGAUCUAAAUUUGGUAUGAAGACAUCAGAAUCCAAUUCAGCCGUUUUCUCAGUCAAAAGGUCAAUAUACCAAAAUUCAACACUGCUGUCCAAAGUUGAAAAUACAACUUUGACCAGUCUUCAAUAUUUUGGUCAUAUCUCAGCCUACAAAACUCCGAUUUGGAUGAUUUUUGAAGCAUUGGAAAGCUAAUUCAAAGUGUUAAAACUUUUGUGUUUUGCACAAAAGCUAGUUCAGCCUUCAUCAUAGAGAAAAUUGCAUUGGAAGCGAGGCCAAAAAUACAGAGUUGAAAACGCGAGUUGACAAAACGCGACUCCAAGUCGCGUUUUGUAGCCGAAAUUCUGCAAUUUGCUCAGCCAUUUCUCUUGUGUUUAGACUACUUUCCAGCUAUAAGUUGCAAGGGAAUUCGGUGCACAUGCUUCAGAAGACAAAAUGGCAAGAAAGGUGGCUUAUUUUCAAAUAAAAACCAUUUAUUAUUGACUAUCUUAACAAUUUCAGAUUUGGGAAUCAAGUGUGGAAAGUUUGACCAGUGGAAAAUGAGUUUUGGAGUAGUUUAUAUGCAGAGACACUUGGGAGGUCAGAGGAGGAUAUGGGGAGAGGCUUGAAAUUGGCAGAAAUGUAGUUCUUCCAUUUCCUUAGUAGAGGAUAGUUUUAGCUAAUUAGUUCAUCCUUCUUUUAUAUUAGCUAGAUUAGGAUGAAAAUGAAGGAUGAAGAAGGCAAGGAGUGAACUCAUGUGACAAGGGUUACAUUCCUUCCAAACUCUUUAUCUUUUGUACUUGAUUCUAUUGUUGGUUAAUAUAUAAGUCUGAAUUUUAUGUUAUUUAUGUGUUUCUAAAGUUUAUGCCUUGGGUUUGGUUGAACUUUCUAUAAUUGUUAGUGUUUAUUAUUUGGUUAUUUGAUUGCUAUGAUUUGAACAAGUUAUUUGGCACUUUGGCUCUUUAAAUCAUGAUUAAUCUGGUACCAUUAAUUGUGAUUAUCUAAGGUGUUAUUUCCGCAAUGAAAAUUGGAAUUUAACAUUAGUUCAAUAAGUGCUAAACAUAGGGAGUACACUCAUGAAAGUAGAGGUACACCUAUAUGGUUUUUAAUGAUUCAUUUCAUAUAAUUUCACUGAAAAAAUUAACUUGUAGCUAAUUUUAUAACCAUGAGAAUAGGUAUGGAUCAGUUAUAAGUAUAAUUGAUUCACUACGAAAGUAGGAUUCAAAUGCAUAAGGAAAUUACACUAUAACUAGCCUAGAUGUAGUACUCAAUGAUUCAAAUAUAGCACUUGCAUGAGUAGUUAGGGAUACCACAACCUCAGGAGCUUUUAUUUGUUAUUUUGUAUAAUUUCAGUAGGUUAAAUUUGUUAUAACUCAUUGAUAGUCUAAAUAAUAAAGAAACUUUAGUAAUACCGGUAAUUGUUCACUCUUCCCUGUGGAAUCGAUCCGAUAUAUACUCUAAACUACUAGUUGAUUUGUAUACUUACAGUGAACGGGUGUAUUUCGGUUUUUUAACUUGUAUGUAUAUGUAAAAUACCCGUCAGCAUCAUCUCUGAAUUCUUUAUGGUAAAGGAGUAUUGAUCCACGCUUUGACUCGAAAUCUUUGAUAUGCAGUUUUCCCUCCUGCAAUUUAGCUUUGUCACCAUGGUAAAGGAGAAUGGAUUCGGGCUUUGAUUCAAAAUCCUUUAUGAGUGGUUUCUCUUCCUCACCGCUGUGGUAAGGGAGUAUGGAUUCAGGCUUUGACUCAAAAUCCUCCAUAAGCGGUUUCUCUUCCUUGUUGCUAUGGUAAAGGAGUAUGGAUUCAGGCUUUGACUCGAAAUCAUUCACUGGUGGUUUCUCCUCAUCGCUGCAGUAAAGGAUAAUGGAUUCAUGUUUUGACUGAAAUUCUUUCAUCUGUGGUUUCUCCUCCUUCAACUUAGCUUUGUCACCAUGGUAAAGGAGAAUGGAUUCAAGCUUUGACUCGAAAUCAUUUACAAGCGGUUUCUUCUCAUUGCUAUGUUAAAAGAAAAAGGAUUCAGGUUUUGACUCAAAAUCCUUCAUCUGUUGUUUCUCUUCCUUCAACUUAGCUAUGUCACUAUGGUAAAGGAGAAUGGAUUCAGGCUUUGACUCGAAAUCCUUCAUUUGUGGAUUCUCUUCCUUCGAGUUAGCAUCCUUUUGGUACAAGAGUAUGGAUUCAGGUUUUGACUCAAAAUCUUUCAUUUGUGGUCUCUCUUCCUUGCAGUAUGGAUUCAAGCAUUGACUCGAAAUCUUUCAUUUGCAGUUUCUCCUCCUUUGACUCAAAAUCUUUCAUUUGCAGCUUCUUCUCCUUUGAAUUAGCAUCAUCACCAUGGUAAAGAAGAAUGGGUCCAGGCUUUGAGUCGAAGUCUCCAAUAUGCGGUUUGUCCUCCUUAAAAUUGGCAUCAUCUGCAUGGUAAAGGAGUAUGGACCCAGACUUUGACUCUAAUUCUUUCAAUGUAUUAGACCCAAGGUGCUUAUUUUGUUUAGUAAAAGCAUCAUGACUAACAGUAGGUCGCAAAAUGUCCCUGGGGUCCUUUCUUGCCUCCAUGAAGCAUGCAAGCUACACAUUCCGGGCAAAUGACAUAAUUGAAGAAGCCAGCAUCAAUAUAUAUUACGUAAACAAAUAUAUCGGUGGAGAUAGGCUGCACAUCAAAUUAUAAGCCUUGUGGGGCUUGCUUGAGUGUCAUUCGAUGUAGGUGAACCUAGCAUAGCUUAAAAAGAUUUUUAUGUAAAUUUAGGACCUUUAAUUUCUUGCUCCUCAACCUUACCUAUUAUAUCAAGACCUUCUCAUCGUAUCUCUACCUGUAUAAUGGAAAUAUUGGAGAUGACUUCCUCUAACUAAUAAAAGUAAAGUGUUGAAAGUCGAGUUACAGUGACAUUUAAGUUUCGUACAGCCCACAUUGGAAUGUUUGAUAGGGAAGCUUAAUGACCAUAGAACUAGAAAGCCACCAAGUCAGCUUUGCUCUCCUUAAUCAGAAGAGUUUCCAAUCCCUUGGCGGGGAUGGUUAGAGUUGAGGAUAAAUGUGUGAAAGCAAAGGAGAAGGUAUUUUCCCAAGUGCAUAGCUUUAAUUGAGAGGAUCAUAAUAAUGCUGAGCAGUUAACGGAUUUAAGUGUGUCUAACAAGCAAAGAAUUAUCUCUUAUGAACUCAAAUAGGGUACUGAUGUUUGAGAAAUCUUACUAUGGCAAUUGAAAAGAACACAACGAGAGCAUCAGAUGAACGCACCCUAUCUUUGAAGUUUGAACAGCUCAAAAUGAAACUUUGAUGGUGUACAAACUCUUGGGGCUAUGGCCAUUUAUACAAGAGGAUAGCCAAGUGAAGCUAAUAAGACUAUAGCAUGGAUUAGAGAAGUUACUACCCUCGUACACCAAUUGAUAGGUCGCAAUUCUGUCAUUUAUUUUGUAAUUAAUUCCCUCAUAUUAUCUUACCAAUUGUGCGUUUUUGGGCAGAUUUUAUUCACUUUUGGAAAUCUGUGCUGAUUGCAGGGAGUUGAAACAAAAUAUGGUAAAAAGGCGCAGAAUUCCUCACUACAUUGGCUAAUUGAUGCGGGACAUCCAGAGUUGCAAAACGAGGUCACGAAGUUUGCCAACUGAUACAAUUGCUGGCCGUAUAUCUUCGGUGAGCAUGGGAUACACAGGAUUAAUUCUUGUGGCAAUAAGUAAAAGAGUUUGAGUAGUAGUAGGAAAUGGGAUACCAAGUUAGGAUUGUUUCCUUAUCUGAUGGUCACAAUACGGCAGGCUAAGCGCUAUUUUCUUGGACUCUCCCUUUUUCAUCCUUUGGUAGUUUUCAAAAGAGAGAAGUCAAUUGAGACUAGGAAACUACACUAGCUUUUCAAGAGCCGGCCGCAAUAAGCAAGAGAUAGACUUGCUAUUGUCUGGUUCCACGGGAGAUUCAUCACCCCAAUUAGGAGAUGGCUGGCUCUUGUGUUGUUCUUUUUAUUUUUAUUAUUCAAUCAAUUUCAUCAUCAUGGUUGAAGAAAAAGCAUUCGACAAUGGACUCUGCAAUAUUGCAUGAGAUUGUUUCGACCGAGAUGAACUAAAUCUCUUUUUUUAGUCAAGGAACAACAGAAUCUUUGGUUUAUCUAAAAAAUUAUUAGACCGAAUUAAUUUUAUCUAUUCCUCUUAUUUACUGGUAUUUGCCUAUUUUCUGAUUGUAGUGUUUAUGGUUGUUUUAUUAAUUGAGUAUCUUGGGCCCAAACGUUGAAUUAAUUUAGCAACCUAAUAUCAAUUAAAGCAUUAAAUCUGUAAUUAUUUAAUUACUCUAAAAUAAUAGCAACUGACAUUAUUAGGUUUGUAUCAGGGGAAUACGCGGUCUAAUCUAAAAUAAUCUUGGUAAUGUGUUAUUUAAUUAAAAUAGAACUCCUCUAAUACGUAAGGCAAUUGGACAAUUAAAUAUUACGGUCGUACCUAAGAUUAUUUCUCGAUUAGAGUAGUGAUUAAUGGUUAUAUCUUAAUCACCGACACAGUAAGGAGGAGUUGACUGUCAUGACUUGUUUGGCAGUUAUAACUUAUUUACUAGUUAAUAAUUGGAAUUAUCUUUGUAUCGAUGAUUAAUUAGGUGAACCAUUGCUAAAGUUAUUUCUUGGUUAGAGCUUAGUUAUUAUUAAUUUGGUUUUAAUAAUUUGCCAUUUAAUUUUUAGUUGGUUAUUUAUUUUUAUUUGAACCAUUUAAUUAGUACAAUUUUUAUAAAAAAAAUCCCUCUUUGUUAGUUUGAAUUUCAAAAGAGAUAAAUAUCCCCAGUCCUUGUGGAUUUGACCCUACUUAACACUAUCUAUAGAAAUUAUAUUUUAUUUAAACAGGUAUUUAUUAUUGCACAGGUUCGACAACCUGUCAAUUUUUGGCGCCAUUGCCGGGGACUGGUGUUAGUUAUUUUGUUUUUUUUAAAGUUCAUUUUCGUUUUAAUUUUUGGUAUCUUUUCUAAUUUAUGCCUCAUUCUUCUCAUAUAAGUGAAUUAAUUUUUGAUCAUAAAGUAGAUAAGACCGCGCGCCGAACGUGAAAAGAGACCAAAUAGCUCAGAGAAGAGCAAAUCUAGUGCUGCAUCUUAGAGACUUGAUCCAAAAGCUAAAUCAAUAAGUUCACUUGGUGAUAUUUCGAGCAACCUAGAUCGAGAAGAAGUCACUAUGGCUAAUGCACAAAAAUUAAGGAAGUUGACUGCUCCUAAUUUAAAUCAGCAGCUCUUAUGCAUUACUUUUUCAAAUUUAAAUGAUAAUACCCCAUUUGAGUUAAAAUUUGGUCUAAUUCAUCUUUUUCGAGAAGAAGACACUAUGGCUAAUACACAGAAAUUAAGGAAGUUGGCUGCUUCUAAUUUAAAUCAGCAGCUCUUAUGCAUUACUUUUUCGAAUUUAAAUGAUAAUACCCCAUUUGAGUUAAAAUUUAAUCUAAUUCAUCUUUUAUUAUCUUUUAAUGGUUUACCAAGUGAGGAGCAAGCAUUGCAAGAAUUUGAUGUUAUUUGCAACAGUAUGAAACCCUCGAGAAUUUGGAAGAAUAAAUAAAAAUGAGGGCAUUUCCCUUCUCUUUCGAAGACUCGGCAAAAGACUAGUUGUACUACCUACCUCCAGGUAGUAUCACUACUUAGGAGUAGCUGAAGAAAAAAUAAAAAAAAUAUUUUCCUGUGUCUCGAGCUGCGAGUCUGAGAAAGGAGAUAUGCAGUAUCAAAUAACAUUCAGGAGAGUCGCUCUAUGAUUAUUGGAAGAGAGUCAAGAAACUAUGCAUCAAAUGCCAUCAACACCAAAUAAGCGAGCAAUUACUCAUCCAGUACUAUUACGAGGGACUAUUUUUUCGAGACAGUAGUAUUAUUGAUGCUGCAAGUGGAGGGAUGUUGGUGAAUAAGACUCCUCGAGAAGCAUGGGAGUUGAUUGAAGGGAUGACCGAGAAUUUGCAGCAGUUUAAUACAAGGGAGAAUGUCCCGAUACGUAGAGUAAAUGAGGUAGAAACAUCCUUUAUCCAAUAACAGUUAUUCGAGUUAACAUUUUUUGUUUGGCAAUUGGCUGUAGGAAAUGCUCUACAAGCCAAGGUAUGUGGGAUUUGUACUACCAUGGGUCAUUUUAAAAAGAUGUGCCCAAUGAUUCAAGAAGAGAGUGCGGAACAAGUAAAUAUGAUUGGUCACGCUUCCGUGCCAAGAAAGCCAUAUGACCCAUAUUCGAACACGUACAAUAAGGGCUGGAGAGAUUACCCUAACCUCAACUAUAGAGGAAAUAGACAAUCAAAUUUUGUACCGAAAGAUAGCAAGAGUAUCAACAGCAAUAUCAACCCCGGCCGUCACCACCUCCUCCAAACUCAAACCUGUCUUUAGAAAAAAUAAUGAAGCAAUUAAUUACUAGUAAUACACAAUUUAAACAAAAGAUGGAAUCUGAUUUACCAAGUCUAAGGAAUCAAAUGGAACAAAUGCAAAUAAUAUAGAGUCAGAUGAAAAUAUUAAUCAACCGUCUAGAGUCUCAAGUUCACGAAAAAUUGCUAUCCCAACCUAAACUGAAUCCAAAGAAUAUAAGUGCAAUGAUCUUAAGGAGUGGAGAGAAAAUUCAGAAACCCGAACUCUUGAUUUCAAAGAACAAGAAUAAAGAAAGAAUUGAGAAAGAUUUUGAGGAAGAGGGCAGAAACAACAAAAAUUCAGUGAUACUUCCUGACCCAAUCAUUGAAAUUAAAACUAAUCUGCCUUUUUUUCCUAGCAAGUUGGAAAAAUCAAAGAAACAUGGCAAUGAAAAAGAGAUCUUGGAAAUAUUCCGCAAAAUAGAGAUCAACAUCCCCCUACUAGAUGCAAUCAAACAAGUGUCAAAUUAUGCAAAGUUUUUGAAGAAUUUGUGCUUCAAUCAAAGAAGGUUGAAAGAAGAUGAAAGAGUUAUUGUGGGAGAGAACGUAUCAGCGAUUCUAUAGAGAAAACUCCCACCAAAAUGCAGGGAUCUAGAUAUGAUUACUAUUCCCUGUAGGAUAUGUAAUACUUUGUUUAGAAAUGUCAUGUUAGACUUAAGAGUAUCAAUCAAUGUAAUGUCUAAAUCUAUCUAUACUUCUUUGUGUCUAGGUCCGUUAAAUGAAAUUGAGAUAAUAAUCCAAUUAGUUGACCGAACGAAUGCAUAUCUUGAUGGGUUGGUCGACCAUGUGUUGGUUAAAAUUAAUAAAUUGGUAUUUUCAACUGAUUUUUAUGUAUUUGACAUGGAUGAUGAUUAUUCCCCCGACCCCUCGUCUUUGCUAUUAGGCAGACCCUUUUUAAGUACAAUCCAGACUAAAAUUGAUGUUAAUAAGGGUACAUUGUUCAUGGAACUUGAUGAAAAAAUUGUCUAUUUCAAUAUCUUUAAAACCAUAAAAUACCUCUCGAACUCCAAUUUUAGCUUGACUUUUUCUGUGAGUGCUAUUGACCCUACGGUGCAGGAAGUAUUUGAAAUUAUUAGUAGAGAUGAGUUACAAAUUACUUUAACCACACAUCUCGAGUUAGAAACAACUUAUGAAGUAGAAUUAAGUGAAAAUUUGAAGUGUACGAUUGAGAUGUUGCAAUCGUUGCCAACCAUGACGACAAGUAUGAGCUCGCAUCUAUUUUCAUACCCGAACCUCACCAAAGGGUACUACCGUCUGUGGUGUAGGCACUUAUGCUAGAGUUAAAUCUCUACCGAAACACUUGAAAUAUGCAUAUUUGGACGAGAAGAAAACACUUCCGGUGAUUAUCUCGGCAGGAUUGUCAAAAACCCAAGAAGACAAGUUAAUCCGAGUUCUUAGAGAGUAUAAGAAGGCAAUAGGAUGGAUCAUCGCCGAUAUUAAGGGAAUUAGCCCUUCUGUGUAUAUGCACCGAAUAAGGCUCGAAGAAGAUGCCAAACCUAUACAGCAAAUUCAAAGUAAGCUUAAUCCCCUCAUGAUAGAAGUGAUGAAGAAAGAAAUAGUAAAGUUGCUAGAUGUGGAAAUUAUAUACGCAAUAUUAGAUAGUCCAUGGGUAAUCUCGGUACAGGUAGUCCUAAAGAAGUUAGGAGUAACAGUAGAGGCCAACCAAAAGGGUGAACUCAUGCUAGUGCGCAAACCCACCGGAUGGCGGCAGUGUAUCGACUAUCGAAAAUUAAACGCGGUCGCAAAAAAGGACCAUUUUUUUCUUUUAUUUAUUGACCAAAUGAUUGAGCGAUUAGUUUGUCGAGCUUAUUAUUAUUUUUUAGAUGAGUUUUCAGGGUAUUUUCAAAUCGCAAUCGUACCGAAGGAUCAAGAGAAUACCACCUUUAAGUACCCGUUUGGAACUUUCGCAUAUAGGCGAAUGCCUUUUGGAUUGUGUAACGCUCCUGCCACAUUCUAAUGAUAUAUGGUGAGUAUUUUCUUUGAAUAUGUAAAAAAAAAUUAUUGAGAUUUUCAUGAACGACUUUAGUGUAUAUAGUGAUAGUUUCGAUAAUUAUCUAGAUAACCUGAAAUUGACUUUAUUGAGAUGUAUAGAAGUUAAUCUCAUGCUUAACUGGAAAAAAUAUUAUUUUAUGAUUGAGCACGGGAUAGUUCUAGGUCAUGUUGUAUUCUCUAAGGAUAUUGAAGUUGAUCAGACUAAAAUAGACAUUAUAUCUGCUUUACCUUACCCUGUGAGUGUACGGGAAGUGCGUUUUUUCUUGGACAUGCAGGUUUCUACCUAAAGUUCAUCAAGAAUUUCUCGAAAAUUGGAGUCCCUCUGUUCAAACUCUUAAAAAAAGAUAUGGCAUUCAAGUUCAAUAAAAAAUGUGAGAGAGCAAUCGACAAAUUAAAUGAGGUAUUAAUAUCGCCACCAGUCAUCUAACCCCCUGACUAGAGUCUACUUUUUGAAAUCAUGUGUGAUGCCAGCGACCAUGCAGUGGGAGCAGUAUUGGGGCAGAUAGUAGGAAAAGUAGUCCAUGCCAUCUACUAUGCAUCAAGGGUUUUAAAUGGAGUCCAAUUGAAUUAUUUCACUACGGAGAAGGAGCUUUUAGCAGUUAUUUUUGCUUUAGAAAAAUUUAGAUCAUAUUUAUUAGGAGCUAAAGUUGUUAUAUAUAUAUAUAUAUAUUUUUAAUCAUGCAGCUUUGAGAUACUUGAUGAUAAAGAAAGAUGCAAAGCCGCGGUUGAUACGAUGGAUACUACUCCUACAGGAAUUUGACCUGAAAAUCAGAGAUAAAAGAGGAGUAGAAAAUCUAGUGACAGAUCACUUGAAUCGCGUACCAGUCGUCAAAGAAGAAUUUCCAUUAAAAGAAGCCUUUUCUGAUGAACAUUUAUUUUUUGUCAAUUUUUUUUUACCUUGGUAUGCUGAUAUCGUGAACUAUCUAGUGACUAAUAAAUUUUCUAGAGGAUGGUCUGAGGCACAAAAGGACAAGUUGAAGAAUAACGUCAAAUAUUUCAUGUGGGACGACCCUUACCUAUGAAAGAGAUGCGCAGACCAGGUAAUGAGAAGAUGCAUAAGUGAAGUUGAAUUUCAAUUAAUAUUAACUUUUUGUCAUACUUUUGCAUGCGAAGGUCAUUUUGGACCAAAACAAACUACGCAUAAGGUAUUGGAGAGUGGAUUUUACUGGCUUUUGUUGUUUAAAAAUGCAUAUCUAUUUUAUAAAUCUUGUGAUCAAUGUCAAAGGGUAGGUAAUAUAGUUCGUAGAGAUCAUAUGGCUCAAGUCCUGAUGUUUUUCAUAGAAAAUUUUGAUGUUUAGAGUAUAAAUUUUAUGGGACCUUUUCCAACAUCAUUUGGUUAUAUAUAUAUUGGUAGCAGUGGACUAUUUUUUCAAGUGGGUGGAAGCUAGAACCACUCGGACUAACGAUUCGAAAAUGGUUUCAGAUUUUAUUAAAUUCAAUAUUUUUGUGCAUUUUGGGAUGUCAAUGGCCAUUGUUAGUGACAGGGGGACGCACUUCUGUAAUAAGACCAUAGCUACUCUAUUUCGAAGAUAUGGUAUACUCCACAAGAUCUCGAUAUCGUACCACCCUCAAACCAAUGGUUAGGCGGAGGUUUUGAAUAGGGAGAUUAAGUCGAUAAUGAAAAAAAUGGUUCUUCCCAACCAUAAGGAUUGGAGUCUCCAAUUAGAGGAUGCGCUUUGGGCAUAUAGAACUGUGUGACCCCUAUCGGGAUGUCACCCUAUAGGCUGGUAUUCGAAAAACUGUGUCACCUCCCAAUGAAGUUCGAGCAUAAGGUCUUUUGGGCGAUAAAGCAGUGUAAUAUGAAUUUAGAAGAGACCGGUGUUCAUAGAAAGUUGGACUUGCAAAAAUUGGAGAAAAUCUGGAACGAACCAUAUGAGAACGCAUUAAUUUAUAAGGAGAGGGGUAGGACAUUCCAUGACCAACAAAUCUCUAAGAAGACCUUUGAAGUUGGCCGAAUGUUCUCCUAUACCAAUCCAGGCUUAAGUUGUUUUCAGGUAAACUACGUUUCCGUUGGAUCGGCUCUUUUAUUGUUACUCACAUCUUUUACCAUGGUGUAGUAGAAAUUCGGAGUACUAAAAUGGACAAAAGGUUUGUGGUGAAUAGAUAUCGUUUCAAACAUUAUUACGAGAAUUUUUCAAGUGGAGAUAUGGAGAUGAUACGUCGGGAUACACCAAAUUUAUCGAAUUGACGAUACCGAGCCAUGUCUAGCCAAAAACGUUAAUGAAAGACGCUUAUUGGGAGGCAACCCAAUUUAUUUUAGUUGUUUGUUCAAAUCCUAUUUGUUGUUUCAAUAUGUUUUCUUAGAAUUUUUUCAUAUUUCUUGGUUUAAUUUUUGAUUUUUGGUGAUUAAUAGGUGUUCCACCGACAUGACAUGCCCGAGUCAACAAGGCAUGUGGUAGUGUGCAACUCUUAGGUGCUUCAUCAGAAGGAUUUCUAACCACUUAACGUGCCCGCAUCAAGUCACCUGGAAAACUCUUUCUUUGAUUCUGGAGCGGACUAACUGACAUGAUGCAUGGUAAUGAGCAAUCCUCGAGUUCCUUAUCAGAAGGGUUUCUGCCCUUAUGAUGCGCUCGCGUCAAUAGGAUGCGUGAUAACUUUUAAUUCACCAGACCUCCAUCAGAAGGGUUGUCACCCUCAUGACGCGCCCGCGCCAUCAGGACAAAUGAUAAUGAACAAUUCUUAAAUUCUUCAUCAGAAAGGUUCGUACCUUCAUGACGUGCCCAUGUCAUGUUUGAUGGAAAGGUAUGUAUAAAAAAGGGGGAGAAAAAAAUACAAAUAAAAAAUUUAAUUUUCGUUUAAAUUCAAAUUUUAAAUUUCAAAUCUCUAAUUUUAAAUUUAAAUUUUAAAAAAAAAACUACAACCUAUUUCUUUUUUCCUCUUCUUUCUUUCUUUUUUUUUCUCUCUCUUUUCUUUCCUUCUUCCCCCUAUUUCUCUUUUUCCCUUUUGGCCGAAACUCCCCCAACGCACGCCACGGCCAUUUCUCUCUGCCCGCUGCAUGCCUUAUUACGGCGGCCCGUCUCUCUUAGUCGAGCACCCCAAGUGCCAUUUCCAUCACCACCGCAGCUGCCGUCGCCACUGUUGUUCGAUCAAUACAGCUCGCGAUUCCAUCUCGUGUGUCGCGACAUCCGCUGCAGCUGCUCCGCCAUCCGCUCGACCCAUGACCGCGAAACACCCACGACCACAUCAUGUGCCACAACUCUCUCCCCUCCUUCAACUUACGAACGCCGCCGUCACAGCCACAAUAGUUGUUGCGUCUCCACCUGCGACGUCGUUGCCUCAUCCUUCACUAGCACCGUCAAUCCUAACCGUUCACCGCACUUCAUUGCCCCUCUCCUUUCUACAUCUACGCAGUCUGCAACCACCCAGGCGUUGCCCUCCCAGUCACCAUCGCCUCUCUUUACCGCUCAUUCAUCGUCGAGAACUGUUGCCGGUCGAUGGUGUGACGGCAUUUCUUUAUCUCAAUCCCUUGGAAGACUCCUAGAGUGUUAAUUUUUGCAGUUGCAUUCUGGACUUCACUAAGAAUCAUUUUGCCAAAUUAUUGUGUUGAAUUGCUGGAGUCAAUUUCUGGACUCAACUGAGGAAUAUUUUGCUGCAUUAUUAAUUGAUUGAAUUGAAGUGAAUUGUUGGGCGUAAUCUACCUUGAGUGUCAAUUUGUUUGGGACAUUUGUUGAGAUUUUGGUUAGAAAAAUUCUGUAUUUGACUAUUAAAUUGGGAGACACCAGUGGCUAUUAAUUUGCUUGUUAACUUCACUAGAGAUAGUCCCAAGUUCUGGUUUACUUGGUUGCUAUGUUCGUUGGUAAUUUUGUUUCUUUUGGUGAUUUGAUUGACUGGUAGAGACUAUGGUUAAGCAAAAAUUCACCUCUAAGUCUAGAACUUCUAGAUCUCAACCUACCAUUUCUGUUAAUGAGCCUACCAAUCAACGAUUUUUUUCGGAUGUCCGAACACGUCUAAGUAGGGAUAAGAGUGUCCACGGUGCUACACCCUUGCACUUUGGGGAUCAUUUAAACUUCAUUAAGGCCGUCGAUAAGCAGCGAUAUGCUAUAUGUUGUGAGUGGCAAAUUAUCUCCUGUAAAUGUCUUGACAAUCUUACCAUGGGUGCACUGGGUAUCAGGAAAGAGGUUGAGCGAAUGUUUACAGCUAUCGGUUGGGGACCUUAUGCCAAAAUCUUUUGUCUUGCGUUUGUCGAACUGGUUCGAGAGUUUUACUCCACUUUUGAAUUUGACUUGCCUACGGGGUAUACUGUCGAUACCCUGAAUGUGAUUCAUUUCCGUCUAAUGGAUCAAGAGUUCAAUUUCUCUAUUACUCAAUUCAAUUUGAUAUUUCGAUUAAUUACUCGAGAAUAUGUUGAAACCAGGGAAUACGCUGAGAGUGCUUGUAACUACAUAGAAUCAUUUUUCUCUCACUAUCCCGAUAUUUGGAGGGAAAUGUCUGUUGACGGGGACCGUUACGACCCUUCUAGAUCCAGGAGUUCUUAUCUUAAGGACCCAAAUUCUCGAUAUGUUCAGCGAUUCUUAGCUUACAGUUACUCGGGUCGCAAGAAUAACUCCGGUAUACUUUCUAGACUCGAGUUCUUCUUUAUCUGGUAUAUAAAACACAAUAUUAAAGUGAAUUUGGAUUGUUGGUUGGCAUCUUAAUUUAAGACUGUCAUGGCCAAGAAAAAUAAACCGUUGAUACUUGGAUCCUAUAUCACAUACCUGGCAGUCCGGUUAGACGUUCUUAAUUUUCAGAACCAUGAUCUCCAUUUGGCCUUUGACAUAAAAUAUUUAGAUGCGAUUGGUCUAGAAAAGAUGGGCGUUAUAGAGGAGGUUGAUGGCAUAUUUCAGUUUACACUUCCCGGUCCCAUUUGAGCACCAGAUCGACGCCCCCUACACGAGCAGGUCCCUCUUCUGCCCCUGGAUCAGCCGAGAAUACAAUUGGAACCUCUUCUUCUGUGCCUCCUCCACCGCUAGUCUCUGAUUCUGAGUGGCGAUACCUUUGGGUACAAAUUCACCAUGUGGAUGAGCAAGUGACGAAUAUCGUUGAUCAGGUUACCUAGAUGUCUCAGAACUUGGCCGCCUACUUCCACUAUGUUGGUUUCAUUCCACCUAUUCCCACCUAUUCCAUAGCCACUCAAUAGAGAAGUUUCUUUGUCCUACUUCUUUUAUUUGCUUUAUGACCUCCAUUGAGGACAAUGUCGGAUCUAAGUAUAGGGGAGGAGGGGGAGUUGUGGUAUAGCUAGUAUUUUUAGUUUUUAGAUGUUUUUUCUUUAUUUCUUGUUAUUUGUUCUAUUUUUUUCUUUUAUUUUAUUUUUAUUUUUAUUAGUGAUCAGCAUUUCUGUGACUACCAAGAAUUGAUGAUAGUUGAUUGACUCUAAUUCUCCUAUUGUCAAGUUUUAGUAAUAAAAGUGUAUCAAGUUAAUUUGGUUAAGUCCAGGAACAUCUCUUUGGUGAAUAUCGAUGAUUUUGUGUCUCUUAUAAUUUUUAAUUAACUUUUCAAGGCAUAGGGAAUAAUUGUUUGGUAUUUUCAUGUGAAUUGGUCCAAUUAUUAACCUUAGUUCUCCAUGUUUGAGAAAAUGAGGCUAGUUGCUGUUAUUUUAUGUGAUAUUUUGAGUUAUUUUGUUGCCUAACUGUAAAUAAAAGGUGGCUGUACUCCACUAAUUAUUACUACUGAGUAAUCGGGAAUUUUUACCAAAAGUGUCAAUUCUUGCGUCUAACAGCAGUAAUAUCUAUGAGUACGUGAUCUUAUAGUGAUAGGAGCUGAGUAAUCGGGCUUCUUCAUCUAAUAAAUGUUAGAGUUCGUGUCAAAAGGUUCUAGUGGCUAGAGGUCAAGUCCAUUAUUACUACUAUUGAAAAAAAAAAAAAAGAAGAAAAGCGCAAUAAAAAAGUGUGAAAGCUGUGUAAAUGUAUGAUUAAAGUUAGCCUGCUGAUCUAUGAGUUUAAUGUUAAGAUUUUGGUUAAUAAUUAGACCGUUUGCUGAUAAAUGUUGAUCGACCAUUCCUUUUUCUUAGAAUAGUUAGCCAUAAAUUGGAGGAGUCUACAGUUUAGAAGUUAACUGGGGUGAUGUUUAUUGGAUCUCGAUCAUUAAUGCUUGAUAUGGGUUUCCUCGGUAUUUUGGCAAUAAGGUAAAUGGAGUGAUGGCCAUUGUCAGGAAUUGGUAUUUAUUUACUGUUAUCAUGUUUGAUGACAAGGAUGGUCUAGGUGUGGAGAAAAUUGAUAGGUCGCAAUUCUAUCAUUUAUUUUGUAAUUAAUUUCCUCCUAUUAUCUUACCAAAUGUGAGUUAUUGGGCAGAUUUUAUUCACUUUAAGAAUUUGUGCUGAUUGCAGGGAGUUUGAACAAAAUAUGAUAAAAAGGUGCAAAAUUUCUCACUACAUUUGCUAAUUGAUGCGAGACAUCUAGAGUUGCAAAACGGGGUCACGAAGUUUGCCAACUAAUACAAUUGUUGGCCAUAUGUCUUCGGUGAAUAUGGAAUACACAUGAUUAAUUCUUGUGGCAAUAAGUAAAAGAGUUUGAGUAGUAGUAGGAAAUGGGAUGACAAGUUAGGAUUGUUUCCUUAUCGGAUGGUCACAAUACAGUAGACUAGGAACUAUUUUCUUGGACUCUUUUUUUUCUUCUAUUGGUAGUUUUCAAAAGAGAGAAGUCAAUUGAAACUAGGGAACUACACUAGCUUUUCAAGAGCCAGCCGCAGUAAGCAAGAGAUAGACUUGCUAUUGUCUGGUUCCAUGGGGGAUUCAUCAUCCCAAUUAGGAGAUGGCUGGCUCUUGCGUUGUUCUUUUUAUUUUUAUUAUUCAAUCAAUUUCAUCAUCGUAAUUGAAGAAAAAGCAUUCGACAAUGGACUCUGCAAUAUUGCAUGAGAUUGUUUCGACGGAGAUGAACUAAAUUUCUUUUUCUAGUCAAAGAACGACAGAGGUUUUGGUUCAUCUAAAAAUUAUGAAAUCGAAUUAAUUUUAUCUAUUCUUCUUAUUUACUGGUAUUUGCAUAUUCUCUGAUUGUAGUGUUUAUGAUUAUUUUAUUAAUUAAGUAUCUUGGGCUCGGACGUUGAAUUAAUUUAGCAACCUAAUGUCAAUCGGAGCGUUAAAUCUGUAAAUGUUUAAUUGCUCUAAAAUAUGGACAACUGGAAUGAUUGGUUUUGUGUCAGGGGAAUACGCGAGCUAAUCUAAAAUAACCCUGGUAGUGUGUUAUUUGAUUAGAAUAUGGCUCAUCUAAUAAGUAAGGUAAUUUGAGAAUUAAAUCUUACAGUCAUACCUAAGAUUAUUUCUCGAUUAGAGUAGUGAUUAAUGAUCGUACCUUAAUCACUAACACAGUAAGGAGGAGUUGACUGUCAUUGCUUGUUUGGCAGUUAUAACUUAUUUAUCAAUUAAUAAUUAGAAUUAUCUUUGCAUCGAUGAUCAAUUAGGUGAACCAUUGCUAAAGUUAUUUCUUGGCUAGAGCUUGUUAUUAUUAAUUUGAUUUUAAUAAUUUGUCAUUUAAUUUUUAAUUGGUUAUUUAUUUUUAUUUGAAGCAUUUAAUUAUUACCAUUUUUUAUAAAAAAAAAUCCCCUUUAUUAGUUUGAAUUUCAAAAGAGACAAAUAUCCCCAGUCCCUGUGAAUUCGAUCCUACUUAUUACUAUCUAUAGAAAUUAUAGUUUGUUUGAGUAGGUAAUUAUUAUUGCACAGGCUCGACAACCUGUCAUCAAUCCACAAAUUACCAACAAUUUUGCAUUUUUACCGAAGGGCCAAAUUUUCCUAAAAUCAUACAUCGAUUUCAAAUAACAGUAAAAAUUUGGCCCUUCGGUAAAAAUGCAAAAUUGUUGGUAAUUUGUGGAUUGAUGACAGGUUGUCGAGCUAUGCAUAAUCUGAAUAUUUUCUUUGAGAACUUUUUUGAAAUUUUCAAAACAAAAAUUCCCUUCCACGUAACAAAAAAAUAACCAAUUCACUGCAAUUUGAGAAAAAGAUACAAGAUAAUGAUUUGGACAGAAUAUAACUGUAACAAUAUGAACUUAAAUUCCAUGAUUUGAUUUUUCUUUCCUUUUCUUUUCCCAUGAAAUUUGAUGAUUUGAUUUUUCCUUCUUUUUCCUUUUCCCAUAUAAAAUUCGAUUGAAAAGGUUUGGCUUUUUUCAAAUCCUCCAAAUUACGAUAAAUAUGGUAUGUUAAAUUGUGCUUAACCAAGGUUAAGAUGCUGGUUAUAAGCAAAAGAAAUCCUGCACAUUGAAUUCAAAUUGAACACAUGUCAAAAUCGUAAUGCUAUAUCGAGGAGAACUAAAGAAAAUAAGUAACGAAAAGGAGCAGGAUCCGCUUGACAAUGACCCGUAUCCUAUCCUAUCAAAUCUUUCCGGUCCAAAAUUCAAAAAAAUUGAUUUAGGAUUUGAUAAGGUCUUGAAAUUUAUUUGGUGGCGUGUAAAUUAGCAUGUUCCGUCUUUUAAGUACAUAAUUUGUGAGACAAGAUUUGGGGACAGGUAGGCGUGCAUCUUUCAUAAGAGAAGAUUGUGAAAUUGCCAUAACUAUAUCGAUAUAUCCUUUAUGCAUUAAACAUAAAUACUCGCGAGUCUAGAUGCAUACCAUUUAUAUAAAAUUUAAUGUUCAAAUUUAAAUUUAAAUUUAAAUAAUGUGGCUAUGUCCAACCCCAUCAACAUAUAUACUCACAGUAUAAGAAAGAUUAAGAUUUUGUUUUGCUGAUUCUACAGGCUUAACAGGAGUAAAACAACUAGUAUUGCAGCCCGUGCUUUGCACGAAUUUAUGUUUAAUAUAAUAAUAAUAGAAAAUGAAUUAUUUAUAUUAGUUACAUGAAAAAAGAUUAAAAAAAUUAAAAGAAUGCUGUUUUAGUAUCUGAUAUAUAUUAUAUUUAUGUAUCUUAUCUAAAACCUUAACGUAUAUCAAAACUAGGGUUUGCUUCCCACGCAAGGCGUGAGAGCUUUAGACCUGUUAGUAAGGUUCCCUGCCAUGCAAAAGCAGUAUAUAUUAGUUGAUAAGAGCAGCUGAGUAUUGAUAGAAAAGAUGCUUGGUUAGCACGCAAAAGCAAUAUACAUUAGCUAUGUACUGAUACAAAAGAUGGAGGUACUGUAGUGAAUAUUUUCUCCUGAAUGAUAUCCUUUGGCUAAUAUUUUCUACUGAAUAAUAACUACAGUAGUGCGAUGCAAAGGCACAUUAAAAGGCAUAAAUCAAUAUAUCAUGAUGCAUGCUUCAUAGAGGGUCAUAGAAACCUAAAUAGCAAAGGAUAGCAAUAAAGAACAAUUAGGCUCUGUCUUCUUUAAAAAUUGUAAAUCAACAUAACUAAGGCUUUUGCUAAUUUUUUACUACAUUUUGACAUCAUCUCUCUUCUAAUAUACCACAGUGUACGUAGAUUAUCCAAAUGUGAAUGUUGAAGAUCUCGUAAUUCUUCGAAGCCGAUAUUUGUUGCACUUAGUAAAAUGCUACCAAAAUCCAGCAACAUAGAUCUCAGGAGAGGGGGAAGAGGAGAAACAAAGUACACCUGAUAUUUGAAGUUAACCAGAAGUUGUAGCGUCAAAGCCCAAAGUGCCCUAAAAAAUGUUCAUGUGAUACCCAUUGAAGCAAACGAUUAUAACAGCAGGGUAAUUAAAGCAAAGUCCAUGUCCAUGCGCAAAACCAGAGAAACAAAUAUAACAAAGAUAGCUGCAAAAUAAUUGAAGAGUGAGAUAUGUUAAAAGUCUCUAUCACUGCAAUUACGGUCUGUCUAGUGAAUAAUCCCCUUUCAAAGAACCAAGUUAUGGAACUUAGAAGUGCUUAUCUAUGCCAGAAAUUAAUCAGUGUAUGACCAGCAUCAACUUCCUAAAACCAAAAUUAAAACAAAAACCAAAUUAUAUCAACCAAAUGAUGAUUGACUGCAGAUUCUACUUAUUGAUCCCAAAACAUGUGAAAAAUUAAUACCAAGACAGUAAGAGCUGAGAAAGUACUCUUUAAUUGGUCUUUGGUCCUAACCACGAUAGUCACUAACAUGACAAUGCAGUAAUCGUCAAAAUUAAUGUUUCAUAAAAUAUAAUUGGUGCAUAAAAUUUCGUGGUCCCUCUUGGCUUAAUGAAAUUGAUGCUUCUAGGUCUAUCAAUAUAUUGUUUCCAAUGGAAUUCAUCCAACAAUAAAUCAACAUACCGCAAGACUGGAACAAAAACAAUCGAGUAAUUAAAAGAUAUAGAAAAGAUACACACAAUGAUCAAUCAGGCUCAAAUCUGUAAAAAGAAAAAGCAAAAUGGAGGGAGGCACCACCAUGGCUACAAAUUCCUAGUUGCAUAUGCGAAUGAAUUCCAUCUCAUCCCAGAAGCCAUCUGGGUUGCCCAGCUAAGAUAAGGGUUUGAAUUUAAUUUCGCCAUCAAUAACUCAAUAAAAGAUUUUCAUCAUCCUUGCCAGGACAUAUACACAAACCUCAAUGCCCAAGAGCAAAAAAGCAUGAAUAAUUAUGAUUAUACAGCAAAUACCAGAGGAAAAAAUACAUGAAACUAUUUAAAAAGAUGAAAUUGAAUUGAAUAUACCUCUCUUAGCUCUCUCUCUCUCUUAGUCAAAUGACACAAAUGUCCAGUUUAAAUGACAUGGCAGAUUGAGGUUUCUUGGGUGCUGAUAAGUAUGGCCACUAUAAAAACAAAUGCCAACCCAAAAGAGUUUACCAACAAAAUUCAAACUAAUAUAGAAAACAUUAGCAUCUAGAUGAAAUCAGGUGAAUACGGCAAACUUAGAGCAUGAGUUUCGGAGCUGACGCAAUCUACAUACCAUAUUCAUGAAGAGGAGCAUCAUAAUCAUAGCUAGUGGUAAUAAAUUGUCCACCAGCUAUCCUGCAAAAGUUUGUUCCUCCAUGAUAUUGCCAUAAAGAGAAGAAACUAAGAAGACAAUCACAACAGUAAUUUAGUAGCAAUUUGAGGAAAAAUAUUUUUUAAAGCACUAAACUUUACCAUGUAAUAGUUAAUUAAAAAGCCCUGUUUUCAAUAAAUUAUGUAAGAGAAAAAGCCAAGUCUUCAGCCGGAUGGUAAGGUAUUAUACCUCUGAAUUCAAUAAACUUGGAAAAAAAAUAGAUAAAAUAGGUCACUUUCCUGUCAUAAAACUCCAAGAAUUACGUGUCUCCCUAUAUAUAAAAAAAAAAGUAACCACUGACCAGCUUGUUCAAGCUUCUGUCCACAUCUUGGGUUUAUAAGCCUUAUUUGGGGAGUAGUAGUGCCAGUAGAAGCCGUUGCAUGUAUUUGCCUGGGCAAAAGUAAAACAGACAUAGUAUUAAGAUAUUCAUUAUCCUCUGCUUCUUGAACAUACUAUAAGGACAUUUAUAAAAGUAUAAGCUACAUUGUACUGGGCUGAUACAACUUGAAAAAUUUUAUUUUAUGCAAAUUGUGAUAUUUAAAUAAAUAAUCCCCAUUAAUUUUGGAUUUCACAUUAUCUACACUCUAAAUGAAGCAUAAGCUCAACUCAAUGCUAAGCUUAUAGGAAAUGUCUACAAGGCAUAAGCUAUUCAACAAAGUGCUUUUCAAUGUGCAAUUUCAUAAGCUAUAGUACUAAUCCUAGCUCACCACCCUGUACAUCACAUAUAAAUAAAAUACUAUGACUUACCAUCAUUUUUAUGAUAAACUAUUACUAUUAACCUAUUAUAAAAUGUGACUUACUAUCAUUAUCUAGUGAUAAGUUACUAAUGUUAUUAAUACACCAGGUAACAAUGCUAAGUAAUACACAUAAAGCAUCUAACAAUUUUCUUGUUAUUUCAAAAAGUUGUGCAUGGCCCAUGAGUACAAUUGCUGGAAAAGUAGUAGUUCAAUCUUAAAAUCGUGCCUCUCGCACACUACUUUGUCCGUUAAGGAACACUAAAUCAAAGAAAAGUUGUAGAGAUUUUUUUAUUUCGAGAAAAAUUAUUUAUGCACUUUUGUUCACUGAUUUGAAAAUGGUCUGGCUCUAUUUUACUGAGCAUUCAUCAUGGUCCACUUAAUCACUCAAUGGGAACUUAGAUCUACUUAAUUAUGCAUAGCUACACACAACUUAACAAAGGCAUUUUGUGAAGGUUCCAACAACAUUGGCUAAAUAAUGGUAGUUUUUCAUAUUAGUGUCAAAGAUUUAGGAAUCUUUCUUAUCUCAAAGGAUAUAAGGAAGGCUGAUCAAGGUGUUUCAUUCUAUUGUUGGGAAUGUAUUGACUAAUUCUAAUACUCUAUGUCAAAUAAUUGAUCCAUAACUUGAAAAUCAGUUUGUUGUGUUUGACAAAUAUGUUGAAAUAACUGUCUUGGAAGCUAAAAAAUAUGUGUAAUACAUUGAAGCAAGCAUAUGUCCAUUUUUAAAUGUGUGUAUCAGUGAAUUGAUCUCAAUCUGCUUUUGACAAAAAUAUAAUUUUUGAGGACCAAAUAGAGUCAUGAACAGUUGAACACUCCUAAGGUUGUGGUGAAAGUCUUUAAAGCUUAAAUUUCUAUGAAAAUUAGUCUAAAAUCCAAAAUGCAUUUCUAUUAGCCAUCAACGGAGAGUUUGAAGAUAGGCCUUUUGUUCCCCUCCAAAGAAAAACCAUCACAAAAAUAAGAAGUUAGAUAUAAGGGACUCUUCCAGUUUAGCAUAAUUUAAUGCAAAAUUAAUCGUAUGCAGUAUAGCCUUAUUAAGGGAGAAAUAAAAUCAAACCAAAUAUUUCUUUUUUCCUUAAAGAGCUAGUAUACGGACAUAGGUUCGAGAAGGCAAACUUAUAGGUUUGUGAAUAUGCAUAUCUGAUUCAUGAGUAUCGCUUCGGGUAGAAUUUCCAUAGCAGUAUAUAAAAGUUGGGGGAAACUUUCUUAUUUGCGACAAAUUUCCCAAAAUAACAAUACUAAUAAGAAAAGUAGAACAAGGACAAUUUACUUGAAUAGUAAAUCUUUUUUUUUCUUUUACAAAAAGAAAAAGGGAGGGAGGGUAGGAGAGGUAGAGAGGGAAACUAACAGAACUCUUGCUUCUUUUCGUGGAAGGUGCAUCAAAGGAAAACUGAAUUGGAAGAUUUAAAUCAAUUCAAACAGUAUAUGAUAUGACAAAAUGCAUAACUAAAAAUCUCAAAUACACAAAAAUAAAAUACUUGAAAGAAAUUGUAAAAAAGAAUUCAACUUCCUUAAUCUCACACGGUGAGAUUUUCUAUACCCUAACAUGGUAAAAGAGUGCGAAAUAUAUAGUGAAAAAAAUUAAAAGAAGAAAAAAAAUCCCGUUCGAAUCAUUAAACUCCAAUUUUUUUUUUUUAAAAAAAACUGAGACUAAUAGCUACCAAAAGUAGUCCAACUUAACAGCUACAAUUUAACUAUUCACGAAGUAGAGAUAUCCAAACAAACGAAAGCCAAAUAUUUACCUCUAAAUUUUCUAGUAAAGGUGUUUAAGUCCAAACCAUCUGCAGCAGAAAAUUAGAAUCCUAAACAUUAGAAACAAAGGAAAUCUGAUAGUAGCAAACUAACAAAACAAAUACCCAUUCAGCAGAUACAAGUUUUCUGAUAGGUCAUAAUUUGUUGCUAAAUUUAUAAUUAUUCUCUCCUUGAUUUUAACCAAAUAUUAUUUUAAUUGUCAGAUUCUACUUAUAUUUGGUAUUUUGUGCUUAUUUCAGGAGCGGGAAUGCAAAGUGCUUAAAUGAAGAUUUUCUAGUGAAAAAAUCUGAUGGUUUCACGGGAGCACACCUAAGUUCACUGCUCAAAACCGAAAAGUCGGGAUUGAUAUUGGGCAAUCUCCAAAUCUGAAUCAAUUUCCUAAUUUGAUAGUCAUCAGUCCAUCGCUUCACCUGAUGAUUGGUCUCCUAUCUCUAUUGGGACACUAGUCUAGUUUAUUUAUCUUAACUUUGUGGAAACAAUCUCUUAUCUAGUAGGGAUUUGAUUUCGAUUAGUAGAAGUAGUCUAAUAGUAUUAGGAAACAAAACAGCAGAGCAUCUUUAUCGUUUCUUUAUUCCCUCUUUUAGGAAGACUAGUUAGUAGUCAGUGGAUACUUUUUGCUUUUUAGUUAGUCGCAAGACACAAGAAAAAACUAUCUUAUCUUUUCUUUCACUUUCUUUGAAUAAAAAUACAUCACUUUUGGGGAAGAAGAGUCACGUCAAUUAGUUCGACUAAUUGGCUUGGGAUUUCUUCAACGAAGAUGAACUAAACCCCUAAUUCUAGUCAAGGGGACAACUGACGAUUUGGUUCGGCAAUUACUAUGAGAUCUAAACCGUUUUUAAUUGUUUCUUUCAUUUGUUGGUAUUUAUAUGUUUCCUACUUUUAAUUGUUAUAGCUCUUGUGUAUGAUUGAUUAGUGUGCAAUAAUUAAUUAUUCAUAUAGGCUAUUUUGCUAAUUAGGGAAAUUGAAUCCGUAAUUAUUCGAUUAUCCCUAUCUCAGCAGCAACUGGUAUAAUUGGGUUUAUGUCAGGGAAACAUAUGAUCUAAUUUAAACAAACCCUCAUAGCAUGUUUGUUUGUUAGGAUUGGGUCUUUUUAAUUAUUAAUGCAAUCUAGAAAUUAAAUCCUACAAUCGUACUUAGUAUUGUUUUUUGGGUUAGAGAAAUAGUUAACGGUCGUACCUUAAUUAUCGAGAAAUUAAGGAAGGGUUGGUUGUUUAUCGCGUGCAUGACAACUAUAACCAAUCUAUUAAUAAAUGUUGGAAUUAUUUAGGAUUCAAUGAUUAGUGUCUGAACCAUUUUUGAAGUGUACCAUUGGCUAGGGCUGUCCUAAUUAUUUCUUUUAAUUAAUUAUUUUUUGCAAUUAAAUUAUUUAGUUAGCUUUUAAUUCUAAAAUCCCCUAUUUGUUUUGAUUCAAAAGGAAAUAAAUUUCUCCCCAGUUCUUGAGGAGACAACCCUACUUGUCACUGUCUACUAGUUAGUGAAUUUAGUCAGAUAAUUAAUUCGGGUAUAUCAGAUUAAGUAAACUCUUCGAAAACAUGGUGAAUCAAGUAAUCUAUUGCACACCUAGAGUCCCUGCUCCAGUACCUAAAAUUGAUUAUUGGCUACUUUGGGUGGUAGUUAGGUUUUAUUUAUUAUUAUUGUACAAGUUCGGCACCUGUCAAUUUUUGGCGCCGUUGCCAGGGAUUGGUGCUUAAUUAAUUUGUUUCUUUUUUAGUUCAUCUUGUUUUUAUUUUUAUUUUUAAUUUUUUAAUUUUUCUCUUAUUUUUUUAUAUAUAGUUUAUGGCUGCUAACAUUUCGUACUUUGGUGAUAAACUGGAUUUUAUUUCUAGAAGGGGUUAUGAGACUUAUGCUUUUUUUAAUGAUCAAUGAGUUGUUGCAAAUUGUAAAACUUAUUUUGCCUCAAAUCAUUCAACCGACAUAUGCCCUGCAUUUCAAGAUGGUCUAAGUGCUCCAAUAGAUACUUUUGAAAAUUUUUCGCCUCAAUAUCAAACGUGGUAUGACCUUUAUUCAAACGGGUAUGAUCAAGAAUGGUGGGAUGAUUCCAAUUUUAAUUAUGAACAAAGGUCAAUAGAUUUUCAACAGCUAGAGUCUCAAGAACCGUCACCCAUGUCAGGUAUGUCUCUUGAAGAAAUAGUUGAAUCACUAGCUACUAACAAAUAUCUACUUCAACAGGAGACAUAUCUACUUUAACAGGAGACACAUCAAUUUCAACAGGAGGUACGUCAAUUUCAACAGGAGAUACAAAAGAUGAUUAAAGAGAUUGAAGAAGGAAGACGUGAAUGGGCAUCUACAAUGAGCAAAUUGAUUUUUCUAAUUUAUGAAGAAUUGCCCUCACAGACCAUCAACGAUCUUAAAGAAGAUGAGAGUACAAUUAUCCUGACAAGUGACAUGGAACUGCAAGAGUCUUAAAAAAAAGAAUCUAAAGAUGCAGUUGAAAAGGGAAUUGAAUUACAAGAAAUGGAACCCCAAUAUCAAAUGGCUCAAGUGAAUGAAUCCAGUGAACAAUCUCCAAAUGCGGUGACAUCUACUCUAUUCUUUGAUCAAUAUUCUCUUGACUCUUAUUUUUCAAUUCCUGUUAGUGAAAUUUAUUAUACCAGAAGAUUUUGAGUUUCAUAACAGGAAUAAGUUAAGAGCUGCAAUGACAAAAUAUUUCGAACCAGUAAGUAUUCGUGAUGGAGGACUAAGUGAAGAAUUAAAUCCUUGUUGACUUGUUUGGCGCCAUCUACUAGUCCAUGGAAGACUGUAGCUCGUGUGCUCAAGAAUUAAUCUAUUUACGAGUGCUAUCAGGAUUACAUAGAAGAUGAAACACUGAAAUGAGUUACAUGAUUUUAUCCUCCAUGAAUAAACAUGGCAAUGUCUAGUCAAAAACAUUAAAGAAAGGCGCUACUUGGGAGGCAACCCAGGGCCUUUGUUUUAGUUUUCUUAUGUUUUUGGAGUUUUUGUUAAGUGUUAGUUGCAUUUAGUGAUUUGUUGUUUUUGUGGCAGGAAUUUGGCAGUUAGACUUGCCCACGCCAGGUGGUCACGCCUAAGGAAGGCAAUUCACGUCCGCGGGCAGAAGACUCUCUAUUAGUUAAGCGUGCCCACGCCUGAUGGUCACGCUUAAGGAACUCAAUUUCCAAAAAUUGGUCAGAAGACUCUCCAGUAGUUAAGCGUGCCCACGCCUAGUGGUCACGUUUAAGAAACUCAAUUUUCGAAAAUUGGUCAGAAGACUCUCUAAUUAUAGGCAUGCCCACACCAAGAGGUCACGCUUAAGGAUCUUAAUUUUCGUGGGUUGGUCAGAAGAUUCAAGGGCAGUUAGGCGUGCCUACGUCUAAAGUAGUGGUUUCAAAAAAAAAAGAAAUUUCCUUUCUUUUCUUUUUCUUUUUCCUUUUCUUUUUCUUUCUUUCUUUCUCUCUUUUCUUCUUCUCUUCCUUUCCUUUUUAUUCCUUUCUUUUCCUUUCCAACUACAAGACCGUAACCAAAGGACUUCAAAUUCCACCGCCACCGUUGUGCUAUUCAACGUGGGUCGUCAGUUCCUGAUUAUCACUGCUCAUCGCUCGUAAUUCUUCCUCAUCCAUCGUGAGCCACCUGACAUCCUUAGCUGCCGAUCAUAGCUUUCAUCGUCAUCAGUUUUGCCAUCGAGCUCUACAUGUCUUUUGUCGCUCACCUACAGCUAUGCUACAACCUCCCUUGAUGAUCAGGAAAGUUUCGUUAUCCCUUUUUACUUUAAAUUUUAUUCUUUAUUACUUACAUUGGGGACAAUGUAAGAUUUAGGUGCGGGGGGAGUUGUAAUUUGGUAUUUUAUUGAAAAAAUGCAAGUGUAAGCAUUUUUUUGGAAUUUUUUUUGUUUAACUUUAUCGAAUUUUGUCCAAUUUUUGCCUAUCUUUGUGAAUAUUUGUGAUUAUUCCUGAUAAACGAUGAUUAGAUGUCUCAAAUUUUUCUAUUGUUAAAAUUUUACAAUUUAAGGUGUUGAGUAUAACACGAUUAAGUUUAAGGGUUUCUCUUUGGUGAAUAUUUGAGAUUUUGUGACUUUUACACUUUUUGGUUAAUUUCUCUAAGUAUUGUAAAUAUUUGUCUAACAUUUUUUAUGCAAAUUGGUGGUUCAGCUAUUAAUCUUAGUUUUCCAUAUUUAAGAAAUGAAGCGGGUUUGUGUGAUUUUUAAUUUUAAUUUGGUGCAUAUUUAUGAAUAGUAUUCAGCUAUACUCCGCUAGUAUCGUUACCUAGUAACCGGAGGUUUUUACCACAAGUGUCAACUUUCGCAUCAAAAAACGACGAUAACUAUGAGUAUGUAGUCUUUUAGCGAUAAAAGCUGAGUAACCGGACUCCUUCAUUGGGCCAAUGUCGGAGUUCGCAUCAAAACACUUAAAUGGCUAAAAACUAAGCAUUCCCCCCUGGAGAAAAAAAAAUCAAUUAAAUGUGGGGAUAUUUUAGAAAAAAAAUGCUAAUAGUAAAAAAUGUGAAUGAAUUGUUAGCCCGCUGAUCCAUGAAUUUUAAUGUUGAAAUUUUGCUUAAUAGUCGAACCAUUUGCUUAUGGAUGCUGGUUGAAUAUUUUAUAUUCUUAGAUUAGUUGGUCAUAAAUUGAAAGAGUUCUUGAUCUUUGUAGACACCAAAUUUUUGUCAAUUUUUAAUAUUUUCUCAAGAUUUUUCUAUUUAAUAAUUUAUUUAUUUUCUUACAUUUUAAUGUGCAUUUUUCUUAUUUUUUGCAGAAAAAAAAAAUCAACUAAACCCAUUUGACAAAAUCUCUUGGUUCCCUCCUUAUUCUCAGGGACUGAAAAAAAAAAAAAAGGAGGAACGGCACUUUUUUUGGGGCUCAAAAAACAACCUGACACAAAAAAAAGGACUCCCUCAAUUCACUCUCUCGAGACACACAAGAAAUCAGACAAGCAAAGACAAAAAAAAAAAACUAACUCCUCACUCUCUUACUCUCUCGGCUCUCUCUUGGAAGUCAGAGACAAGAAAAAACAAAGAAUCACUUUCCACUCCUCACUCUCUUACUCUCUCGGCUCUCUCCCACAGGACAGAAGACAAGCCAUAACAAAAAAAAAGAAAAACUCCUCUCUCCAUUCGGCUCCCUCUCUUUUCCUAAUAUACACACACAGAAUCAAACACAAGAAAGCAAGCAAUCGGACGUGAGGAGAUUGGAAUUUCAUCAACAAUUUUAACUAAGGUCACAAGAGGUAUCAACACUUCCAUUGAAUUAUUUCCCGUUUUUUUUUAUCAUGUUGAAUUCAUGUAUUAUUGGUUGUUCCUGCUGUUUUCUUGUUGUUGCUGCUGGUGUUGUUGAAAUUUUGGGGUAAAGCCAUGAAUAAACAUUAAGGAAAAGAUGAUUUCUGUGAAUGCAUGUUAAUUGUUUGAAAAAAUGCCAAAAAGAAUUUUAGGGACUGUUUUGCCUUAAUUCAGCCUUUUUAUGUUGUUUUCUUGUUCAACUUAGAGUAUAGUUGUAAUGUAGAAGUUAUAAGGAGGGUUUUGGUAUAAUUUUUAAGAUUUUUGGUGAAGAUUAUAGUGUUUUAAAAAUAAAAAAAAAACUGGACUGGCUUUUUGCUUUUCGGCCACCUUCGGGUCAUCUUUUGUAAAAAUUAACUCCGGAAAUGGAAUCUACGCGAAAAAUCGAGUGAGAGGGUGUGUUUUGAGAAAAAUUUGGUGACCGGAGAGGUCGCCGGCGGCUGCCGGCGGCGGCGGUCCGGUGACGGCGACGCCACCGGCGGCCACCAUGGCCGCCAGCUGAAGCUUCCUCAGCUGGCCGAAGAAGAAGGAAAAAGAAACGGCUGGAGGUGGAGGAAGAAGAAAAGAAGAAGAAGAGGAAGAAGAAAAGAAAGAAAAGAAAAAAAAAAGAUUUGGGCUAAUGUUUUAUUUCGGUUGGGCCAAGGUUAGUUUUGGUUGGGUUUUGAAAAUAGGUUUUGGUUUAUUUCUUUUGGGUUUCGGUUAGGCUAGAAGGUCAGAGCCCAUGCCUUUAUUUUUGGUUGGGUCUGAGUGAUAGAAGACGGGCUGGCCUUGUGUUUUGGCUUGGACUUUCGGUUGGGUUUAAGUAGUGUCCGGCCCAAGGAAAUAAAAUGAUGGCCUGGUGGCCCAUUUCUUAAGAAUAUCAUAAACCGAUUUUUGUACUUUAGCCCCUGAUUUUUGGAGUAGUUUCAUCGUGGCCUAGAACAUUUUUAAUCUCUUUCACUUAGGUCCUUAAAUUAAUUGCACUUUGGUCCUUGAAUUUUAUCUUUUAUUUAAUUUUGACCUCUAAACUUUGGAAAAAUAUAAUUUUUAUCCCCAAAGGUUUUUCAAUUUUUGCAAUUCAGUCCCCGAUGAAUUUUGACUCUCUUUAUUAUGAUUGUUUCUUUUCUUUAAUAGCUAAUUAUGUUACUUUUGAAUAUAUUUAACUUGCAAUUUUUAGAUGUUCUUAAAUUUCUUUGCUUUGACAUGUUAACGUGUAUUUAGUAUUUUAACAUUAUUAUUAUUUUUCAAUUAAAUUGGUGCCAUGAUCCUUUUGUUCAUUGUAAGUAUAAUUAGGACAAUUUGACUCCAUUUAGUCACCACUUCAAACGGGAGGUACUCCUAUUUUAUUAUUUCAAUGUCAAUUACGUGCUCUUAUGUGCUUCUAUGUGUUCCUAUGUGUUUAUAUAUCUUUAUAUGCUUUAUUUAUUUGAUUUAAAUAGUCAUUCAAAUUUUCUUAUAUAUAUUUUAGUUAGUUUUUAUAAUGAUUCGAGAGGUAUUUAAAUACCUCAAAAAUGUAAUAGAUAGGAUAAUUAGAUUUGUUUUAUUAUAUUUUUCCCUCCUAGAUUGUAGUUAGGCGCUCCCCGAUGUAAUAGAUAGGUUGCGUGUUUAUGUGGCUUAUGUGUUAAGUAUUUUAUCCGCUUUUCUUAGGAUUUUGGCAUCUAGAUAUUAUGCUUACGUGUUAUGUGUUACGUGCUCUUAUGUGUUUAUUUGUUUUAAUUUAUGCUUUAUUUGUUUCACUAUGAAUUGUUAAUGCAUAACGUCACCACACUAGUCCAACGCUAGUUGGGGCUUCUCUCUUCGCUUACUUGCUAGUCCAACGCUAGUAAGGAUUUUUAGAAAUGGGCUGGUCCAACGCUAGACCUUUUAGGCCGUCUUGCGUUAGAUCCAUCUUUGUGUGCUAUUCACUACAUCUUCAUGCAUAUUUUUAUUUUUAGGAUCUUUUCUCAUUUGCAUGAUAUUCCCUAUUAUAUUAUCCCCUACCCUCUAUAGGCGCUGAUCAUGUCAUUUAGAAUUACAUCUCAUUUAAGCUAGUUCAUUUGCUUGUUCAUGUUAGGAUAAUUGUUUUUCAAACAUGGAAAAUGGGUGAUUAUACCUUUUUAGUUUAAAUACCCAAUUGAUCCCUGUAUAAGAAAAUUAUGUCACGAGUUUUUGCCUCCCAUACCCUUUAUGUUGCAUUCCCUUUUUCUUUGAUCACUUAUAUAUGUAUAUAAUUUAAUUUCUUUUCUUUUAUUUUAAUUUCAUCAUUCGCAUACUCGUGACACUUUCAAGGAAUCAUUUUGGCAUUCGCAAUUAAUGCGAUUGGUUCAAUUAAAUCCUUGAAUGAACAUUGUGUCCCUUUCGAUAUUUUUAUAAAUUUAGAUUUGCAUCCAUGUAGGUAACAUCCAAAUAUGAUAAAAUUAAGGGUUAGAUUAGGAAAAUUUUGACUAAACAUCGCAACUAGCUUAGACUAGGUUGAAAGGGUGCCUUAGGUUUGAGUUAAUCGAACCUUUGCCUUCCCUUUCUUCAACCGUGACUCCCGAAUCCAUUUUCUCUUGUUUUCAAAAAUCUGGAGUUGUCAAAAAGGGUUUUAUUUUAUUUUACUUUAUUUUUUGGGUGACUUGGUACACCAAAACUUCAUACCAAGUGGCGACUCCUAUUUUUACUAAAAACCCUUUUGGACUAAAUUUUGGACCCAAAUUGUCGCAUUCUUUUUUAAGUCCCAUUCUAGGUUCUUUUUCAUUUAUCAUUAAUAAAUCACAUCUUUUUUUACAAACUCCUUUCUUUCCCAUCGCGAAAAAUGGGGCGCGACAACUUGGCGACUCCACUGGGGACGCUAGAGAGUCCAAGCACUUGGUUUAGUUGUUCUUUUCUCUUUUUAACCCUUUUACUUAUCAUAUUUGGAUGUUUAGGUUGCAUUUUUCUGUUUUAGGAUGUUUUGCAUUUCACACUCGUAUUCGUUCCUCGUAUUUCAUGUAUGUGAUGAAUGGAUUAUUUAUUUACUUAUUCGUAUCGCGCUUUGCAUUUGGGAUGGGGAUAUUACCCUAGAGUCUCGCAUUGGUUCUCGAUCCCUCCCCUCCAAACCUAGCACUAGCAUACGUGCAUACGUUCUAUUUUUUAUCCCUCAUUUAUUUUUUUCUUUUAGUGGCUUGUCACGCCACUCCACCCUAUUAGGAUUAGGCGACCCACUUGGACGUCUGAUCGUGACACGAUGUGUGCGUAGCAUGAUCCCAGGGGUCACUCAAUCUUCCGCUUUAAACUUUGGGUUAUAGCCUUUAGCUUUUAGUCGAAGGUUGAGAAUUUUUGAUAGAUUCACUCAAACACGUAGCCGUGGCACGAUGUGUGCGUAGCAGUGUUUGGGGAAUCGCUCGAGCCACCGACAAAGAACCUUGGGAUUGAUGACCUUUGAUUUCCAAGUCUGAAGGCUCGGGGACCUAAAACCUAUCGAGUCUAGAUGUAUUAGUGAGCCAAUACCUCAUGCAUCCAUGAUAGUUUACCUAAGGUAGAGUCUGCCUUACCCUAUUAGGGACACUAUCCACGAAGGGAGGGAUCCAACCCCUCUUUUCCUUUUAUUGCUUUAUCUCUUUGUAUUGUUUUACUACAAUGUGUUAUGUGUAUAUUGUCUGAUUGAACUAACUUUUCUUGGUUUUUCUCUCCACUGCAUUCAUAAGCCCUAGAAAAUAAGAGUUCUGGCAUGGUACUCUGUAGGAGUCUACCCUAUUUGAUAUGACACGUUUAAAUUCAAUACUUCGCAUUUGCAGCAUGAGUACAUUUCAUUUUAGGCUUACCUCGGCAUUUAAAUGGGGCACUUUUAGAUCAUAUGUCAAUUAUUUCAUUGCAUAUUUAACCGCUUUAAUAAACUGGCAUCAUGCAUCAACUAUAAAGGGAAUGCCGUAUAGGGAAUCCCGCGUUAGGAAUAAGCCACCUUUUGUCUCGGCUAUAUAAUCCAAUGAGACUUGCACGUUUAUAUUUUUUGUACAAUCCAAAGGGGUAGUGCACAAGGUAAGGUAGGAUUCGAUCCCUUUUGUGUGACGGCAUUGAGAAUGAUGGAACAAUUUUUACGCAUUAGAAUAUGAGCCUCUAAUAAUCACUUUUUGGCUAUUUUAUUAGAAUUGGUAAAAAUCCCUUGCGUAAAGGAUAUUAAGUUGAAGAAAUUCACAAAUUCCUCAUUGUUGAGAUGAUAAGUAUGUUAAGGCCAAAUCUUGAUUUCCGAAGGCUCAUAGACUAAUGAAUCACAAUGAAAUUUUUUGAAUCUACCAAUGGGCAGACAAUUCCAUCAAUUUUGAUAAAUUAUCAAUUUCAUUCAUUCCAUUUUUACAUCUAAGAUGAUUGAGUCGAUUUUUUUUAUAGAUCAUUCGAUCCAUACAAUUUUGCUCAUUUUUAAUUUCAUUUUCAUUCAAUUUCAUUUUGGAUAAAUCAUGAAUUUCAUUCUGUUCGUUUGGCCAGUGAUUCAGUCGAUUUUUGAAUAAACUGUCAAUUCUAUCCAAUUCAUUUGAUCAAUUUAUUCAUUUUUAGGACAAUACAAUCAAUUUUGAAUAAAUCAUCAAUUCCAUCCAAUUCACUAUUCAUUUAGUCAACUUUAUUUUUGUUGAAUAAAUUCUCAAUUUCAUCCAAUCCAUUUGAUCAGUUUUAUUCACUUUCAGGAUAAUCCAGUCAAUUUUUGAACUAACCAUCAAUUUCAUUCGAUUCAUUUAUUCUUUUUUUUGAAGUUUCGAUCUAUGGUUCGCCGAAGAAACUAGUCGAGACAUUUCAAUCAUUUCAAAAAUAAGUUUAUCAUACUUAAUUGAUUUUGUUUAUCACUUUAUAGGUCAAUCAGAGCAAUCAAUCCAUUUGGAUUUUGUCCUCAUUUUAUUAGGACAAUUUUUCUUUUGUCACUCUAAUUAGCCAAAUUUUUCCAAAAUUGUCUUUUAUUCGAAUCUUAAUGAGCUGAUUGGAUCCAUCAGGUAUUGUAUGGUGCCCACCCCAGAGGAUUGCAUUUUUCAUACUAGAGUAACCCUUGGCAUAAAAGGGUUUCCCCCAUAGGUCAUGCAUUCGAAUUUUUUGGAUAUUUACUAACUCUUAUCGUUUUUUUUUUCUUUCUUUAUUUUAUUGGAAAAUCUAAGUGAGAGCUAAAUCUAAAAGGCAAUUCCUUUCAACAUUCUCAGGUAAUAUUUAAACAUAACUUCUCUUUGAAGCCUCAUCAUAGCACGAUCCCGUAGUCAAACCCAGAAGAAUCGUAUAAACAUGAGUUCACAACCGGAACCGUCGGAUAGGUCCAUUACUACAGCUCAACCUGAAACUACAAAUUUGGGGGUCCAGCUAACCGAGAUGCUUGCUAAGUUUAGCGAAAUGACUACCGAGAUGGUGGCCCAAAGGAAAUUGAUUGAUGAGUUUAUCAGCAGCGAAGUUCAACCCGAACCUGUACCCGUCAGACAACCUGAGCAAGAACCAUUUGUCAUACCUUCGACUCAAACUACAUUUAUUCCAUCCUUCCCUAUUUCACCCGAAGAAACUCUCACUUAUGCCACCACAAAUUUGCCAUACACUUACCCUCCUAAUCCUUCUUUUCUUCCUACUCACAUGCGAGGUUCACACCCCCAAAUUACUUCGAAUAUACCUCCCGAACCACAUGGUUUUUAUCACACUACCGCAGAGCCCUUACUGCCAGACCAUACUGUCCAAGCUAAACCAGAGGUAGGAGAAUCUUCUGCUCUUGUUGAUAUGAAAUUGCUCAAGCGCCUAGACCGUUUCGACGAAUUUAUGAGGAAAAGUCAAGGGCUAAACAAGCAAGGAGUGCUGGACUAUGAUGAACUUUGUCUCUUCCCAAAUGUGCAGUUGCCUGUGGGGUUCAAAACCCCAAAAUUUAACAAGUACGAUGGAAUGGGUAACCCUAAGACACACCUCCGACUGUUUGCUAACAAGUUGGGAAGGCCCAUAGAUGACGAGAAUCUGCCUCUAAGGCUGUUCCCAGAAAGUCUGGAGGGUGAUGCACUCGACUGGUAUUCCAAUUUGAAACCCGAGGAAGUAAAGACCUGGCUUGACUUGUCCAAUGCUUUUGUGAGGCAGUACGAGUACAACUGUGAGUUGGCUCCGACACGAACCACGUUGGAAGGAACGAAGAGAAAACCCUCUGAGGACCACAAAACCUAUGCUAAGAGAUGGAGGAAAAUAGCUGCAAAGGUUGAGCCACCAAUGACUGAAGAUGAAAUUAUCAGCACUUUCAUUAAGGCACAUGAUCCACCGUACUUUGAAGAAAUUUUCCGCAUGACUGGAUGUUCGUUUGCUGCUAUUGUCAAUAAGCUUGAAGAGUACGAUGACUUCGUAAGAGUUGGGAAGAUCGUUAAUGUCUCUGUCCUCAAAUCGCAGUUGGAUGCUUUGCAAGGACAAGUGAGCAGUGGACAAAAGCCGCAGUUUAAAAAGGAAGAGGGGGAAGCUGCCUUCAUCUGGGAUCAAAACCCUACACCAAGACCCAGAUUUCAACAUAAACCAACAUAUUCACCGCCUUAUCCCUACUAUCCAAGUCUUCACCCUGUCUACAAUACCAAUAUCUCCCACCCCCGACCUCGCCUAAAUUACGCCAAAUCGCCCACAAUCCCUUUUCAAAUAUCUCAACCCAAUUUUCAACAAACUCGUUCUCGACUUUCUUACAACCAGAGAUUUCCCCCACCAAACGGACCCACCUAUAACUAUCCCCAACCCACUGAAACCUACAAUCAAAGUCGUACCCGAACCUUCACCAACCUAGGCAGGCCUUUGGACCGAGUGUAUGAGCAGUUAAGGGAUGCCGGUAAAAUAGGUGUGACCUUUAUGGCAUGCCUGCCGGAUACAAUCCGCAGUCCACUUGUGCCUAUCAUUCGGGAGCACCUGGCCACUCAACCGCUGAUUGUAAAGCCCUUAAGCACAAAGUUCAAGACAUGAUCGAGGCAGGGGAAAUAGUGCUAAGGAAAAAGGGUGAACAAAGACCGAGCAUAAGUACAAAUCCUUUUCCUGAACAUAAAGACACCUUUGAGGCAUCCACCUCCAAUGAAGAAAUUUGAAAAUCUUGAAGGAAUUUUGCACAAUUGGAUUGCCGAGUAUCUUCCCUCUUGAAGGGAAUUUCGAUAAAAUUUGGGGGUUGUCAUUUGCUAAAAUUCAUAAAAAUUGUCACUGGUUUUGUGUAAAUAGUUUUGGCUAAAACAAUUUUCGCAUUAUCAAGCUCCUGUGUUGCUUUUUGAAUUUUUCAACGGAGUGCAUAGUUACAUCUUUUCAUUAUUCUUGCUUGUUUGAUACCAUUUUGUUUAUAUUGGUUGAUUGUGUAUUGUUUUAAUUUCCUUUUACAUUCUUUUAGAUAGCCAAAAAUAAAAUUAUUUGACCUUUGGAUAUCACUGUUCUGGAAUCCGGUGACGGCAAUCUCGAUAUCACUCGCGACUUUGACGUUAUGGAAUCUGAAAUUCAAAACGAGAGUGAUAAUGAGGAAGUAUCUGGUUUUUUUCAAAAGGUUUGAACAAUAUGAAGAGAAAUCUAAACCGAACCUAGAAGAAACAGAGAUUGUUAACAUUGGCACUGAGACUGAGGUCAAAGAAAUAAGGAUAAAUAUACAUCUGAAUGAAGAGCAGAAAAGAAAUCCCCUUCAUUGCGUAUUCUAAUGGAAGCCAAGUUAGAAGAAGCUGAUUGGUUGAAGUAGAGACUUUUUAACAAUCGGCUCUGAUUGAUGAAAAGCGUCUGAAUGCUAUAUGUCGCGGCCAAUGCUACCAAAAACGCAUGUCCCGUGCUUACAACAAAAAUGUCCACCGGCGAUCCUCCGAAGAAGAAGACAAAGUGCUAAAGCGAAUUUUGCCAAUACAAAAUGAAGCCAAAGGCAAAUUUGCUCCAAACUGACAAGGCCCAUUUGUCGUUCAAAAGGUGCUACCGGGCGGAGCACUUGUUUUAGCAGAGAUGGAUGGACAGACAUUCCCUCAACCUAUCGACUUAGACAUGUGUAAGAAAUUCUUUAUUUGAUUAUGCGAAUUCCUUUUAGAAAUCACGCAAGGGACGAGACAAAAGUCAGGCCAUCUUCCUUUCCAAUCAAAACAUUUCAUCCCUAGUCAUCCCCUUUGAGCUAUCAGAACAAUAAUUUUCGUUUGACAGCCCCUGAGAAUUGCAAACCCCACACUGGGGCAAAUUCAUUUUGAAAAAGAUGAUCCAGAAGAGGAAAAGGAAAAGAAAAGCCCCCCACUGGGGCAAAUUUAUUUUGAAAAAAAUGAUCAGAAAGAGAAGAAAGAACCCCACACUGGGGCAAAUUUAGUUUUUGAAGAAAAAUGCAAAAGUGAGAAAAAUGCAAUGAAGAAAAUGCAAAGAGAGAAAAUUCCAAUCAAACUGGGGCAAAUUUUCCUCGGUUUCAUUCAAAAAUUGGAGAUUAUUUCAAAAUGAUGCAAUCUCAGAUUAUUUCACACCUCUCAUCAAAAAAAAGAAAAAUUACUUUCAAGCCUCAACUUUCUUGAAAAACACCCCACCUGACCUCAUUACAAAAACCCAAAGUCUUGGAUUUCGUCACUUGCUGUAUUUCUAUUAGGAAGUUCGCUAAUCAAUUGGCAAGUGAUGUCCAUUAUGCCUUCGCCUAACCUUGUAGGGGAAGCGUAUUUUACUGAUGCCAGCUAUCUUCAACUCACAUGCCGGAGUUGAUCAUGGUCGAGAUUUUCUAUUGUUCCUUAGGUGAAAACUUGAAAGGACACCUUAAAAAAAGGGAAAAGAAAAAAAGAAAAGAAAAAAAAAACGGUGGGGGCAACCUUGGUGAAAAUCCGAAAGGCGCCAAGGUAGGGUUCUGCAGUAAGCGAGCACGAGGAGAAACAGUUGGUGACUUUGGUUCAUUUGAAUUUCUCUUCGUUUUGUUAUACUUCUGCCAAUGUUGAAUUCCGGAACAAAGAUAUCCAGAGAUUCGAAUAUGACAUCCGUUGGCCAAAAGCUGUGUCACGUUGUAAAAAUGUUUUUUUGCAAUACAUUCUUAUGAAACUCAUCUUUUCUCAAUUGCUUGUAUUCAUGGCAUUUUGUAGGUUUAAAGCCCAAUUAGUUGCAUUUGCAUUCUUUUGCAUAUCCAUUUCUGCAUGAUAUGCGAAAUUACCUUGCAUACUUCAUUUAUUUAUUUAUUUAUUUAUUUUAUCAUUGAAUUUUGGUGAAUGACAAUCCCUAUGGUUUAUUCGAAACAUAUUUAGAUUCAGUCAUCUUUUGAAAAUGGUUGAAAUUCAGCAAAGCUGGCUACGCAGGUUUCACGAUAUGGCAAAAGGCAUACCUGGUUAGUCUGAAAAAAUGCCACAGCAAAAGUGGAUGAAUGCAUCAAAAGACUCAUGUUUACACGAUUCUCAAAGGGAAACGGAUUAAAUAAUGGUGGCAAUUUCUUUGUUCUUUCUCUUUUGCAGAAAAAUUUCAUGCAUAGAUGAAAACAAUCACAACUUGCACUGGAGUCGGUAUCGGAAGGAGUUCUCCAGUGAACAAAGGCGGAUCGAAAAAUAUUGCAAGCAAAUUUGAUCAAAAGGUGCAACAACAUGGCAAUGCAGAAUCAACUAUUGGCUUAGGUGCAUAAACUUAACCUCUACUGGGGCAAAAAAAAAAAUAUUGGGUUAUUUUCAGGUAAGUAUACUUAAAUUUCUCGUUCGGGUCAGUCCCAUGUUCAAAUUCUUGUUCGGGUCAGUCCCAUGAUAAAUUCUGGUUCGGGUCAUCCCGUGUUUAAUUACCUACUCGGGUCAGUCCCAUGUUUAAAUUCUUGAUAAAUUCUGGUUCGGGUCAUCCCGUGUUUAAUUUCCUACUCGGGUCAGUCCCAUGUUUAAAUUCUUGUUCGGGUCAGUCCCAUGAUAAAUUCUGGUUCGGGUCAUCCCGUGUUUAAUUUCCUACUCGGGUCAGUCCCAUGUUUAAAUUCUUGUUCGGGUCAGUCCCAUGAUAAAUUCUGAUUCGGGUCAAUCCCAUGUUUAAUUUCCUGGUCAGGUCAGCCCCGAGUUUAAAUUUUUGUUCGGGUCAGCCCCAUGUUUAAAUUCUCAUUCGGGUCAGUCCCAUGUUUAAUUUCUUAUUCGGGUCAGUCCCAUGUUUAAAUUCUCAUUCGGGUCAGUCCCAUGGUAAAUUCCUGUUCGGGUCAGUCCCACGGUAAAUUCUGGUUCGGGUCAGUCCCGUGUUUAAUUUCCUACUCGGGUCAGUCCCAUGUUUAAAUUUCUUAUUCGAGUCAGUCCCAUAUUUAAUUUCUUGAUCGGAUCAGUCCCGUGUUUAAAUUUCUUGUUCGGGUUAGUCCCAUGGUAAAUUCUCGAUCGGGUCAGUCCCAUGUUUAAAUUUCUGUUCGGGUCAGUCCCAUGGUAAAUUCUUGUUCGGGUCAGUCCCACGUUUAAAUUCUCGUUCGGGUCAGUCCCACGUUUAAAUUUCUGUUCGGGUCAGUCCCAUGGUAAAUUCUUGUUCGGGUCAGUCCCACGUUUAAAUUAUCGUUCGGGUCAGUCCCAUGUUUAAAUUUCUUGUUCGGGUCAGUCCCAUGAUAAAUUCUGAUUCGGGUCAGUCCCAUGUUUAAUUUCCUGUUCGGGUCAGUCCCGCGUUUAAAUUCUUGUUCGGGUCAGCCCCAUGUUUAAAUUCUCAUUCGGGUCAGUCCCAUGGUAAAUUCUUGUUCGGGUCAGUCCCAUGUUUAAUUUCUUAUUCGGGUCAGUCCCAUGUUUAAAUUCUCAUUCGGGUCAGUCCCAUGGUAAAUUCUCGUUCGGGUCAGUCACAUGUUUAAAUUCUCGUUCGGGUCAGUCCCGUGUUUAAAUUUUCGUUCGGGUCUGUCCCGCGUUUAAAUUCCUAUUCGGGUCAGUCCCAUGGUAAAUUCUGGUUCGGGUCAUUCCCGUGUUUAAUUUCCUGCUCGGGUCAGUGGUAAUUUCUUGUUCGGGUCAGUCCCAUAUUUAAUUUCUUGAUCGAGUCAAUCCCGUGUUUAAUUUCCUACUCGGGUCAGUCCCAUGUUUAAAUUUCUUGUUCGGGUCAGUCCCAUAUUUAAUUUCUUGAUCGAGUCAGUCCCGUGUUUAAAUUUCUUGUUCGGGUUAGUCCCAUGGUAAAUUCUCGAUCGGGUCAGUCCCAUGUUUAAAUUCCUGUUCGGGUCAGUCCCAUGGUAAAUUUUUGUUCGGGUCAGUCCCACGUUUAAAUUCUCGUUCGGGUCAGUCCCAUGUUUAAAUUUCUUGUUCGGGUCAGUCCCGUGUUUAAAUUUCUUGUUCGGGUCAGUCCCAUGUUUAAUUUCUCGUUCGAGUCAGUCCCAUGUUUAAAUUUUUGUUCGGGUCAGUUCCGUUUUAAAUUUUUUGUUUGGGUAAGUCCAUUUUAAAAUUUUGGGGUCAGUUCUCAUUUCAAAAGCGUCAGUCGUUCGAAUAGCUUGCAUUCGAACUAAGUUUGACCUGAUUCCCAUAGUGGGAUACGUAGGCAACUCUACAUGAGUUCGGUCACAUUUUCUGCAAUGUUAUUACAUCUUUUGUUCACUAAUUUCAGACAAGUGUUGCUUUUCUUUAUUUUAGCUCAGGUGCAGUUAGAAGAGACAGGUAAGUAAUUUGAUGUCUACGUCUUUGUCUUGAGUUUCUUUGAAACUCUAGACAAAGAGGGGCAAGCUGUAGACACCAAAUUUUUGUCAAUUUUUAAUAUUUUCUCAAGAUUUUUCUAUUUAAUAAUUUAUUUAUUUUCUUACAUUUUAAUGUGCAUUUUUCUUAUUUUUUGCAGAAAAAAAAAAUCAACUAAACCCAUUUGACAAAAUCUCUUGGUUCCCUCCUUAUUCUCAGGGACUGAAAAAAAAAAAAAAGGAGGAACGGCACUUUUUUUGGGGCUCAAAAAACAACCUGACACAAAAAAAAGGACUCCCUCAAUUCACUCUCUCGAGACACACAAGAAAUCAGACAAGCAAAGACAAAAAAAAAAAACUAACUCCUCACUCUCUUACUCUCUCGGCUCUCUCUUGGAAGUCAGAGACAAGAAAAAACAAAGAAUCACUUUCCACUCCUUACUCUCUUACUCUCUCGGCUCUCUCCCACAGGACAGAAGACAAGCCAUAACAAAAAAAAGAAAAACUCCUCUCUCCAUUCGGCUCCCUCUCUUUUCCUAAUAUACACACACAGAAUCAAACACAAGAAAGCAAGCAAUCGGACGUGAGGAGAUUGGAAUUUCAUCAACAAUUUUAACUAAGGUCAUAAGAGGUAUCAACACUUCCAUUGAAUUAUUUCCCGUUUUUUUUUAUCAUGUUGAAUUCAUGUAUUAUUGGUUGUUCCUGCUGUUUUCUUGUUGUUGCUGCUGGUGUUGUUGAAAUUUUGGGGUAAAGCCAUGAAUAAACAUUAAGGAAAAGAUGAUUUCUGUGAAUGCAUGUUAAUUGUUUGAAAAAAUGCCAAAAAGAAUUUUAGGGACUGUUUUGCCUUAAUUCAGCCUUUUUAUGUUGUUUUCUUGUUCAACUUAGAGUAUAGUUGUAAUGUAGAAGUUAUAAGGAGGGUUUUGGUAUAAUUUUUAAGAUUUUUGGUGAAGAUUAUAGUGUUUUAAAAAUAAAAAAAACUGGACUGGCUUUUUGCUUUUCGGCCACCUUCGGGUCAUCUUUUGUAAAAAUUAACUCCGGAAAUGGAAUCUACGCGAAAAAUCGAGUGAGAGGGUGUGUUUUGAGAAAAAUUUGGUGACCAGAGAGGUCGCCGGCGGCUGCCGGCGGCGGCGGUCCGGUGACGGCGGCGCCACCGGCGGCCACCAUGGCCGCCAGCUGAAGCUUCCUCAGCUGGCCGAAGAAGAAGGAAAAAGAAACGGCUGGAGGUGGAGGAAGAAGAAAAGAAGAAGAAGAGGAAGAAGAAAAGAAAGAAAAGAAAAAAAAAAGAUUUGGGCUAAUGUUUUAUUUCGGUUGGGCCAAAGUUAGUUUUGGUUGGGUUUUGAAAAUGGGUUUUGGUUUAUUUGUUUUGGGUUUCGGUUAGGCUAGAAGGUCAAAGCCCAUGCCUUUAUUUUUGGUUGGGUCUGAGUGAUAGAAGACGGGCUGGCCUUGUGUUUUGGCUUGAACUUUCGGUUGGGCUUAAGUAGUGUCCGGCCCAAGGAAAUAAAAUGAUGGCCUGGUGGCCCAUUUCUUAAGAAUAUCAGAAACCGAUUUUUGUACUUUAGCCCCUGAUUUUUGGAGUAGUUUCAUCGUUGCCCAGAACACUUUAAAUCUCUUUCACUUAGGUCCUUAAAUUAAUUGCACUUUGGUCCUUGAAUUUUAUCUUUUAUUUAAUUUUGACCUCUAAACUUUGGAAAAAUAUAAUUUUUAUCCCCAAAGGUUUUUCAAUUUUUGCAAUUCGGUCCCCGAUGAAUUUUGACUCUCUUUAUUAUGAUUGUUUCUUUUCUUUAAUAGCUAAUUAUGUUACUUUUGAAUAUAUUUAACUUGCAAUUUUUAGAUGUUCUUAAAUUUCUUUACUUUGACAUGUUAACGUGUAUUUAGUAUUUUAACAUUAUUAUUAUUUUUCAAUUAAAUUGGUGCCAUGAUCCUUUUGUUCAUUGUGAGUAUAAUUAGGACAAUUUGAUUCCAUUUAGUCACCACUUCAAACGGGAGGUACUCCUAUUUUAUUAUUUCAAUGUCAAUUACGUGCUCUUAUGUGCUUCUAUGUGUUCCUAUGUGUUUAUAUAUCUUUAUAUGCUUUAUUUAUUUGAUUUAAAUAGUCAUUCAAAUUUUCUUAUAUAUAUUUUAGUUAGUUUUUAUAAUGAUUCGAGAGGUAUUUAAAUACCUCAAAAAUGUAAUAGAUAGGAUAAUUAGAUUUGUUUUAUUAUAUUUUUCCCUCCUAGAUUGUAGUUAGGCGCUCCCCGAUGUAAUAGAUAGGUUGCGUGUUUAUGUGGCUUAUGUGUUAAGUGUUUUAUCCGCUUUUCUUAGGAUUUUGGCAUCUAGAUAUUAUGCUUACGUGUUAUGUGUUACGUGCUCUUAUGUGUUUAUUUGUUUUAAUUUAUGCUUUAUUUGUUUCACUAUGAAUUGUUAAUGCAUAACGUCACCACACUAGUCCAACGCUAGUUGUGGAUUCUCUCUUCGCUUACUUGCUAGUCCAACGCUAGUAAGGAUUUUUAGAAAUGGGCUGGUCCAACGCUAGACCUUUUAGGCCGUCUUGCGUUAGAUCCAUCUUUGUGUGCUAUUCACUACAUCUUCAUGCAUAUUUUUAUUUUUAGGAUCUUUUCUCAUUUGCAUGAUAUUCCCUAUUAUAUUAUCCCCUACCCUCUAUAGGCGCUGAUCAUGUCAUUUAGAAUUACAUCUCAUUUAAGCUAGUUCAUUUGCUUGUUCAUGUUAGGAUAAUUGUUUUUCAAACAUGAAAAAUGGGUGAUUAUAGCUUUUUAGUUUAAAUACCCCAUUGAUCCCUGUAUAAGAAAAUUAUGUCACGAGUUUUUGCCUCCCAUACCCUUUAUGUUGCAUUCCCUUUUUCUUUGAUCACUUAUAUAUGUAUAUAAUUUAAUUUCUUUUCUUUUAUUUUAAUUUCAUCAUUCGCAUACUCGUGACACUUUCAAGGAAUCAUUUUGGCAUUCGCAAUUAAUGCGAUUGGUUCAAUUAAAUCCUUGAAUGAACAUUGUGUCCCUUUCGAUAUUUUUAUAAAUUUAGAUUUGCAUCCAUGUAGGUAAAAUCCAAAUAUGAUAAAAUUAAGGGUUAGAUUAGGAAAAUUUUGACUAAACAUCGCAACUAGCUUAGACUAGGUUGAAAGGGUGCCUUAGGUUUGAGUUAAUCGAACCUUUGCCUUCCCUUCCUUCAACCGUGACUCCCGAAUCCAUUUUCUCUUGUUUUCAAAGACCUGGAGUUGUCAAAAAGGGUUUUAUUUUAUUUUACUUUAUUUUUUGGGUGACUUGGUACACCAAAACUUCAUACCAAGUGGCGACUCCUAUUUUUACUAAAAACCCUUUUGGACUAAAUUUUGGACCCAAAUUGUCGCAUUCUUUUUUAAGUCCCAUUCUAGAUCCUUUUUCAUUUAUCAUUAAUAAAUCACAUCUCUUUCUAAAAACUUUCUUUUUUCCAUCGCGAAAAAUGGGGCGCAACAAUCUUGAAAGCUAAUUGGGAGAUAUUUCUUGCAAAUUGCCAACUAAUACUUGACAUGUGUUUUAAUUGUAUCUUAACAAUAGAAGAUUUGAGUAAUACCAUUGUUUGAAUUUGAUUACUUGAUUCGCGUUCUCAUGCUUGAGAACAAGCAUGGUUUAGGUGUGGGGGAAAUUGAUAGACCAUAAUUUGUUGCUAAAUUUAUAAUUAUUCUCUCCUUGAUUUCAGCCAAAUAUUAUUUUAAUUGUCACAUUCUAUUUAUAUUUGGUAUUUUGUGCUUAUUUUAGGAGCGGGAAUGCAAAGUGCUUAAAUGAAGAUUUUCCAGUGAAUAACAUCUGAUGGUUUCACAGGAGCGCGCCUAAGUUCACUGCUCAAAACCAAAAAGUCAGGAUUGAUAUUGGGCAAUCUCCAAAUCUGAAUCAAUUUCCUAAUUUGAUAGUUAUCAGUCCAUCGCUUCACCUGAUGAUUGGUCUCCUAUCUCUAUUGGGACACUAGUCUAGUUUAUUUAUCUUAACUUUGUGGAAACAAUCUCUUAUCUAGUGGGGAUUUGAUUUCGAUUAGUAGAAGUAGUCUAAUAGUAUUAGGAAACAAAACAGCAGAGCAUCUUUAUCGUUUCUUUAUUCCCUCUUUUAGGAAGACUAGUUAGUUGUCAGUGGAUACUUUUUUCUUUUUAGUUAGUCGCAAGACACAAGAAAAAACUAUCUUAUCCUUUCUUUCACUUUCUUCGAAUAAAAAUACAUCACUUUUGGGGAAGAAGACUCACGUCAAUUAGUUCGACUAAUUGGCUUGGGAUUUCUUCAACGAAGAUGAACUAAACCCCUAAUUCUAGUCAAGGGGACAACUGACGAUUUGGUUCGGCAAUUACUGUGAGAUCUAAACCGUUUUUAAUUGUUUCUUUCAUUUAUUGGUAUUUAUAUGUUUCCUACUUUUAAUUGUUAUAACUCUUGUGUAUGAUUGAUUAGUGCGCAAUAAUUAAUUAUUCAUAUAGGCUAUUUUGCUAAUUAGGGAAAUUGAAUCCGUAAUUGUUCGAUUAUCCCUAUCUCAGUAGCAACUGGCGUAAUUGGGUUUAUGUCAAGGAACAUAUGAUCUAAUUUAAACAAACCCUAGUAGCGUGUUUGUUAGUUAGGAUUGGGCCUUUUUAAUUAUUAAUGCAAUUUAGAAAUUAAAUCCUACAAUCGUACUUAGGAUUGUUUUUGGGUUAGAGAAAUAGUUAACGGUUGUACCUUAAUUAUCGAGAAAUUAAGGAAGGGUUGGUUGUUUAUCGCGUGCAUGACAACUAUAACCAAUCUAUUAAUAAAUGUUGGAAUUAUUUGGGAUUCAAUGAUCAGUGUCUAAACCAUUUUUAAAGUGUACCCUUGGCUAGAGCUGUCCUAAUUAUUUCUUUUAAUUAAUUAUUUUCUGCAGUUAAAUUAUUUAGUUAGCUUUUAAUUCUAAAGCCCCCUAUUUGUUUUGAUUCGAAAGGAAAUAAAUUUCUUCCCAAUCCCUGAGGAGACGAUCCUGCUUGUCAUUGUCUACUAGUUAGUGAAUUUAGGCAGUUAAUUAAUUCGGGUAUAUCGGAUUAAGCAAACUCUUCGGGAACAGGGUGAAUCAAGUAACCCAUUGCACACCUAGAAUCCCUGCUCCAGUACCUAAAAUUGAUUAUUAGCUACUUUUGGUGGUAGUUAGAUUUUAUUUAUUAUUAUUGCACAGGUUCGGCACCUAUCAUUUUCACAGUAUGACAAUAAAGCAAAAAUUUCUUUUAGAAACAAGAAACACAUAUGACCUUGAAAAUUUUCUCGUAGCAAUAUAUGCUCAAUAAAACAACGAAUAUCAAGCUGAUGUGUGUACCUUCUCAGAAGUAGAUGCACAGGCUUGGAGCAGGCUACUUCGUUCUCCCAAACUCAUUGGGUUUUGUUUAUCUACUCUUCCACGUCCUAUUCCUCUGCUUCCUGCACAUCCAAAAUACCAAUAAGGAAAACUCUAAACCUUUUUUUUUUUUUUUUUUCAAAAUCAACAGCAUGAUUACAAAAUCAAGCCCUUUUUACAAAAAAGAGAAACAAAGAAAGUUAAAUUUCUUUAUCUACAAGAGGAGAAUCCAUUGAAAAAAUGAAUUUUUUUUGUCCAAGAAAGAAACCAAUAACAUAAUCAAAAUUUUUGAAAAAAAGGGGGACCCAAUGCAUUAUGCAUUAGAAUCUGCAAAGAAAUGAAGGAGAAAAUUACACUACAAUCAGAGAGGUAGACAAAAUUUGCAAGCCCAAAAAUAACAGGGAGAAAAAAUAGGGUUCUGUAAGGCAUUAAGGAAACCACCAGGAUAAAGUAGAAGCUUAUAGGUAGAUGCAGAAAACGAAAGUAAAGAACAAAAGUAGUGGUGGAAAGCUUACGUGGAAAUGACCCUCUUGAACAAGAAUUCAAAACAUUUAGUCCAUUCAACAAGCAUCUCUAAGGAGAAAAUUGUAAUUAAAUAUUGCAAAACACUAUUCACUGAUUUAACCUGAGCAUCAAAUCUCAUUAAUGCUGUACAACAACUGAUGCUCCACUAAUGCCUGCUACAGCCUUAUAGAAUGGGCAUAAUUGUAAUAUGACCAUAAAACAGAGCAAUAAAUACUCGUACAGAAGGCAUAAAAUCCGGUACAAUAGACUCAUACUGACGACACAACCCUUAUCCUUAGCAUAUAAAGGGCAGAAGUGACAUAUUCUCCAACAUAGAAGCAACAUCCUGUUGUACGAGCCCCAACAAAAGUAGCAGCUAGUAGGAUGAAAUGACAAACAGGCCCCCGGGGAGAGCAGAUGAAAUGCAAUGAACAAUAAUCCAAAAACGCCUUCUUAUAUAUUAUAAAGAAAUAUGAACAAAUGUCACAAAAAUAUCUAAAGAAAUAUUAAAAGCACACCAAGCACAAAUUGUUACCCCUUCCUUCCAUGUUUUCUUUUUUGUACCAUUUUCUGUUAACAUUCCUCUACUCUUCGUUACCCUAUUCCUCACCUUUCUAACCCAAACUUUUCACAUCCCUCCAAAUCUUCUCUUUCCUACAAACUCUACCUUUUGUUCACUUUACCCUACUUCUAUCAAAUUAUGCAAUCCCUUACCCAAUUUCACAACCUAUUUACCUCCUAUCAUGUUACUCUUCAUAUAUAAUUGUAAAUAAUGACCAAUUUUCAACCUGCUAUUCAACAAAUGAGUAUGGGUAUACAAUUUUAUUAACUUUAAAUGGGUAACCCAAUUAAACUCAUUAAUUAGUAGCUAUUAAAUGGAUAGAUUGGAACUACCUAUUUAGACCUAAUUAAAUUAGACAUAGAUUCAAAUUCAUUAGUAUGUAAAUUUAAAUCACUACAAAUUCAAUAAUAAUAUUCUACUUUUUGCAAAGGCAUUCUUUUCCUAUUCAUUAAUUUUUAUUUUUCUAAUUUUUGUUAAAUUUUAUCCAACUUUCUCCCUCCCUUCCAUCAAAGUUUUAAUUAACUCAUUAAGUGUAAAUUGAUUUUUUGCAUUCACACCUAAAUUAUUUUGAGAUUCUUGCAGAGUGACAAAAUUAAAACUCUUUAUGAUCACCACUACUGGUUUUCUAUGUAAUGUUUUAGGUAAAAAUUUAUUUAUUAAUGCAAUGUGUUCUUAGUUUUGUUGAUUACAAUGAUAUCUUAUUUUGUUGCUCAAAGAAUAUGGGAGAACAAAUAAAUAAAAGUUUUUAGUGGAUUGUAAAUGGGUAGGACAACCAAAACCAUGUAAAACUACAUUCAUUUAACCAACAUAAAUCAUCCAUUUUGAUAGUUUCAAUAUAACCUACAACUACCGUUUCCUUGACUUUCCUAUCUUUAUAUUCCUUUUACUAUUUACGAUUCAUUACCUUACUUUUACCCUUCUCAGCCCUAUAGUUCAAUCUUUAUAUUCCUUUUAUCAUUUAGGAUUCAUUACCUCACUUUUCAAAUUUUUUUUUCAAAUAAAAGUUAGAAUUAUAGUUGUGAAAGAAAAGUAAUUGUGUAUAACUUUGGUGAAAUACUACUAUUUUUUGUAACGAUCACCCAAGAUAAUCAUUUAAACAAAUAUUUGUUUUAAAAAUUUUUUGAUAAACACUAAAAAAAACCAUCUAAAUGCGCUUUUUAUUAAUUUAAAAUUCAUAUCAAAAUUUUAUUUUAUGUACACUUUCUGAUGUACGCGUUAUAUGCAAAAUUAUCUAGAUGAAGUUUUGUGCAAGUAAAAAAUAAUCUAGAUGACGUUGUAUGUCAGAAUGUUUAUUUCAUUGGUUGGAAUCAUCGUCUAAUAGAAUAAGUUUAAAGCUAAAAAAAUUAAUUUAGUUGCAAAAGGUAAAAUGGUUAAAGAAUGGUUAUAAUUGGAUAUGUUAUCUAAAUGUUUGACAAAUUUAUGUAUAUACCUAGAAGCAAAGUGCUAAAAAUAUUACUAUAUAAAUGAUUAAAAAUUCUGAGAUUUGACAAAUCAAUCUUAUUAAUCAAGGAAUAAAAUGGGCUAAAGUGAUAAAGAUGAAAUGGGGUGAAUGAUUUUAACACGGGACUAAUCAAACUAUCCAAAUUUAUAUUCUUUAUUUAUGGAAGGAAAAAGGGGUUAAAGUUUGAAAACAAACUACAAACGAUUUAUUAAGCACUCAUUUUAAGUGACAGAGAAAGUUUUAAAUUUUAAAUUUGAAUUGUCAUAGGAUUAGUUGUAAAUCACACUAUUUCAAACUUUUUAAUUGAAUUUAUGUAUUAAAAUAAAUGAAAAAUCUAGAAAAAAUGUAUGAAAAAUUUGGAAGUCAUCUAGGAGGCCUCUACAAAAACCUCCCCUGCAAUAUAUAUAGAUAUUUGAUUUAUUUCUUGUCCCUGUCUGGCAUCUUGCUCAUUUUGAUGCAGUCUUAACUGAUCCAAACAAGGUUAACAUGAUGCUUUCUCCACAUCAAUUCUUUAGCACCCAUAAUUUUUUUUCGAGCUCUGAGUUGGCUUAGUUGGUGGGUACUGCCUAGAAAUACCCAAGAGGAUUGAGGACCUAAUACAAAUUUGUUAUUGGGUAUUUUUACGUGGUAGUUGCAGUUGUUGACCACAUGUUUUUUUUUUUCUAAUGUAUGUGAGGGAUUCGAAGUUGAGACCUUUCAUUUACAAUUCUUUUUCCAAAUCAUCCAAUCAAUUCCUCUCUCUUAAUCACAUGGUUCUGAUAGCUUUCACGUGCAUGGAUUUUUAAUUUGGAUAUCUCGGAACGGGAUUCCGAUCUUUGGUAGUAUUUGAAAAGUUAUCAGAUUGUACCAAAAAAAAAGGUUAAAAUAUGCAAAAUUCUUGAGAUUAAUUUGGUUCUUCCAAUUUCUUUCGUUUUAACUCUUCUUUUUGUUUUCCAUUUCCUUUUUCCUAUUUUUUUUUAAAGAGUCCUUCUCUAUGUACUUUGAGGUGAAGUAACCAGAACGCAGCAAUGGUGCCGUGCCACCAAGCCCUCACCAGCAACUGCUGGCCACUACCAUUAGGUCCCCAAACUUAAGAAAAUUUUCAGGAUAAAAUAUUCUUUUUGUGUACAUUGUGAAUUCGGAGUCCAAUUUGGCCUCCGAAAUUAAUCUAGCCUCUUUUUCUGCAUAAAUCACUAGCAGUCCUCAUAAAAUUAACACGAGGACAAUCCUACGCAUCAAUGACUUCCUUUCCUCUCUACUUCUUCUCUUUUCUAAUUUUUCUCUAUUUUUCUUCUCUUCUCAAAGGCCUCCUCUUAGGGAGGAAGACCACGCCAUGAUCUCCCUACAAGAAUUUUGUUUUAUUUAUUUUUCUAAUAAAUCUCUUCUAAAUUUUUUUAUUGAGAGUUUUCUAUUUCUCUUAAGGGUUUCUAGUGAGAAUUUUCUAUUCUUCUAGUGAUUUGUAUGUAGAUUUUUAUAUGUAUUUUUUGUUGUUAGAACUAAAUUUAUUUCAAAUCUGAUUAUUAUAUCAAACAAUUUUUUUGUAUCUUGGAUUUAUUUAGACAGAUCUCAUCAUAAUUAUUGGAUUGGUGAUUGCAACAUGCACAGAAAGGAGCUGCAACGGUUUAUCUUAUUAGAAGAUAAUUUUAAAUUUUCUUAUAUUUUUCAAUUAUUCAUAACUUUUCAGAUCUAUUAUAUAUAUUAAAUUGCAUAUCUAUAAUUUUCAGUGCAUGUUUGACUUGGUAUCAGGACAAUACUAUACAUCAAAUUAUACUAAACGAUUUCUAACAAUUCGUUAAUGAAAUAUAUUUUUAUAUAAAAAAAAAAAAAACACAAGGACAAUCCUGAGAAGUCGUAGAACAUUUAUGUAGUACCAAUUUAACAUGGUAAAGCAUAGAUAAACAUGAAUUUAAGGCAAAAUUGACAUUCAUUUGAGAACCUCCAUUACCUCCUUUGACCCUCAAACCGUCAAACACCUCAAAAUUUUAGGCUGGGAACUCAUCUUUAAGGUGUACAUUGACUAAGCCCUCAGGGGCUUGGUCUGGUGGUUGAGGUUGCUGAAGAUGGAGCCUCAGGUUCCUGGUUCGAACCUUGCUGCCAGCAAGUUGCUGAGGGUGGUGAAUAGUCUGCGGGGUCCACUCCCUGCGGGACACACAAAAAAAAAAAAAAAAAAAAAAGGUGUACAUUGACUAGAUUCGUUUCUAAAUUGGACUAGACUCCUCUAUAUUGAAUUGGAGAAAAGUCGUCUCCAUUACAUCACCAUAAAUUUAAUUCAAACAUUAUUUUCAAAAAUUAAUAUCGUUCAUGAUAUAUUUCAUAACCUGUAUUAGUUAUACUUAAAAUUUUGUAUGAAAUUAACACAGUUUUGUCAUUUGAUAAGUCAUUACUAAUUUUCUUCCAAUUUUAGCCCAUUUUCAACAUUCAAAAUGUUUCAUGUAAAUUGAAUGCCAAAAUAUUCUCAAAAGAAUAUCAUUUUUUAAUAUAUUGAUCUAGAGAUCCAAAGAAAAGUAAUGAAAUAAUCAACUGAUUUUAUAAAAUUACAGUAACUUAGAUAUAAAUAAAUAAAGAGAUCAAUAUCAAGAGAUUCGACGGAAAGGGUCCUAACCCGUCUAAAUUGGCCAAACAACAAACCAAAAUCGCAUAAAAAAUCAAAUUCCUAUAUUUUUUUUUCACCUGGGUUUUUUCCUUUCUUCUUUGGGAUAUAGUGAUGGCAAACAGAAAUGAAGAUGGUGGUCACGAAAAAGAUUGUUAAGGGAGUCAAGGAGGCAGCGAUGGUUAUGGAAAUUUUUUUCAAAAAAACAAAUUAAGUUGCGGUGGAAAUCACCAGUUGUGAGUUACCGUAUUGAGGGGAUCGAUGAAGAUGAUCAGGUUAAAGGAAAGAAAUUUUCAAAAUUGUAAUUCUACCCUUCAACUUACUUUUUUCUUUAAUAAAGAAUAUAAAUUUUUUUGAAAUUAUAAUUAAGCCCCUUAAUUAACCUUUUUUUACCUAAAAGUAAAGGUAGUAUGGGAAUUUCAAACUUUUCUAUAUAUCAAUAUAGACUGUUUUCAUCCACCUUACCUAUCAGUUUAAACCAAUAAAGUCUUUUGGAUAUUUUUGAAUGAGAAGGGGGUUCAAUAACGUGCAAAUCAGAGGAAAUUUUUGUGCAUUUUACUCAAAAAGAAUCAAUUCCAUAUUGUCUAUAUAUAUAAAUAAAAAAGAUUGAUCCGUAUUGAAUGCGGAUCCAUAUUGAGGCUGUGGAAUUGAUGCAAUGACUCAUAGGUGUACCAGUUGCAAAAUUAUCUUUCUUGCGGCGGGAGGGGAGGGGAGGGGAGGGAGAAAGAAGGGGAUUAAGGAGGAGGAAGGAGGGAAGGGGGAGGAAUGGUGGUGGCGGUGAAGAAAGGGAAGUGGAAGUGGUGGUGGCUAGGAUUGCAUUCGAGUCGAGUCGAGUUCGAGUAGUGCACCACACAAGCUCGACUCGAGGUAAAAUAACUAAGAUCGAACUCGAGCUUCAGCUCGUCAAGCUUUUAGAAUUUGAGCUCGAACUCGAGUUCGACAUUAAUUUAUGUUACACGAACUCGAGUUUAAUUAAGUGUAAUCAAUUCAAAUCAAGUUCAAUCGAGUUUAUUUGAGUUCAAUCAAGCCUAAUCAAGCUCGCAUAAUAAAAAUUAAUAUUUUAUAUAUAAUUUUAAAUAAAGGAUAUUAUUGACAUUUUACAAUAAUAAAAAAUAAAAUUAUAUUAUAAAAAGCCCGAUUAGACUCGUCGAGCUUUCGAGUGCAAAAUAUUGAAACUCGAGCUCGACGCGAGGCUUCUAUCAAGCAGAGCUCGAGCUCGGUCAAAACGAGCUGCUGACCAAGUAGUUUGCGAGCUCGAGUCAAGCUACUCGGUUCAGCAACAGCUCUAGUGGUGGCGGUGGUGAUCGGUAGUGAAUGGAAGAAGAAAUGGCUGGUAGUUUUUUUUUUAUAUUUUUGUUAGGUAUAUUUGAGAUGUGUAUUUGUAGUGAUUUUGGGAGUAUUUUUGGAGUUUGUUACUAUAGAUUCCAAAUAUAAAAGCUAGUUUUCCAAAAAAUCUCAUUUUAAAAACAUAGACCAAGAUGAGACAUUACAUUAGAAAAUCAAGAUGUAAUUUUCAAGGGGUAAAAUUGUAAUUAUAAUAUGUUAAAAAGAAUCAGUUCCUCGAGCGCGCUUCAUUGUAUCCAUAUAUAUGUAUUAUUUGCUUCUUGUCUUGUGAAAACCUUCAAAAGAUGACUUGCAAGGGAAAUAAUACCUACCAACUGAUGGAUUCCAAAGCACUUGCCUCUUGUGUUCUCCUCCUUCAUCUGUUGAUUGUCCUGGUAAGUUACUUUGACAAUAAAUUGUUUUUUGUGAUUUAUAUGCUGUGGACUUAAUUCUCGCUGUCUUACAACACUAUACAACCUGUACAGGGAGCCUGUGAUAUCAUACCCAAGGCCAAGUAUAGUGGUACUAAUGCAAUCAGGCUCCACAGCAUGGAUGCUAAUAAUCCUCAUCGAAAUGAUAAGACACAUCAUGUUGCUCACGUCCAUGAAAAGAAGUCAAUGCAUGAUCCUUCUCUUUCCUCAUCCCACAUGAUGCAUCAGAUUGAUCCAAGAGCAACCGUGUUUUUCGUUUUAGAUGAUCUCAAGUUAGGCAAAACAUUGAGUAUCCUUUUCCCUGACGGAGAUCCUAGUCCUUUGUCCUCUCCUUAUCUCUGGCCUAGAGAACAAGCCGAUGCUAUCCCCUUUUCAUUGGCAAAACUCCCACAGAUUCUUCAACACUUUUCAUUCCCUCAAGGAUCUCGCAAAGCCCAAGUGAUGGAACAUGCACUCCGAGCAUGCGAGACUAAGCCUAUGAAGGGAGAACCCAAGGCUUGUGCCACAUCCUACGAGUCAUUGGUAGAUUUUGCACGAAAGAUCUUGGGAUUGAAUACCGACAUUGAAGUUUUAUCAACGCAUCGCCUCACAAAAUCUAAUGCUGCUAGAUUACAGAACUAUACAAUCACAGAAGCUCCUGAACGAAUUUCAACUCUAAAGAUGGUUGGCUGUCACACCAUGCCAUAUCCUUACAUAGUUUUCUAUUGCCACUAUCAGCAGGGUGAUAAUCGUUUAUACAGGACUGUUCUAUCUGGAGAGAAUGGUGAUAGGGUUGAAGGCCUUGCAAUAUGCCACAUGGAUACCUCCCAAUGGAACCAUGAUCACGUUUCCUUCCAAGUGCUUGGUAUCGAACCGGGCACAGCCCCUGUUUGCCAUUUCUUCCCAGCAGAGGACUUUGUAUUGGUUCCAUCUACUUCUUCAAUCUAG
RNAcentral lists this long non-coding RNA (100661 nucleotides) under Coffea arabica (coffee). Its description in RNAcentral is "long non-coding RNA (CARA_LNC004132)". Lineage: Eukaryota; Viridiplantae; Streptophyta; Magnoliopsida; Gentianales; Rubiaceae. The record is from RNAcentral.